UUCUCCAUCUUCAAGAUCCUAAUCUAAACCUAAUCUAAGAAACCUAUAACUAGGUAUAUACAAUGGAAGGAAACAAACAUCACAAAGAAGAUCAAAGCAAUUGGGGUAAAACCCAUGUAUGAUUGGUUCUAAGAAAAGCACAGAACAUUAGGGAUUUCAUGAAGAACAACUUUCAUGAAUGAAAUUUCCUAAGAUGUAUCAAGUUCAAAUAAGAUCAAAUUCAUGGUCGAAAAGCAACAAUCGCUAAAGCAUGCAAAUCAAUCACAAGCAAACCAAAAAAUAAUGCAUGAUAACAGACUUACCAAGUCAUCUAAUCAAUGCAUGAAAAUCAUGAAAUUUGAACAUGACGUAAGGUUAACUGUGAAGAAAAAUUUUGAUUUAGACAUUCAACCCUAAAUCUAUGUGCAAAAGGUCACACAAAUCCAUUAACAUUGAUAUGUGACUUGUCAUUUAGAAGCAAAAUGCAUGACAAUUUCAGUUGUGGUAUACCGACUUGAUGCAUCGUUUUUACAUGGUCAAUGAUCUUCAAAUGAGGUAUGCCAUGUAUCAUUGCGAAGCUUAUGAUAUGCUCUAAGUAUGUCUAGAAAGCAUCAAGCAUCAAGUAUGCUCUUAAGGAACUUGAUUGAAGACAUUUUCAUAGAAACGCAAUCAAUUGGAAUCACAGCAGGGAUUGCACAAAACAUGGAUGACAUUCAUUGAAAUGAAGACAUAAAGAAAAUUCAUGAAAGUCCAAGUAUAUAGAAGGAAAUGUCCUGAUCAUCUAUCAUGAGACAUUGAAGUCCUACAUUGUUCACAAAAAUCUAUAUGAAAAACAGAAAAGAAAUAACCACCAACCAAGGUGGCAUAGAUGGUAGGGCCUUGGACCUCCUCGGUGGAGGCCAAGGUUCGAAUCCCCUGCAAAGCAGGGAGGCAGUCUAGCUACUACAUGGUGACUUAAGUGUGACGUUGGGGUGGUGGUUUCCCUGCUAGCGUCACCUGGGGGUUUACGGGAACGGCUAUCGGCCUAGUAGUGGUUCCUCCAGCAAAAAAAAAAAAAAAAAAAACAGAAAAGAAAUAGGGCAAAAAUCCAACAUUUACAGAUUGCAGCAACUCAAACGUGACUUUAUGGAAGCCAUUGACCUUGCUAACGAUGAUCACUUGAUUCAAACUAUACCUUGUUAGAAAUUUUAUGAAAUUUCCAAUGACUCUCAUGAAAGAUUCAAUUCCAAAAAAAAACAUGUUUACUAACUCAAAUUUGAGCACACGCAUCAAAUCUCAAACAUGACAGAUUCUGGACUGAACUUUGGACAUGUGAAAACCAUAUCAAAUGAGAUUCAAUCAGGGCAUUCUAUAGCUCAUUGGAAAGAUAUUCGAACCAUCUUCGACUUUCAUGAAGACUUCGAACACAGGAAACCACAGCAACCAGCUCAUAUCAAGUCAUUUGCACAGAAGGUCAGAUCAGCGAAAGAAACAGAAUAUCAGAGCAGAACAACUUUUCAACCAAAAAAAAUUACUGCAGAACCAAAUGACGUCCUCUUAGGGCAUGUGAACUAUCAAAUCGAAGCUUGAGAAGUCUAUUUUCUAUGUCUAAAAGGGCUCAAGACCAGAAAGCCUCAUCUAUCACCUCAUUUAAGCCAAACAGAAAGUCUAUCACAAAGACACGAAAUUGCAGAUUAAUAGAAAUCAAACUCAAUCAACCUCAAGUUCGUGAUCAUUGAUCAUCAAAUUAAGGCGCUUAUCAAUGUGUACACACAUACAUCAUUUGCGCUAUUCCUCUCAUAACAGAACAUGUAAUUCAUAUUCACUCUUAGUGGACAAAAUCAGAACAUGCCGAGCAUCCAGAUCAAUUCAUUUUACUCAAACUUGGAGAAAAAAUGUGGCAAUCAAUUUCAGUUUUCGUACAUGCGAUUCUUGAUCACCACUUAAGAUCAAUUAUCAAAUAAUUGUUGUGGAAUGAGGCCAAUGAAAUGGACUAAAGCUGAGAAUGAAAAAUGAGCAGGGACCAAACAAGCAGCGCACAAACAGAGACUCGACAGAGCAAAACAAUAGAUCAAUUCAAAGGCCCAAUGAGGAGAUCAAACGAAUACACCUUAGUUUGAACAUUAAAUCAUCAACCAGAUGCUAACAUGCAGGAACUUUACUUAAAUUCGUACCCUAGCUUCAUUUAGAAAAAUCAUCGAACAUAUGGCGGACACUUUCAUCUAAUGAUCUAGAUGCAGGAAUACGUCAACAGUUCGUCUCCAUAUCAUCACCGAAGGUCAAAGAAAAACAUAGCGCACAUACUUGGUUGGAUAUAUCAUAGUCACGAUAAACAAAAGCAGCUAAAGAAAGAUCCACAAACAAAAUCAUCUUGUCAGAGCAUCGUCAUUUCAUAAUCUAGAGCUCGUCCGGUUCAAAUAUCAAACCUAGACAAGUUUUUCCAUUAACAAAACUUCAAGAGAGGACAGAGAUCACCGGAAAGAAGAAACAACGUACCAACGCCACUGGAGUCUCUGGCGACAAGGAUCAGCUUAGAAGAUGCCGAGGACGGGGCUUUGGAAUCGGCGGUCAGCUCGACGACAGGGGACUCGAUCGCCUCCUCCUUCACAGCGUUGACGACAGGUGCCGCGGCGGCUCUUUUGCCCAGGCUCGAAGUAGUAACCUCGGAGGAGCUACACCGGCGAGGGAUACUCAGCGAAGAACGGACGAAGAUGGCAGAUCUCCGAGGCGCUAUGGAAAAUCUCCGAUCUCGGCGUGAGUCCGAGUCUCACACCUCGAGCUCUUCGACCGGCAGAUGCUCCAUCUUCAUCGAACGAGUGAGUCUCAGAUCUUCGGGAAAAAAGCUGGGGAGCAUCCGAUCGAGAAAUUCUAGCCUAGGGUUUCCGGCGAGGAGGAGGAGAAGGAAGGGAGAUCGGAGGAGUUUGAUCGAGGAAGAGCCCAGAGAGAGUAGGUUGUUACGGCGAAAAGGCCCGAGUGUGAGUCCGUUCUUCGCGUUUUACCCAGAGCCCCCAAAAAGAAAAUUUCGCUAGAGAGAACAGGAGUGAGAGAUCGAGCGGAAAAAAAAGAAGCCCCCCUUUUCCUUCUGAAUGGCCCCCUCCUUUUAUAUUUUUUUUUUCUUCUUUCUUUGUUUUCUUUUUGUUUUCUCUCUUUUUUCUUUUUGUUUUGUUUUUAUUUCUAUUUUUUUCUUUUCAUUUCAUUUCAUUUUUUCUUUUGUUUUCUUUUUUUCUUUUUGCUUUCUUUUCUUUGUUUUCUUUUUGGCUCUUUAUUUUUUUAUAUUUUUGCAGGCGAUGGAUGAUUAAAAUGUCGACGAAAAUUUCGGGUGUCGACAAGAACUAAGUCCAUGAAAUGCACGUCAAUUUAGUGAUUAUUCUUAGGUUCAUUUCUAAUUAGAAAUUGCCCGUCAUUAGAUUAUGUCAUUUAAUAAAUGUCACGUGACAUAUAGCUCGCAUACUAAAUUGUAUGCUGCAUGUCAUUUUAGGUUAAAUAAUUUUGUAUGUCAUUGCAUCGCAUUGCAUGUCAUUAGAAUUAAGUCAUUUAGAUUGCAUUUAAUUAUUGCAUUUCUUCAUGUCAUAUAGUUUAGGUCAUGUUGCCAUGUCAUAUUAGAUUAUUAGCAUGCCUCGCAUGAUUCUCAUGAAAUAAAGUGAAAACAAAAAUUGAGUAAUUGCUUGUUAAUUAGAAACCAUAUCUAGGAUUGUUGAUGUGGAUUUUAAUUUAACACUGCAGAUACUUCCAUUACUUUGAGGUAAAUUCUACAUUAUUUAAUUGCUUUCUUGGGUGUUAAAUUGGUGGUGUGCGCACCCGCAUAAUAACCUCACAUGUUAGGAAGAUAGUUUAAAAUAAAUCAGUUGUCUGCAAAAAAAAAAAAAAAAAAACAUUUUUGAAAAUAAAAAGAAUGGUACCGAAAGGGCAAUAGAGAAAUCUAAUGUAAUCAAGUCCCCGUACCCUUAGUCUUUGGUUCGUAAGAGUAAAGCAAUUCUCCCAUUAUUUUACUUAGGUGUCUAAUCGACCUACCAUAAACUGAUUAGUGGCGACUCCUAAAUAAAAUCAAUUUGCAUGUUAAGAAAUUUGAACCUAAGUCGCGAAUUGGUAUGGGCUUGGGAGAGUCCGAGCUAAGCUUAAAGACUUAGUAAUCCAUUAACCUAGUUUUAGGUGGUUCGCUUACCGAAAAAUCUGGUCGCGACACAUUUCAAAUCCUUUGAAGGAACGAGUGAACCUCUACAAUUAAUCCAUAGUGAUCUAUGUGAUUUAAAGUUUGUAGAAAGUAGAGGUGGAAAGAAGUACUUCAUCACAUUUGUGGAUGAUUGUACUAGAUUUUGCUAUGUUUAUUUACUAACUAGCAAAGAUGAGACUAUGAGCAUGUUUGUCAAGUAUAAAACUAAAGUUGAAAACCAACUUGAUAAACGAAUCAAAGUGCUUAGGUCUGAUAGAGGAGGAGAACACAGUUCAAUCAAUUUGAAAGAGUUUUGUGCUAGUCAUGGAAUAAUUCUUCAAAUGACUGCACCUUAUACUCCACAACAAAAUGGAGUUGCUAAACGAUUGAACAUGACACUAAAGGAGAUGGCUAACGCCAUGCUUUUGAGUUCAGGUUUACCUCAGAACUUGUGGGGGGAGGCAGUUUUAACUGCAAAUUAUAUUCUUAAUGAAAUACCUCACAAAAAGACAGGUAAAACUCCAUACGAGUUAUGGAAUGAAAAGUUACCAUCCUACAAUUUUCCAAAAGUGUGGGGGUGCAUAAUGUGAUCUAUAACGGUAAGUCUAGACACAUUCGUCGUAGACACAAUACCAUAAGCAGUUGCUCUCAAAUUGAAUCAUUUAUUUAGACUUUGUAAAGUCAAAAGAAAAUAUUGCGGAUUCGCUGACAAAAGGUUUGUCAAAAGAGCAGAUAAACUGCACAUCGAGGGAAAUGGGUUUAAGAACCUUAACCCAAUAAAGAGAUUCCACGGUGGAAACCUAACCUAUGCGAUUGGAGAUCCCAUGGACUAGGUUCAAUAGGACAACGUAAAUUUUGGAAACUCUAGUGUAAGCACUGUCUCCCAUUCUUAUGAUGCAACAGUGCUUUCCUACAGCGUUAUUAAGAGUACACUAUGCGUUUAAUGAUUCAUAUAACUUGGGAUGUAACAUCCAAGUAAGAUAUGGUAGGAUAUCUUUAAUAGGAAUGCACCUAUAUGCGUGGAGCUGGCCGACUCUAUGAAAAUCUUUAAAGGCUAGAUUUUCUAAAGCACGCACGAAUCCCGAGAGGUUCAAGGCCGAAAGAACGAACACAACCGAGAACCAAUCUUGAAUUGGAAAUACUCCGUGUGAGGUUUAUUGUCUAGGCUUACACAAACAACUGGUGAUUCAAGGCUUAGUCCAUCGACUAGUUAAGUAAGUCCGAUAAGCUUUCACUAAAGAAGGUUCAAAGCGAAAGCUACCUAUCUUGAUGCGGUUUAUUUCAACAGGCAUGCUCAGAUUCCUUCGAGUCAAAAAUGUUUUGUUGAUCUAUUAAUGUGGGGGAUUGUUGUAAUUAUGGUUAUAAUUAUGGUUAAUAGAUCAACGGAAGCCAAUAAAUUAAGAUACUUUUUUUUGUUCACGUAUCUCUUUUUGGAUUCAUGAAUUUCCUAUACUUUUAUGUUCACGUAUCUAUUGAAUUCAUGAAUUUCCUAGAUUCAUGUAUCGUUUAGUUCAUGUAUUUAUUGAUUUCAUGAAUCUCUUGAAUUCACGUAUCUUUGGAUACAUGAAUCUCUUGGAUUCACGUAUCUCUUUAUUCAUGAAUCUCGUGGAUACACACGUCUAUUUAAUUCAUGUAUCUCUUUAGUACAUGAACUAAAAAGCUCUAUAAAUAGAUAUGAGCAUAGAGCUUCGUAAGGGGGUUUUUUGGUUUUCCCGAUUCGAUUCCAAAAAGAGCUUUGAUGUCCUUUUCUACUCUUCUGUUUUUCCUGAGUGUGCUGGUUCAAUUGAAUGGUUCGACAGAGUCAUGUUUGCAUAGUGCUAAUCCAAACAGGUUCGAGGUGUUGUAUCUUGGGAGGCAUAGUUCGUGAAUUUGCAGGGCACCAUUGGCAGGAACUAAUCGCCUUAAGGAGAUUCGGUUAUCCGUACCUCACCUCCAAUUUUAUGUUAUAUCUUAUUUUCUUCUUCUUCAAGAGUUGUAAGUUUACAUAAAAAGAAGAAUAUUAUAUAGCUAUUAUCAUCUUCUUUACAUUGAUAUUGUGAUUGCAACAAACAGUGUGCUUUCUCUAGAUUAAUUUCCAACAAUGCUCUUUCAACCCUAUUUCCCAACAAACUCACGAUCGAGGGAUGGAAAUUAAAGACAAGGUGACCGAAUAUGUGAAUGAGCGCAUUUCUGCAUUGAGGACGAUCAAUCCCCAUCAAUACCAAUAUAUCUCAGUAGUAUAGACCCAACUCUACGAAGCACCUUCUUAACUAUUUUGAGAAAGGCCAACUGACAAAGACGUUCUUCCCACUUCCGGAUCCUCAUUUUAAAGAGAAAAAUCACUGCCGCAAUGUGAUUAGCCCUCACUUGUUAGAUGAGUAUGCAUAUACUCUGGCUGUUGGGGGCAUAAUUUACACCAUCACAGAAGUUGAAGAACUUGGUGAAUGGAUGAAGGGCUAUUUGGAAAAUCACUCCAUGUUCGAGGCACUGAUGGAGGAAGAACUCGUGAACAAUCCAGUGGUGAAGCUAUUGACCAGGGCAACCGAGGAAGGCCAGAAGGUUGCUAGGAAUAGUGGGCAGACAUUUAACUUGCAUUGGUCGCAAAGCUUUGAUAAGGCAUUUAUUGCAUUUAAGUUCUCAUGCUGCAAUUUCUUGGGUGCUUGUAUUUUUCAUUUCAGAUCUCAUUGGAAUCUAGGUUUCUUUGCCCUUUGGUUUCAAAUCAUACGGUUUAGUUAAACAUGGUAGGCUUUGUCCUUAAUUUGUUUUUCCUUGUUUAAACAGUCCUCUGGUUCAUCUGCAAAGUAGCAUGUCAAAGAUCGUAUCACAUCUGGGGCUAUUCUGUGAAUGAAGGACUAGAAUUAUACAUAAGAAAAUGGAAUGACUGGGACAGUUAAAAUAAGCAUCUGUGAGAUCUUAAACUUAGUUUGAUUAAUUAAAAGCUUGAUUUCGUUCAAUACUUAUUUUAUAUAUUUGGACUAGUAUUCCUUGAAAAACUUGGGAAAAGCAGAAUGAUCUGGCUGCUCCUUCAAGCUUUAACAUCACCAUGUGAUGCUGAGACAGCCGUAACCACUGAAGAUUGACUUAUAGUCUGAUGUUAUGCACAGAGUAAUCUGUCUCAUCUUUCUUGAAUUGUCCAUUGAAUGAGGAAGUUUGGUAAUGUUCCUCCAAUUUUGCAGCAUAAUGUGCAAGUUAUAGAAUUCGUUCACUUCAUCUGGUAUACUUUAUCUUUCAUGCCCAUCCAAUGAGUUGCAUUGUCAGGAAAGAAAUUUUUUUGAGCUUCUUGUUAUAUUUUGGCACCUGAAAUUGGCAGAGUUCUUUCAGUCGGGCUUUUAUACGAAUAGAAAUUCAAUUUGCACUGUGAAUACAAACUUGUGUGCCAACCCGGAGUUAUAUUGCUGCUGUCCACCAUACUAGCAAUACAAAUGGAACUCUGUUCACACUGGAAGGGAAGGGAAGCUGAAUUGUAUUGUAAAUAAGUAUCUCGACGUGAGCAUCCCUGCUGAUGUUAUAUUUUCUUCCUACACCUUAGUCGGAUAUAUAGCAAACUGGUAAAUUUGGUUGCUUGCUUAAAAUGGUUGCAGUCUCCGAGCUUGAGGAGAUUUUUGGAAAGCUUUGGACACAGUGCCAAGAAUGCCAGGGUUCGCUUCAUCAGGAUGUUCUUUGCACAAGGUUCUACUUUGUUUCCUUGCAAUACUAUUUAAGAUAGCUUGUUUAUCAUUCACGUAAUUGAUAUCGUGACUUUUGUAGUCGGGAUUGUCCCAUAUUUUACCGGAGGAAGAAGGUACAGAAAGACAUGGCUGAAGCCUAGCGGCAACUAGAUAGAUGGAACUUCUAAAUAUCGACAAGCUUUGUAAUCUGUGGUGGUGGACGAGAGGGGAUGCAUCUGUCUUCACUUUCGUUAUAAGUAUGGCUUCUUUUGCCCAAUCUUAUUUCAUCUUUAAUAUGGAUGGUAAAUAUGACAACAUAGGUGAUACCAUCUUAGAGAUGGUAAGUGCACGUGUCACGAGAUGAUAUUUUAAAUCACUACCCGGCACUUAAACCACGAAUUUCUUGUAUGGCCUAAGUCACCCUUAUUAGCUUUCACUCCUACUCUCCCACGCUCAAAAAGAAUAUACUAUUAGAGUUAUAAAGAGAAGAUACCCCAAAAGUAAUUGUAUAUUGACUCUUGCAUUGCCAAAUGAGAGGGGAGUAGACCCCUAUUUAUACUUGUACCCCUUUAAUUUCUAAUUUCAACCAUUGAAUCUCUCUUUGAUUUAAUGGUUGUGACAUCCGAAAUUUCCCUCGACAAAAUAAUGAGCCACGCCAGGUGAUCGAGCUCGUCAUCGGACCGUACCAAUAGCACCACUGUGGGGACUCACUACCUCAGCUCGUCCCCGUCAUCACCGAAACAACUCAACUGCAUCACCACCGAAUCUGAGCCAAUUCAGUCCCGCUGUCAUCAAAUCAGUGCCACAUACUCCGAAUACUGCCACGUCCCUCCCCCAACCGACUAUCAAUCCCCCCUCUUGCCGAGUUGGCCACUAGCGAAGCCAACGUUCGCUCCCAUCUGUUGCCGCAAGAGGGCGACAACUCAUCAAGGUGAGGCGGAGUCAACAAUCACCGCCAGAGGGAGGACAGCUUUGACUGUGGGAGACAGAGAGAAAAAGCGAGCUGCCCGCUCUCUGCUCUCAAGUCCAUCUUCAGCUUCUUCUCUUCACUUGCCGUUGCAGCCAGCAAGCCAGAAGCAGCGAAGAUCAGCAGUUCCAGUCUCCUUCCUUGCUCGCCCGCAGAAGAGCGAUAAGGCCCUCAAGCCGUCGACUACCGAGCCAGCAGCACGCUGUCAGUCUGCCGACUUGCACCGGCACCGUGUCCAGCCGUGUCAUCCCUCGGCUCGCUUUGAACAGGCGGAGAACCAACCUCAGCCAGAACUCCCAAGAUCCUAUCGAGCCGCGACCACAGUUUAUCGAGGAUCCGAGACAAAUAAAUAUUCUCCAUUUUAUUCUAUGUCAAUCAAUUAUGUAUGACGAGGAUAGUUUCCUAGAAACUUCAUGAACAUUGAUUAGAUUCUUGUUUAAUCGAAAGUUUCGAUCAUGUUAUCUAAGUACAUUGUUGAGUUCGAAGUAGUUGAGCUUAUGGUUGGAUCGUAGGAACGUGGUCAGUCAGUAUCUAGCACGUAUGAGGAUUGAAAUGGCUGAAAUUUCGAAUUAAACUAGUGCUGGACACAUUGGCUCAAAUUUCGAAUUAAACUAGUGCUGGACACAUGUUACGUUCGGUUCAGCCCAACCCCAAUAUUUUAAUAAUUUUUUGCCGACUUAUACAAUGCAAAUUUCACGGGGUGUUCUUCACAAAAGUUGUCUCUUAUUAGCUUCUCUAUGACAUACUUUAAUUUCAUAAUUUUUGGACGUCGUACGAUAAAAAUGUAUUUGAAAAAUUACGGGGUAUGAAAUCUGUUUUCGAGGUUGCAGAACCGACCUCUUCCUGCUUUCCAUUUUCCACAGAUUUUUCAGUCAAGAAUUAUAACAUGCGUCCUCACAAAAGUUGUAGAGUAUAUCCUUGGCUACCACAUAUUAUAUUUCCAUGAUUUUUCGAUCUCAUUUAACCUGCGAAAUUUGUAUUUUUCUGCUCUAUUAUGUUCUGGAAAUUUUUACUGUUUUGGGACUGGAUUACAAAAAUUAUUUAGAACUGUAUGGGCUGAAUCAGACUUCAAGUCCCCCACAGAAUAUGUCCCUCUUGAUCUUGUCUACCUUAUAUUAAAGUUUCAUAAUUUUUGAAAUCCAUUUACCUAGACAACCACUGUAGCUUCUAGAGGUGCAUAGGACGCCCUUAUAGGAUUAGUUUAGAGACUUGAUGUACCACCUUUCUUGCAAUCCGUUAGUAAAGGCACAGGUGAGUUUAGACUCAGCUAGGGGAAUAAAGUUGACUGAGGAUUUGUGGAUUCACGUUUGAGUCCUAGGAUAACAGUAACAUCAAUGUACUUUUAAUUGAAUUAUAGAAUUGUUGUAUCAUGGUAUGGAUGUGUGACUAGGAUUACCGUCGGUCCUUGGGACAACAAUGCCCCGGGUUGUAGUAGGAAUGCUUGUAGAGGUAAUUGGGUUCCUCCAAAUGCUUAGGGGUGUAACAUGAUCCCUUGAUGUUCUCAUGAUGUCGGAUGGAUGUGAGAUGUCCAAGGGGUAAUGGGGCUUCUCUAAUGAUGAUAAUAGCACGAAUUCCUAUCAGAUAUGAUCUUGAUACUUUUUAAUUGAGUUAUUGAUUAUCUAUUUGGAAAAGCUACUGUUUAUAUUGAUCCGUUACGUUAUUUUGGAAGGGUGCUUAGGUAAGCUAAUGAUUUACUAUACUUUAUAUUGGAGCUUUCCUUAUCAGGGGACAGAGGUAGUCCCGCAGCAUAGAAAAGAGAUAGGAGCACAACUGGAUUUUUGGAGGAUUUUGAUAGAGCCAAGGGGCCAAGGUUAGGCAACCACGUGUACAGUUAGGUAAGGAUGGGGUGACCGACUUAGCCCAGUAUAUUAAGCAGUACUGCCCUUUUGAAUUCUCUAAUGUACCCAACUUGUUGCCUGACAAAUAUUUAUAGAAGUUUGCAUAUAAUCCAAGAAUUACUGUAGUUCCUUAUGCUUCCGCAUGCUUAAGAGAAAGUGAAAUGAAACAAAAAAGUUAACUAUUUUAGUAGUUCUACAUUAGCGGUGAUGUGUUGGGGACAUCAUAAUGGCAGAAAUUUGAUCCCAAAGAAAAUCUAGAUAGUAUCCCUACAAAUAUCUUGACAUGUAUAUUUACUAUAUUACCCCUAGAAAUCUCUAGAGCUAUGGGCCUUCUAGAAGUUUAAAUGCUUUGGUUUGGGCUCUUGGGCCAUUCUUUUGGCUUGUCGGGCUUAAAACUUUUUGGUCCAUGACACAUAUCCAAAAGAUACUAAGAAAUUUCAUGGAGAAAAAUGUCCGUGCUUAUCAAAUUCUAUUCUUUUUCCUCCGUGACUCUUAGCCCCUAGGGAUCCAGCAUUUGAGUUCCAGUGCUUUUGAUUUUAGUUAAAAACGUAGUAACUUUCAAUUUUUUUUAGGGUAACGGUUUGUUAAAACUAAGCAUCCUCUGAAAUGAAAAGCUGAAGGAUUUGUACUAAAAAGGGGGAAAAGGCAUUGUGACGAGCUAAUUUUCGAGGGAUUGUUGACCUUUCACUCUGUAAAUGGCUUUGCAUUCAACUUUCCUCUUCAGAUUUGUAUGGUUAUGGAGAAAACUAUUGGAAAUGAUAUGAUAGGGUAUGAUCAAAUACGAGAUCUCCCGGAUUCACCGCAUACCAUCCAUUGUUUGAGAAAAUAUGAAAUGUUAAGAGUGAAUGUACACAUAAUCUAUAGGAAAACUAAAGAUCAGUAUAGAGAAGUAAACAGACAUUGCAGCUUGCUUAGGAGAUGCAAUCAAUCGACAAACAAUUUUCACAUUCAUGACUAUAGGUUUUCCAUUUUGUAACUUGAAAUCAUAUGCUCAUCUUCCCUUCUGCUACUAUUACUCUCUUCGACGGUUAUCGCAAGCAAUGGCACAAGUCGAUGAUUUGACAAUCCAAUGCCAAAGGCAAGACUUUCACUAUUGCUCUUGCAAGCAUUGAAACACAUGUCACUUAAGUAUACAAUCUCAAACAGUUGUAAUUAGGGGUGAGUAUGGUUUUAGGGUAAAACCUGGAACCUGAGAAUCAGACCAGUGGGAACCUAUAGGUUCUGGUUCCAAGGUAUGGAGGGUAGGGUUCCAAAAAAUAAGAAACAUGUUUUGACGGGUAGAUUCUAGGUUUUUAGUUAGAGGAAUUUAGAACUUGAAACCUAUAACAUGUAAUCUAGAACCCGAAGCAAGUUUUAACAUUUUUCUUGGUUUAUAUCUUUGCGCGAUCUUGCGAUAUUUCAUAACAUUUGAUGAUGAAUGUAUAAUCUGGAAAUAAUCUAGAAGCAUGAGUAUGAGCUUCCGGUUUAUGACUAAAACAUUUUACUUUAUUAAUGUUCAUAUUUUCCAUGUGUCUUUAUGGUCAUUGAAUUGUAGCGACAAGUUGUGGCCAUUAAAGGUUUUAAUUCACUGCAAUCAUUCAAUUAAUAAUAUAAGUGAAGCCUAAGUAGACCCUAGAGCCAACUCUAGAACCUGUGACGGGAUAAUUUUCAAUUUUUAGGGUAUACAGAGUAGGUUCUAGGUUCGAAAAAUGAAGAACAUGUUCCAACUAGUAGGUUCUAAGUUCCAGACAUAACCUAUAUGAAACUUGGAACUGCUCAUCCCUAAUUUUAAUGCACUGUGAGCACAAAGGACAACUCGGGAGUGAUGCGUCAAAGUCUUUGCAUGUUUGGAAAGGGAUAAGGAGUUAAAGGAGGCAACUUAUCGCCAAGCAAAUUUCGCUCCAGCCAAAAUGGGGAAAAAGGGACAAAGUUAUUAUCGGAGAAAAUAUUCAGUAGUUAGUAACCACUUCGUGACAUGCAUACUCCAUUGAAAAAGUGACAUUUGUCUUGUGAUCUAGAAUAUGUAGAAAUUGAAAAUUUCAAAUCGGAAGGGUUCAGACGCUCUUUUCUUUCUCCUCUGACAAACAACUGACACAAGAAAUAAUGAAUGUUUGUCUCUCACUUAAAACCUUCUCUCUCAUUUUUUCAAUUUUUCAAUGGUUUGUUUACCUAGCCACUCUCUCCCCUCUUUUCUUUUCGAUGGCUUCUUCACCUUAUCUCUCUCUCCUUAGAGAAAAUAUUUGUUGGUUUCUUGCUCAAUCAACAAGAAGACGACAUUUUUCUUCGUCCAUCUUAUCCAAAAAAUAUACAACUUAGAAAUAUACAGCUAAGUUCAUCAAAUCACACAUUAAUGGUCCAAUCUAUUGACUAAUAUCAUGCUCAAAUAUUUAAUCACGAUCACACUUAACACAUUGCGAUGAAGUCAACCGAGAUUUCCUCUUUGGUGAGGUCUUCACCUAUAUUACCGGUGGCUUGUCCACAAGAAUAGCUUAGUGUGCAUACCCACAAACCCUUUAGCAGGCUAAUAGGGACAUUGAGCAUCAACAUAAACCCACAAUAGUAUCUUCCAAGCUCCACAAGCCAAUACAAUAUAUAUAUAUAUAUUCACAUAUCGUUUUCACAAACUAAAACAUAUAAUCUUUGGCAACUUAGUUCAUCGGUCAGAAUCCUCAUUCAUAAACAAUUUCUCAAGUCAUGGUGGUAAAGUCCAAUCAAGGCUAAGCAAUGAGCAAGAAGUUUUUGAUUCCUUGCAGAGCUGGACAGAUAAUCAUCGUGGCUGAAAGAUAAACCUUGUUAAUGGACUGUUUGCCCACAUGUCAAUGAAAGAACAAGUCCGAGCUACUCAGGAAGCUUCGGUAAUCCUUGGUGCUCAUGGCGCAGGUUUAACUCACAUAGUGUCAGCAACACCCAAAACUGUGAUUCUGGAGAUCAUCAGCAGAGAAUACAGGCGUCCGCAUUUUGCUCUGAUUGCCCAGUGGAAAGGAGUGGAAUAUCACGCUAUUGAUCUCUCCGGAUCGUACGCCACCCCAUCUGUUGUUGUCGACAGGCUCAGUAGUAUCAUGAAAGCCUUGGAUGCUGAUAUACACGACUGCAAAACGAAGUUUCUCAUUACUCUAAAUGGGAGAACAGCAGCCUCCACUUUGGGCCACUUGUUUCUGCAGCCCACCUGGCCGGCUAGCAUUCGUUUUGAGUUCGUUCUUUCGCAUGUGGUGCAGUGCAUCAGAAGUUGGGCAUGAUGCUUCCUCGGGGAAGCCAUAUGUCUUUCAAUAGUGAAUAGCACUUUGAGGAGCUGUUGAGAACGGAGCAGCAUGUAACGGUACUUGCCUUGCAGUGCGAGAGGUAUCCUCAUGGCAGUUCAUUGAACUAUCAGCAAGUGCGCUGAUAAUGCUUCGGCCGCAACAAUUGAACUCGCAUGUCUUACUAUGGUGUACAGUCAGAAUUGACUUCUACGACUAUUUAUCUCAGUACAGAAGAACAUUACGUAUGUGUUCAAUUAAGUUGUCCAGUGAGGAGAGGGAUUUCCCAUUGGGCAGAAUUGCCCAACGGGAAGAUUGUGGCCUUGGAGAAACUUCAUUCUUUCGAAGUGGAGGACCCAUCUUCUAACAAGAGCUUUAGAAAGGAAGUGAAGCACUCAACAAGAGUGCGGCACCGAAGCAUAAUUAGGCUCUAUGGUUUCUGCUUACAUCGGCAAUGCAUGUUCUUGAUCUAUGAAUACAUGGGGAGGGGGAGUUUAUUUUCUACAUUGAGAAAUGACAUCGAAGCAAUGGAAAUAGAUUGUUCCAAAAGAGUGAAUGUCAUUGUUGACACCUAUAUUUUACAUUUUUAUUAUGUACAAGAUUAGGAAUUAGUCACUAUAACAAAAAAACAAAAAAACAAGAAAAAAAAAAAAAACAAAACAAACAAGAAAAAAGAAAAUAAAACAAAAACAAAAACAACAAAAAAUAGGAAAAAAAAAAGAAAAAAAAUAUGGAAGGGGGUGAGCCCGUUUCCCUCUUGGCCCGGCCCACGUUAGCCUUUGUCCUCCUCUAGCUUGUUUCGCACGCAAAACCUGCAAAAAAGAAAAGAACAGAGAGAACAUAGAAAAACCAGCGAGAAGAGAGAGAAAAAAAACAUAGGGAGAGGGGAGAGGGCUCGAGAAGGAGACCGAUUUGGAGAGAGAGAAAAAGAGAGAAGGAACGGAGGGGAGGAGGGCAGCGGUAGCACUGCCCAUCGCCAUCCGAGCCACCACCCUCCGAGCCCGAAGCCGUUCGAGUCUCCUCGCGUCCGUGACUGCCCAGUGCCGACCCGCUUCUGCUCUGCCUCGCCUUCGACUUGCAAAUCUCCCGUUCGCUGAGCCACUCGCCGCACCGCCAAGACUCCUGCAAGCCCAAAGCUCCACCUCUCAUCGAGACCCCUUGCUGCUGGGUCCUCCUCUGCUCCGACGCUUCGCAGAUCUGUUCCGGGCCUCUUCCGAGCGAAGCUGCCUUUUGCUCCCUGCCUGCUAUUCCGCCCGUGCCACUCUGACCAAUGACCCGACGCCGUUGCAGCACCUCCAAGCAACUCCUACAGUAGCUCGCCUCCGGCCGCCCCUCAUGCCCGAACACCAAAUCCCGAGCCCCCACGACACUGCCUCUACUCCUGCUCACUGAUCCUUACGCCACCACCGCUUCACUGGAGCCGGUCGUUGAGUCCCCUCACUGCGCAACCUGCAGUAGCCGAGCUCCCGUUCGCCGACCCCGACGUCAUCACUACCCCUCGCCGAACUGCCACCUCCCUGCUGUUGCUACCGUUGUCCGCUGCCCAUCGCGUCUCCACCGCCGAGCCGCCAACGUCCCUACCAUCCCCCUUGGCACCGCGAAGAAACCCUAGGGUAUCGGCCACGAACCGGGUCACGCGAAGGGUGCCAGUCACAAACUGGGUAGGGUUUUGAUCCAUCCAGGCCGAGCCUGCAUGCAUAGGCUGAUUUCUCUUUGGGCUGGAGCAAGGUCAAUGGGCCGAGUUAGUAUUAGAUUUUAUUUUUUUUUGGGUGUUGGGUUAGGCUUAGUUUAUUUAGGUUUCUUUUUUGUGGACUGAAUUUUUGCAUUGGAUUGGGCCCGCAGUUCAAGCCCAGUCCUGCUAGGGCCCACGAGCUUCGUCAAGGAGGGUUGGGCCCGACUUGGGCCCGUCAGUCGCCCCCAACCCUAAAUCAGGCGAGGGCCCGACCAAUUCUGGUCUGGGCCCAGCCCGGGUCCGAUCUCCGAUGGGACCCCAACUCGCGCCAUAACCAGGUUGGACUAGGGUCAGGUCAAACCGAACGCGACCCAAUCCGGCCCAAAAAAAUAAUUUUUAUUAUUAUUUUUUUAAAAAAUUAAUAAAUUAAAUUAAAAAAAGGAAAAAACAAUAUUGUUUUCAAAAAAAAUAUUUGUUUCAAAAAAAAAUUCCAAAAUCCAAAAAAUGUAGGUUUUGAUUAGGAAUGACCAUGUAUUGCAUUUAUAAUGUAUUUAGGUCUUUAAUUUCUCGUAAUUUGAUUAUAUUGCAUUUUUUAUUUACUUGUUUAAUUAUGUUUGCAAUUGCUUAAUGGUAUAUAUUAAUUUUCUUGGUAGCUAUGAUUUACUUGAAUGAUUGUGGACCCGCGUGAUCAUCUCACAUGUUAGUGGAUAAACAUAAAAUCAAUCCAAAUUGCUUGACAAAAAUCAUUUUGAAUGAACAAGAUUAGGUACCGAAAAUGCACUAAUUGGUUAAUUAAUGUAAUCAAGUCCCCGACCCUAGAUUCUCUAGUUGCGUAGGAAGUGAGGCACGCUACCAUGCCUCACUUGGUUUCUAGCCGACCCCAAUAGGCUAGUGGCGACUCCUUUUGUGCAAAAUUUCUUAAGAAUAUCCCAACGUCACGCGGGGUAUGGGCUUGGGAGAGCCCAAGCCUAAUCAUGGGCUUUAGGCCCGUCCUUUAGGCAAUACCCCUUAAACCUGUUCCCUGCCCCCGAGGAUAGGUCGCGACAAUCAUAUGGAAUUUUGUGCAUGCCUUGUCUUACUUGCACCAUGAUUGUGCCCAGCCGAUUGUUCAUUGAGAUGUACCUAGCAGCAACAUUUUAGUCAACGAUGAAAUGCAAGCUUCCAUGUCCAAUUUUGGCAUAGCGAGAUUCCUGGAUCCAGACUCUUCAUCUUAUUUCACCGCAAAUAUUGUUGGGAUGCAUGGAUACAUAGCAACAGGUGAGCAAUCUUAAAUUGAUUUUACUGAAAAAAGAAGUGUUAUAAGGGUAAUCAACAUCGUUGCAGCCUCCUCAUGCAUUGCAGAACUUGUUUAGUUGGCCUUAUUAGACUGAUAUGCAACAACUUUUAUAGCUUUCUUUCAUGCUUAAUUUCAAUACAGAAAGAUUUGGACAUUCCUGCUGCCUAGACAUUGGCUUAUUCAUUUAACAUCCCCAACAAUUUUUAAACAGGUUGCUUUGGUCAAAAUUAUAUGGGAAAGUUUUCUUAUUUCCUACCUUUGAUUCAAUAAAAGAUAUGUUUAUUACACGCAGUCACUAUACAAGUAGGAAACAAGUUCCUAUGCUAUGGAUCAUUAAGAACAAGAUUUCAAUGAUGAUACGCGUUGAAGGCUUUGAUUAACAUCCGGGUGUCCCUCAUUUGUAAUAGAAGACGUUGAUUGAUAACCAGUUUCAAAAUCAUCUCUGUUGUCCAUGUUCUAACUCCAAGAUAUGACUGCACAACUUUGUGAUUCUCUUUCCUUUUCACAAAGCUCGCUUAUAGUUUUGUGGUUAACGAGAAAUCUGAUGUGUAAAGCUUUGGAGUCAUGGCGAUGGAAACAAUAAUGGGCAAGCAUCUGGCAGAUAUCAUCUUGGUGCUAUUUGAGAGUACUAGUAUGAACAAAAUAAAGGAGUUAGGGAAGAGAAUAAGAACACAAGAUUUAUAGUGGUUCGGCUUAAUCUAAGCCUACGUCCACUCUCUCACGAUAACAGCCUUCUUGGCUGGAUUCCAAUAUGCAAUCAACAAGAGAUUACAACUUCGAGUGCAAACACUUAGUAGAUCACACUAUCUCACUAAAUCACUCUUUUGAUAUUUCUCUCACGAUCACAAACGUUUAAGCUCUCAAGAGACAAGUAUAUGAUCUAAAGUCACUUAGACUUUGGAAUUAUAAAUUCUACGCUCCGUCUCUUACUUGCUCAUCAGUCCUUCAUCUCCUUAAAUACUCCUCCACUUCCAAACUAGCCGUUGGACAGCAUCCCAGAGAAUCGUCUUCCAAUAUACCCAUUGGACAGCUCUGUAUCUAGAAGAUUUGGUAGCCGUUGAGUGACAUAGGUAGAAUCCCAAAAUGAUUCCGAUCGCCCAUACAAACGAAAUCUUGGUUUCCAUAAGUAAAGCUUCUUCGUAUAGAAAGAUCUUGUCUUCAAGAUCCAAUCGUCAAUCAAUUAGAUUGAAUCAAUCAAAUCAAUCUUGAUGUGGAAUCCAAACCAGAUCACUAGCCGUUAUAUGAUUGGGCUUGUAUUACGUUCUGUCGAAUUCUGGAUGUAAAGUCUGAGAGCAAUAGACUUUACAAUCUGAGUCUGUAGACUUUAUAAUCUGGGUCUGAACAUAUCUGCUUCUGAACAGAUUUAGCUUUAAGGUCUGUACCCAGUUCAGCUUCAGCAUAGAGUCUGUCUUCUAGUUCAUCAUUCACGUUCAGUCUGGAAUUUGUCAGAAUGAGCAGACUUCUAAUGUAGAACAGACUUUGACACUAAAGUCUGGCAGUCUUCAAACUUUGAGUCUUGAGUCUGGCAAUCUUCAGACUUUGACACAGAAGUCUGGAAAUCUUCAGAAUAUACUUUGGGCAUAUGUUACGUUCAGUCUUCUGGUCGUCUUCACACUUUGACAAUAUCCUUUACAUAUUCUAUCAUCUGCAUGGUCUAUUACUCAACCAUCAAACACGUUAGUAGCCUUUGAUUUAUUUUGUCAUCUUCAAAACAUCAUAAGGGAUUUCCCUAACAAUCUCCCCCUUUUUGAUGAUGACAAAACAAUCUCUAAAUAUGCAGAUUUGUAAACAUGCUUUUAAAAAUAUUAUUUUAAAUCAAAGGAUAUCAGAAGAUAGUAAAUAAAUUGAGCAUAACAAUAUAUAGAAAAAUAAUCGCAGCUCAAUAUUAUGCCAUAGAUAAUAUCAACCAAUUAACACAUAUGCAUAUUCAUAUCUUCUCCCCCUUUUUGUCAUAAUCAAAAAGCGAUAAUAAUGGAUUCACGUAGAGAAUGAUAACAAAUAUCUUGCAUGAAUCACAAUUUCUAAAAAUCAGCUUUUAUAAGGUAAAUCGAAUAUUAAAGAUAUGCAAUAUAGCUCACUUCGAUCAUAUAUAUCAGCAAAUAUCCAAUAAAAAUCACAGAUGCAUCAUGAAAUUCACGUACCCUUUUUGUCAUAAUAAAAUGAUAAUAUCAGUAAGAGAUUUGUUAAUGACAAAAGGUAAUGAAAGAUGCACUAACCAGAUUUUUUGAACAAAUUCUGACACAUUUACCUUUCCUUCCAUUCAUAAUAAGAUCACAAUCAAUCCAAAAAGAUUUUUCCAUAAUUGAUCAAAGCUCCCCCUCAAUUUGUUGCCUUUUUGAGAUGAUCAUGAUUCUUUUCCUUUUCUUUUGGAUUCGAUUUCUCCCCCUCGAUUUCCUCAUCGGAUUUUGAGUCUGUGCCUGCGUCAGACUCUGAUUCUGAGUCUGUGUUUGAGUCAGACUCUGAUUCUGAAUGUGCCGUCAAGCAUAUAUUUCUUUGCACAUCAUCUUCUUUCAUUGUUCUUUUCUGGCCAUUCUGCUUGUAUUUUCUUCCAUCGAAAUAUGGUGGCCUUGUGUUGUUUUGCCCUUCCAUAAGUCCUGGUGCCAACAUACUAGCCAUAAAGAAUCUUUAGCUCAAGUAAAAACACUUUUAUAAACUGAGCACUUGGCUCUGAUACCAAUUGAGAGUACUAGUAUGAACAAAAUAAAGGAGUUAGGGAAGAGAAUAAGAACACAAGAUUUAUAGUGGUUCGGCUUAAUCCAAGCCUACGUCCACUCUCCCACGAUAAUAGCCUUCUUGGCUGGAUUCCAAUAUGCAAUCAACAAGAGAUUACAACUUCGAGUGCAAACACUUAGUAGAUCACACUAUCUCACUAAGUCACUCUUUUGAUAUUUCUCUCACGAUCACAAACGUUUAAGCUCUCAAGAGACAAGUAUAUGAUCUAAAGUCGCUCAGACUUUGGAAUUAUAAAUUCUACGCUCUGUCUCUUACUUGCUUAUCGGUCCUUCAUCUCCUUAAAUACUCCUCCACUUCCAAACUAGCCGUUGGACAGCAUCCCGGAGAAUCGUCUUCCAAUAUACCCAUUGGACAGCUCUGUAUCUAGAAGAUUUGGUAGCCGUUGAGUGACAAAGGUAGAAUCCCAAAAUGAUUCCGAUCGCCCAUACAAACAAAAUCUUGGUUUCCAUAAGUAAAGCUUCUUCGUAUAGAAAGAUCUUGUCUUCAAGAUCCAAUUGUCAAUCAAUUAGAUUGAAUCAAUCAAAUCAAUUUUGAUGUGGAAUCCAAACCAGAUCACUAGCCGUUAUAUGAUUGGGCUUGUAUUACGUUCUGUCGAAUUCUGGAUGUAAAGUCUGAGAGCAAUAGACUUUACAAUCUGAGUCUGUAGACUUUAUAAUAUGGGUCUGAACAUAUCUGCUUCUGAACAGAUUUAGCUUUAAGGUCUGUACCCAGUUCAGCUUCAGCAUAGAGUCUGUCUUCUGAUUCAUCAUUCACGUUCAGUCUGGAAUUUGUCAGAAUGAGCAGACUUCUAAUGUAGAACAGACUUUGACACUAAAGUCUGGCAGUUUUCAGACUUUGAGUCUUGAGUCUGGCAAUCUUCAGACUUUGACACAGAAGUCUGGAAAUCUUCAUAAUAUACUUUGGGCAUAUGUUACGUUCAGUCUUCUGGUCGUCUUCACACUUUGACAAUAUCCUUUACAUGUUCUAUCAUCUGCAUGGUCUAUUACUCAACCAUCAAACAUGUUAGUAGCCUUUGAUUUAUUUUGUCAUCUUCAAAACAUCAUAAGGGAUUUCCCUAACACUAUUGACUUCCAAAGAAGAAGAUAUCAUGUUACUCAACAUGUUAGACCAGUGCUUGCCUAUUCCGAGAAAGAGUUUUGUUGCAAAAAACAUUGUUCAAGUGAUUUCUCUGGCUCUUGCUUGCAUAAGUGCAGACCCAAAGUCAAGACCAACGAUGAAACAAGUUUCCGGAGCUAUUUUGGCUCAAAAAAUACCAACGGUCGAGCCCUUCCAUGCAAUCUCAUUGGCGCAGCUCCGACAGACUAUCCGACGCGUCAACAUUUUCAUGGUCUUCUCAACAGUUAAAUUGGCUAGGUACAUUCUUGAUACAGAAUAAGAAAUUAGUACUUUGGAUGAAUUUUAUAGUUCAAAGUACUUUUCGACAGGAACUCCUUCCAGUUUGAUAGGGACACAAGUGUAAUUAAUUUGCGAGUGAUUUGAAAUACCAAGAUCGUUGAAUCUUUUCUCAUUUUCCUAUUAAAAAAUUCAUUACGGUCGUCGUCUUUAUUUACUCCAUAAUUGAUGUAGGUCCUCAAAUUGGUUGAACACAAUGUGUCAAGUGUGGCCGCGAAAGUCAAACUUAGGCAAAGUAUGUUGGAAGCUGCUAGUCACUUGAGUCGUCUUGUUCCAUUGACCGUACAAUUUCUACAGAGUCUAUAGAUAGUCUCUUUCAUGGCAAUUCCUUGCAAUUUCUCAACAGUCUUGUGGGACAUUAAGCAAAAUAAUUAAAAUGGGGUUAUGAAUGGAUUGAUGGAUGAUUAGAAGGAAAAACAGAAGUUCAAUUACUCAACAACAACAGUGUCCUGGAAGCUAUAAUUAUCAAUUUGAGAAACAUAAAUGGACUCUUAAAAUAAUUAGGAGUUAACCUUUGAGUGAGGCUGGAGAAUUUUAUAUGGUCCACCAGAAAAAAUUAGAUCUUGUUCAUAAACUUGUGGCUCUCUUUGAACUGUGGACAUUUUUUAAUGGAUGUGUUUGGAUAAUCUCACUUAUCUAAUUUCUCAUCUAGUUGUUAGGCCUCGCUUCGUAUUUCAAUGUAUCAAAGGCAUAAGAGAAACAUGGAGAUUUCUUAUUAUAUGGAAUUAUGAUGACACAAUUGCAUAUGAAGACAUAUAAUCAAUUCAACGGAAGAGUUCAACAUCAUAUAUUGCAUAGUGAGUGAAAAUUAUGGAAGUAUCUAUAUGGCACGGUCGCCCAAGGAAAAUCGUGGCAUUGGAGAAAUUUCACCAUCUUGAAGCAGGGAACCGUCUUUUGGCAAGAGCUUCUAAAAUGAAGUGAAAUUGAUGAAAGUAUGAUGGGUGCGUUUGGUUCAGUAUUUGGAAGGCUCAUUGGGAAAAUGCAAAACAGUUUAGCCUAAAAGACUUUGGAGGAAAUGCAAAAUUUGUUUGGUAAAUUCUACUUUGAAAAGUAAUUUUGAGAGAAAUGUUGUUCGGUAGAAAACACAUUUGCAAAGCCCAUUUGGUGAUUAAUCUAAAUAUUUUAAUUUUUAUUUGUUUAAAAUUAAAAAAAUAAUGUUUGUGACUUUUUUAAUUUAUAUUUAACAAUAAUGUUAAAGAUGUUGUGUAAACAAUUUUAUUAAAAUUAAAAUUUCUUUUUUUUCUAAAAAGCAUCAAAUGGAAAAAUUUUACAUGCUCUCUUUCUCAGUUACAAGAAGAAUACUUUCAUUACAAUAAAAACAUGAUAACAUAUGCUUUGAGGAAAGAAGCUCAUUAUCCUUAAAAAUUACAAACAUCCUUAAGUAUUUUCUAAAUUCAUAGCUAUUUGAUCACGUAAACAUGCCACAUCAAAUGCUACAUCAUCAUUUAAAGUAUUACCCUCCUCAUUUACAUCAUCAAAAUAUGUUGUAUAUAAAUUGGGAUUCAAAUCCACUCUAGCAAAAUGUGCAUCAUUCAUGGUAUUUCUUCGUAUAUAAUUGUGUAAAGUCAUCGUUGCUAUCACAAUUUUCACUUACUUUGUAUAUGGAUAACUUGGCAUACUCUUUUGAAUUUUUCACUUCUUCUUCAAUAUGCCAAAAGCUCGUUCAAUUUCUUAUUGUAGUGAGGAGUGAGCAUGGUUGGACUCUUCUUUAUAACCCGUCGGUUGAGGACCUCAUUGAAACUCAGGUAAAUGAUAUCUGACUUCUUUAUAUAACCCAAAAUAACCCGUGGGAUUUGGAUAUCCAACAUCAACUAAAUAGUAUUUACCUAUACAAAAAAGUUGUAAGUUUAAUCAACAUAUAACACAUACAUACAUUAAUUCGUAGAAACCAUUAAUUAAUGAACCUUUCGGAGGAUAAGGAAAUUGUAAAUCAUGUCUUCUAUUGGCUUCAUAAGAGAUACGAGUAUCAUGAGUCGUUUCCUCCCAACCGGUUCACAUAUAAGUAAAUUACAUGUUAAAAUUAUACACAGUCAUCACAUUUUGUGUUGGUGUUCCUUAUCGACCAAUAAAACAAAACUACUCACUCGUAGGUACCACUGCUGGAAUAUGAGUACCAUCUAUAACUCUAAUACGAUCCUAAAACAAGAACACAAAUAUUAUUUAAUUUAUAUUUAAUUCAUAUUUCCUAUUAUAUAAUCGUAACUUACCUUAAAAUGUGGAAAAAAUAUUGUAUUAUUCCUUAUCUUCUUUGAAACUUCCUUGAAUUGCCGAUUGGAUGGUUGGAUCAAAUCUACUCCAAUUUCACAUACUUUAUCCAAAAUUAAGCUAAAUAGCCUGUUUCCCUAGAAUGCUAAAAGCACUUUUGUGCUGACCUAUUACCUAUAUUAUGUCCUCAAAUAUGAAGAAAUAAUCCUAACAUUUCUGCAACAUCAAUAUUUCUAGAUUGUUGCAAACCAUAUCGUGUCAUUAAAUCAUUCAUUAAAUUCUUAAACAUAGUUCUAUCUAUUCUAAAUAUUCAAUAAAACCUUUCAAGAUUAGCAUACAUAUCCAUCAACUCUCCUAACCAUGUAUUUCUUGUAUAUGAUGAGGUCAUGUACGGUAUUUUUUACCUGAUAAACACCGUAGGUAUGUGCAGCUGCACAAAGUUGCCAAUAUUCUUCUUCCUCUUUUUCGAAGUUUUCCCUUUCAGGAGAAUUAUCCAUAACUGAUUAAAGUAACAAAAUAGAAUUAGAAUAAGAAAUAUAACAAAUUAUUUAAAUCAUUCAUCAACAAAAAACAUUUAUCAUAUAAUUUUAGACGUCCAUCCUUCUUUCAUUAGCUCAUUGUAUCAGCAAAUGAACUAUAUAAUUUUACUCGACAACACAAGCAGUAGAUCUAAGAGUGAUUCCAACAAAUUCAAUAUGUGGACUCGACAAAAACACAUCAGAUUCAAUCCAUUCCUUAAAGAGAUUCUUGCCCCAAUCCAGCAAUACUCAAAAUUGGAUUUGUGCUGCAAGAACACUGAACAUAGAUCUAAACCAAGGCAGAAAUGUAUCGAAGUGCAUAGCUCCUGGAUUCAUUCUUAAUGAAAGACAAAAGAACUUAGGGAAUGCCUAUAUAGCAAAAAACGAUCAACGUAAAUAUCAUAUUCAACAAGGAAAUCGACGCAAGUGAAUGUUAAUUAGCUAAUUUCAUAACGGGAAGGUCUCAGUUACGGACACAAGAGGCGAUUAAACAUUGUAAUGCAGCAAAUUUCCUUCGUUCAGCAUCCCCAGUGCAUGGGCACGAGUUCGUUCCCAACAUUCAGAGCGAUAGAGAGAGAAAGAUAGUGGGGAAGACGAGGCCAGUUCCGAUGAGGUGGACCGGGCUUAAUUCAAAUCUUUAUGGGUUUGACCGAAUUCGGCUUACUCGGUUUUAUUAGAAUUUGAUGGGCCUGGUGUGGCCUAGGCUGUUCCUAUGGAUCUAAUGGGCUGAGGCAAAAUGGACUAGGUGCUUAAUGAGCUUUGCUAGUGGUCUGGGCUACUCUCAUUGUCGGACCGGGCUGGAGUGAUGAGCUUUGAUGGUCCUGGUGCUUCAUCUUUUUAUUCACUUUUAAAAAAAAAAAAUCUUUUUAUCAUAAUUUAUCGCCAUCAUUGUUUUAUUUUAUUUUUACAAAAAAACGUAUGUUUGACUUUUUAGCUAUAAUUAAAGUGUCAAUGCUGCCAGAACGCAAAUGGGCCUUUCCCACAAUAUUAUAGAUAACCAAAUGAGACGGUACUAUUUUCACAAAUCCAAAUUCGAUGAGAAUGUCAAGUAUCAAAAUACAACAAACUUAGAACUCUCUUUUGUAAAUUGAAAGUUAUAGAAAAUAUACAUAGAUUUAGUCUUCCAGUAAUGUGAUAGACGUAAUUAAUUAAAGUGAAGAGGCUAUAUGAAAAUUAUUAGUAAGAUCCAGCAUAGGAUUUAGAGAUUCUUAAAAUGUGAUUACCUUGAUCUAGUAAAUUUAAUUUCUGCAAUAAUCACUCGUGCAGUUGUGGCUAUAUGUUAAGCAUACUUUUCAUGUAGUUAUACUAUUUUAACACUUGCGGGCUUGGGCCUAAAAGGAUGUUAAAUACCAAAUUGCACUCACAUGAUCAUUUCGCCGUCAUCAUCAUCCUUAUUCUUACUCUCUUUCAGCAUUUUGCUAGGCAAGAAUUGAAGGAAACAGCGACAGUCAAAACUUACAAAUUGAUUAAUAAGCACCCUAAAGGUAAUUCCUUCGAAAGACAAGUCGUGGUUGCGGUGUCACUUUUGAAAAAGAAAAGGAAAAAAAGAGACAAUUAUUGUCCUCUAGGAUUUGCAGGGGACAGUGGACUUUAUUAUUUAGACUUUUGUUACUUCGUGUCUGAAUAAAAGAACGGAUGGACAUGUAAGACAUGAAAAGAUAAAGAGGGUCCUAAUUUCACAAAAGUUCAUACAAUCCAACAUCUCAUGUCCAUGUGAAACGCACCACAUUUCUAGUUCCAAAUGAUUUGCGACUUUAAUGUUACUUUAGGGAAAAAGCAAAAGGAGGAGACAUUAUUGUCCACUAAGGACAAUUAGUAGACUGUGGAACUUAUUAUAGAUAAGUAAAAAAAAUUAGGGGUGAGAACAUGCAGAUUAGCAAGUAAAAACUAUGAUUUCCUUAACAAUUGACUCCAUGCUUAAAAAUAAGGAAGAUAGAUAAAAAGUACAAUUAUAUAAAAUCGAAUAUCGACAUUUUCUUUAUGUAACAAAUUUUAUUGAGAUGCAAAUGAACCUUUCUCUAAAUGUUUCGAAUAAUUAAGUGAGAUGGUAGCAUUUUUACCGACUCAAAUUCGAUCAAAUUGACAAGUGUCAAAGGAUUACAAAGUCAAAAUUCUCUUCCAUAAGAUAACCUCCCCUAUUGAAUGAACUCCUUGCGGAUCUGCAAAGUGCAUCAUCUAGAAAAGACUUGGUUUCGGUGAAAUUGGAGAAAAUAUCUAUAUAUUUAGUCUAUGGAUAACGUGGUAGGUAGAACAAAUUAUAGUGUAGAAGCUAUAUGAAAAUUUAUAUUUCAAUAAGAUCCAUAAGGAUCUAGAAGUUCUUGAAAUGUGAUUACUUUGGUUUAGUAUAAAUUACUCAUGCAAUUGUGCCCAUGCCGCAAGGCUAAAAUGAUGUAAAACACCAAAUUGCACUACUAUGGUCGUCGUCGUCGUCGUCGUCGUCAUUCUUACACUCUCCUUUCAGCGUUUUGCUGGACAAGUAUUGAAGGAAGCAGCAGCAAUCAAGACUUAAAAGAACUCCUGGAUCUUGAUACGUAUGGUCACCUCAAGACCAAAUCUCUUUCUGUAUUCUUCCAAUGAUAGUUAUAAAUAAUUUAACUCAAGCCUUUGUGGAUCUCACAAGUAACGUUACUUGAGUCGGCUCUCAGUUGGACCGUAAGUUAAGUCAUGUAAUGGACAUUGAAGAAUAAAUACACUGAGGCACAUUGAGUCUUAGCAAGAUUAUUAUCUAUGAUCCGGGAAUGGACUGGACAGCCAAUCCAAGAAAGUGGUGAAUAAUUGCCAUGAUGUUUAAGCUUGAAAAAGUGUGACUCUUAGUGGUUUGUGACAUUUCAAAUCUCACAUCAAAUAAAAAAGAACUAAAGAUGUAAGUUGAAAUCCACCCCCAAAAAUACCACCUAAAAUCUUUUCUAGGGAGCUUCACCCGCAUUGAACGCUCCAAGUAAUUUUAUGUUUUCAUUCAGAUUGAACAAAUUUGUAUCGCCUUGUAAUAUUUGACGAAGCAUAAUUAUGAUAAGAAAAUCCUAUAGCUCAUGCUACUCUAGCGCAUUAGAAAGUUAAUUCUAAACCCAAUUGACCUACAUGCCUCAUAACCUUGAGAUCGUUGAGCAGUUCAAUACCUAUUCCAUGCUAAUGGUCUGAGCAAGGAAUGAUAGGAGAUGUCAUUUUAAUUAGAAAUGCAAAAUCAUAGUCCCAAAGUUAAGAACAAGAAAAAAAAACGUCACGUCAAAAUAAAACGAAGUUAAGAACAUGAAAAACGUCGCGCCAAAAUGAAACUAGAAUUUCUCAAUUGCAUCCUUUGGGCUCCUAUAAAGUAACUCGCGUCAUUGUUUGCUAAUGAGUAGCGAAUGCCUCAACUUAGUUUGCAAUUAUCAUAUGUUCCACUUCCAGGCUAGGCUGUUUCUAGUGUGCUUUUUUGUCCAAGUAGAGUGGGCACUUCAACCACAGUAUGCAAGGCCGUGCAUAUGUUUGUCAAUUAGAUCCAGAGAUAAUUAAUCAUGAGUUUUUUUUAUAGCUGUGAAAAUCUUCAUAAUGUUUUUGUAAUUCAUUUGUGAGAUUUAUUUAUUGUUUCACUAGAAAUUGUAUAGACUAAAUACUAUGUAGGUUAUGGAUUGAGGGUCGUGAAAACUUGGGAGUGCUUUAGUGACUUGGGCGUGGUUAUAACAUCUGUUGUAUUACUUGACUAAUAGUAGGUCGUUCUCCCCUUGGACUAGAUCAUAUCAACCAAGCCACAUGUAUUCGGCAUCUAAUUGACUUUUUCUAUUUUCUGGUUUAUUGUUGCUAUUCCUUCUUUCUUUUACAACAAAACUCAAGAUAAAUGUAAUGACAUGUCUAUUUUUAGUUUGAUUUAUAUUUAUUUUCUUGUAUUGGCUUUUUUUUUUGGUCCAUCUAGUAUUAACAUAUUUAAAUAUUUUGUAAAUGAUCUGUUCUACAAUAAGGGAACAAAUUCUAAGAAAUAAAAUGUACAUGUUGAGGUGCAAAUUUCAGUCGAUCUUGCACAACCGUAUGGCUCAAUUUCUAGUUGUUUCGAAACCGAUGGCAAUAAUUAGGUCCAUCUUUAUAUAUAUAAAUAUAGAUGUUCAUUUUACUUAAUCAUGUAAUAUCCAUUUGAAAAAAAGGUAAUCCUACAUGUUCCGGGAAAAAUUAGUACAAUAAAACUUUUAUUAAUUGAUUUGUAAGCACUCUAAAGGUAAUUCCUUUAAAAGGCAGUCAUAAUUGUUUUGAUUGAAAAAAAUCGUGGUAUUCCCCAACUAUUUUGUGCCUUAUGUAUUCCUACAAUGCUGAAUUAGUAAUAAAAUAUCAUUAAUUUUGAAAGAAAAAAAAAAGAGAAAGUAUAGUGGUGUCACUUUUCGAAAAAUCAAAAGGAAAAUGAGAUAUCAUUGUAAUUGAGGGUGGAUCUUAUUUCGGAGACUUUUGCUGCUCCUUGUCCGAAUAAAACAAAGGAUGGACAUCCAUUAUUGAUAGUGGUGUCACCUUUUGGAAAAAGCAAAAGGAAAAGGAGGCAUCAAAGGCAUUAUUGUCCUUGCUGGAGGGUGGACCUCAUUUCGGAGACUUUUGCCACUUAUUGUCUGACAAAAGCAAAGGAUGGACGUGCAAGUUGUGAAAAGACCAAGAUCGUCCUAGUGUGAAACACAUCACGUUUGUCAUGCAAAUGACUCGAUAUAACAAUGUUACUUUGGAAGAAAAAGCAAAAGAAGCAGUAGACAUUAUUGUCCCUGUAGUGAACUGCGGACAUUUAAAACAAAGAAUUGAUAUAUGAGACGCGUAAAGACCACUAUUCUUACGCAAAAAAUUGUCAAGAAAAUCGACCACAUUGACUUGGCAUUUACUUGAAACUUUACAGGCGAGUCUGAGAAGAUUCUCAAGAUCAAUUUCAGACUGCAAAAUUCAGAUCCAAACAUUGCGGGUUUCAUUCUAAUUCUUCUUCUAUAUCUGGGUUGGUUAGUGCUAUUUCGAUUUCAAAUCCAAAUUCGAGCCAACUCGAAUCAAGAGUUUCUUGCUUUAUCUAAUUAUUCUUUGUUUGUUUUUUUUUUCAAGUUUUAACUCAAUGAAGUAUAAAAUACCGAUAUUUUCUUGGAAAUUAUCUCUCAGGUGAGUCUCUAAAUCCUUGGUAUCCAAUUACAAUUCAAUGGAAAAUUGGGUCGCCAUCGCACUGUUGGCAAGUUUUUGUCACCACUUACUGAAAACCGUAGGGGUAAGUAUACUAUUAGUGCCAAAACUUGUGUAUAGCGCUCACUUUGAUGCCAAAAGUUUAUUUUGGAUCACUUAAGUGCUAAAUUAGAGGAAAAACGAUCACUCUGAUGCCAUCGGCGAGAGAUUCCGACCAAAAUAAUUACGUGGCUUUUAUAUUUUAAAAAAAAAUAGAUGAGGCAAAAAUUGAAGAAGAUUGUCCACGUGAAAUGGCAUAAAACGACACCGUUUCCCUUUCUUCAUAAGAAACAACAUCGUUUUAUGCCAUUCCACAUGGACUCACUUACAAAACGACGCCGCAUUACUCUGUGGCCAAAACGGCGUCACUAAAGAGUGAGUAAAUUAGGGUCCGUACCAUACAAAUUACUAUUCUCGCUCGAGGCCGGCCAUAGCUCGCUCACCCACCAUCGUUCACUUGCCCGCCGUCGCUCGGCCACCGCCGUAGUUGCGCUGUCGUUCACAGUGAUUCGCUGGCUAUGUCCCCAACCGUCACUCACUUAGGUUUGUCAUGUUCUCUACGUGGGUCAAUUUAGUGAAAAAUUUAGGGUUCCGACAGGCAAGUUAGGGCGCAGAGGGCAAAUUGAGAGGUCGGCAUAGGGGGAAAGUGGUGGGGAUCUCACUUUCAUGGGGACUGAAUUGAAAAAAUUAGGGUUCCUUCGUUCGCUUUCUUUUGUAGGGACCGAUUAGAAAAAUAGGGCAUGGAGGGGAAAAUGGGAGCUCGACUCGAAGGGAAACAAUGGUGUGACCUUACUUUGUUUAAUUAGUUGGACUGCUUUUGUGGGGGACCAAAUGUGAUUGAAUUGAAAAAUGGGCGGUGAGGACCUCACUUUGUUUAUUCAAUUCGGCUUCCUUUGUUUCUGUAAAAGGACCGAAUUGAAUAAAUUGGUUGCAUUUGUUUCUUUUGACAAAACGACAAGGACCUGCAUAUAAAGUUGCUAAUUAUGUCAUGUGGUCCCAAAAACUAAUGACUUUUUUUUUCCUUGGGUGCAGCAUCGACAUGGACAAGAAUCAGGUAGGCAUCAUUGUUUGCUAUGGUGGAGAGUUUGUUAUUGGCGUCGAUGACUAGGAAUAUACUGGUGGAAAUGAAGGUACUAUUUAUGUCAAUAUUCGAAAGCCAUCAUAUAUAGAUUUUGUGAUGGAUUUGGUAUAUUUUUUACGAUAUAAAGUGCAAAAACUACAUUACUGUGUUCCUGGGUCCUGGGAAGGAAUUGAAGGAUGGCUUGAGAAUUUUAAUGACGAUAAUGGUAUUAAGGAUAUCAUUUACCAUUAUCUUUACGGCAACGAAGCUGGGGUAUAUGUUCAGUAUUAUAGUGAUGAUGAGGAUGGUGAGAAUGAGGAUGAGGAUGAAGAUGAGGAUGGGGAUGAGCAUACCACCACCAAAAGAGGGGAAGUGAGGGAUCCUACUCAAGCGAGUAAUCAAAUCAGGGAUGAGUUUAAGUUAGAUGAAGGACAAAAUGAGAGGGAGAGAAGUCAUAGUGAUAGAGAUGAACAAACAGGGAGAUGUCCUAAAAUACUGGGUGAAGAUAUGGGCAAUGAAGACUUCAUCGGAUUAGAAUGGGAAGUUGCUCUAUCCAAUGAAUCAGAAGACGAAUAUUUGGCUUUAGUAAAUUUCCCAAGUGACAAAGAUGAUGAUAAACUCACACAGUCAAGACAAAAGCAAAGGGAAUUUCUCAAAAAAAAAUUUGCAACUUCAGGAAAGAGGCCCAAGUCAGUAAAUAGGGAUGCAGCUCCAGCUAAAGGUAAUAAAAGUGAAGAUGAAGAAAGCUGCAGCGAUGAAAUGCUGCUUCAGAGAAAGAGCUUGGCAAUGAUGAUGAAGAACCUACUUGUGGAAGAAAAAGUAAGUACCAUUGCUAUGAUUCAACUGUUGAUAAGCUUGUUUUGUCUGUGGGCAUGAGAUUUGACGAUGCAAAACAGUUAAAGGAAGCUAUUGUGAAGAAUUCCAUUGCUGAACAGAGGAGCGUUGAAUUCAUUAGAAACACGAAGGAAUUUGUGAGAGCUAAGUGCUCACAACCCAAUUGUUCAUGGAAGCUCUAUGGUGCACUCAGUAGGAAGGGGUCAUUCCAAAUUAGGUCCUUCCAGGAGAAGCAUACUUGUUCAAUUAUAUUUAACAAUAAAGAGUCACAAGUGUGUGGUUAUUGAAACAUUUUUUUCAAUACUAUCAAAGCAAUGCCCGAAAUCAAGAGUCAUCGGUUUCAACUAUUAGUGAAUGAGCAAUUACGGCUUAAUGUGUCAAGGAAUCAAUGCCAGAGAGCUAAGCUGAGUGUGAUGAAACUAUUGAUGGGUGGGUAUAAGGAAGAAUAUGCGCAGGUAUAGGAUUAUGCUGGCGAAUGCAUACUUCAAAACCCAUCCAAUAGGGUAUAUGUAGAUGUUGUGGAGAGGCCAUUCCUUGAUCUUAGGCCUAGAUUUGAUAAAUUUUAUGUCUGUUUUAAUGCAUGCAAACAGGGCUUCUUGGUUGGUUGUAAAAGAGUUAUAGGAUUGGAUGGAUGCUUUCUAAAGGAUUUAUGUAAGGGGGAGUUGUUGGCUACUGUGGGGAGAGAUGCCAAUAAUCAAAUGUUUCCGAUAGCUUGGGUGAUGGUGAAGAUAGAAAACAAGGAUACUUGGUCUUGGUUCCUAAAAAAUUUAAUGGUUGACCUUGAGAUAACCAAUGGAGGAGGAUGGGCAUUCAUGAGCAACAAAUAGAAAGUAAUACAAUUGUCAAUUAAUUCAUUCCCUUUUAAUAUUAAUCACUUGCACAUUUUUCCUAACUUGUAUUUAUUGGUUUGAAUUUUUAUAGGGACUUAUUCCUGCAUUAACUUAAUUGAUACCACAUCCUGAGCAUAAAAUGUGCGUGAGACACAUAUGCGCAAACUGGUCAAGGAACUUCAAACGAGAUAAGUUGCAGAAUCAGUUCUAGCAGAUAACGAAGAGUACCAACAUGGUUGAUUUCAUAUUAGCCAAACAGGGAUUGUUGCAGCUGAUAAAGAAAUGUUUUGAUGUACUCUUCUAGACAGAAGCUAAGCACUAGUGUCGGGCCUUCUUUUGCGAAGAGUUCAAAUGCGAUAUCAUUGAUAACAAUCUCAAUGAAACUUUUAAUGGUAGAAUUUUAGAGGCCAUGUGCAAACCAAUCAUCAGCAUGCUUGAUGAUAUUCGAGUUAUGGUCAUAACUAGACUGCAUAGGCAAAAAGAUGAGGCUACAAAAUGGACUAGAGAUUGUGGUCCUAGGAUUGUGAAGAAAUUUGAUGCAAACAUUGCUGCUAGUAUGUUCUACCAUCCAGUUUGGAAUGGAGAUAAUGGAUAUGAGAUCAUUCAAAAUUAUGAUAAGUAUGUUGUCAACCUAGAGAGAAGAAAGUGUUCAUGUAGAGCUUGGCAACUGAAUAGAAUUCCCUGUGCCCAUGCCAUUUGUGCUAUUUAGAUGAAGCAAGAAAACCCAGAUGAUUACCUAGAUAAUUGGUACAAAAAAAAGCUCACACCUUGCUUUGUACCAAUUCAUGAUGCAGCUUAUCAGAAGCAGCAAAAUUUGGGAGCCAACAAAUCAUGAAAACCCUCUACCAUUACCACUGAAGAAGCAAAUAGGAAGGCCAAAAAGGAGAUGAAGAAUGUAGCAGGAAGAGGCAUCAAGUCAGAGGAUGUGUAAGACUGGAGUAAAGAUGACAUGCUCCUAUUGCCACAAGGAAUGGCACAAUAAGAAAGGUUGUGAGCUGAAAAAGCAGCAUCAACAGCAAAAUGUAAUGGAUGAUUUAGUGCCAAGAACAAGACAUACUAAAGAGCUUCUUGUUGGGCCUACUGAAGGGAGGACAGAAGGCCCUUAUGUAUUACCUACUGAAGGACGGACAGAAAGCCCUGUUGUAAGGUAAGUAUCCUCUUUUCCUCUGUAACUUUUCGGUUCAAAUUCGAUAGAAUUUGAUGAUUGACCAUGUGUACUGUCUUCUCUUGUGCUUUUCCUCUAUCAUGCAUUCGUAAUUUGAGAAAUUUUCUCCGUUUGUUUCCACCAUGAAAAUGAGUAGAUGUCUAAUAAUUUAUUAUAGUUCGUCAUAAUCUUGAUACAAUAUAUUGUUGUAAAGCCUACUAAAUGGCCAAAAAAAGGCCAUGUUGUAGGCUCAAAUGCAGGGACAUAGAUUGGAAUGGACAUGACAGCAACAACAACAACUGAGUCCACUGUUGAGCAAACGAGAAAAAAAUAUCCUGUAAGUUGUACAUUGCUGUGUUUGUAUUUUAUGGGCUGAAAUUUAAAUUUGCUAUUCCUUUCUUAGGUGAGAAGACGAGCAACUACACGAGUUGCACAGGCUGCUCCCUCAUUCAUUGCUACUGUUGAAAAUGAUGCAUCACGGCGAACAAGAGGGGCUCUUGGAAAAAGAUUAAGGCAAUAUGUUUAUGGAAUUUACACAGAUGAACGUACUGGAAUAACUAUUUUGAAUGUAAGAUUUGUAUGCCUCAUGCAUUUAAUUUGUUGUACUUCAAUUCAUUUCAUUUGGUUGAUAAUAUGGCUAUAUUUUUGUAGCCCGGGAGAACUUCGGAAGUACUUAUCUCUCAAGGUGGGCCAACUCAAGAAUCAAAGGCCAAAGAAGAGUGCUCCAAAGAAGAAGACAGUAGGUAUAGCUGCAAAACAGCAAUUCAAAAAGAACCCAACACCAAUUCCAUCUUAACCAAUUGAUCAAGGGAGCAAUAGUGAUUAUAUGGACCAACACAUAACACAUGCUAGAAUAAAAAUAGCCGCUGUCAAGAAAAAGGAAAAGGAGGUGACAGAAAGGCUAGUUAAAGAACUUGCACAUCCAGUUCGAAAGAGUGCUCGGAUUAUGAAUCAAUUCAAAGCUCCAAGAGGAAAAGGAGAUUGGGGUGUUGUGCAUAUUGACUGAUGGGAGGGUGCUAAACAUGGUCUCUUUUUAUGUGGUGCUGAUCUCUUUUUAUAUUUUCUUUUUUUAGGAGGGUGCUGGAUAUUGUAUCUUUAUUGAUGGUAGUUGCUGCCAUUGUUUUUUAAGGAGGGUGCAUAUUGCCAUUGUUUUUUUAAAAGAGUGCUGAACCUUCAGUGAUUGGGGAGUGAAGUCUAUCACGCCCCAAUCCUCGAACGCGUGUCCAUCCCUCAGUGGUUGAAUAAAUUACAACAUUCCAAGACGCGUCGCCGACCCAUUCAUUUUAAUGCGCAUGCAGAAGCGUAUAAAUAAAUCCCCAGACAACGCAAAGAUGUGAUAGAAAAGUAGGACCUUAUUUUCAAAACCACAACACACCUUUACACACAGCUGACUAAGUCAUUUACAAAACUAGUAUAUAUUCACAAGUCUACAAAGGAUUGGUCUUCAAAACAAAGCCGUCCUAUGACCUGCUAGUCGGACUCAUUCGCUGAUUCUCUAAUCUCCACAGGCGCUAGGCGCGUCAAGUCCUCCACCACACUAUCAGGAGGGUCAACUGGAUCCUCGUCUAAAGUAGCAUCAACUACCGCAAUUGGGAUAUCAAAAGUCCUAACGGGACCCACCCUGAAACCAUUGGGUCCAUAGCGAAACCACGCUCUAAAUCGAUGAGGUAUUUUAUGAGGUGGAUUCUCUUCGACCUAGACAAUAGUCAUUACAAGUUCGUAAACCCAGUGACUUCCGGGAUCGGGAUAGCUAGAAACUCGCUCAGUAACCCUCAUGGGACGGCCAAAACGCUUAGGAGGAUUCGCCAUCUAAGGGUCUGAAAAAGUUGAGCCCACGACAGAGUGAGACGAUGUCUCGGCAAGUUCACCCCCUAAACUCCGACUAGAAAGGAAAUACACCUAAAGGUUGUCUAUGCACACACAAGAUAGAGGACUUAUCUCGCCUUAGUUCCUUCCUGCAAGUCAGUACAGUUCAUGAUCUCAACCAAUAACUCAAAUUAAAUCAAACCAUCGAUCAAUCAGUCAAUUAGCUCAAUUCGAUACCAACAGUAUUAUCUAUCAAAUCAAUACCAUAUAUCAAUCCUCUGAUACCACCACUACUCACACAAGUUGCAAUAUAUGGUCAUAGCUCGCUCAAGCCGAUAUAAAUGAUAGAUAGCUCGCUCAAGCUGAUAAAUAUAUAGAUCGUGCUCGCACAAGCUAAUAAAACAAUCUUAGCUCACACAAGCUGAUAAGGUAUACUACUCUUACAAGCUGGCGUAUCAAAGCACUUAGGCUAAUACAGUAUACUGCUCUCAUAAGCUGACAUGCAAAGGGUCCCAAAAGCUGACAAUAAAUAUGCUCUCACAAGUUGACAUGCAAAUAUGCUCUCAUAAGCUGAUAAUUCAUCGUGUUAAAAAUACGUGAUAAAAAUAAUCGUGUGUGAGUACACGAUCGGCCUGAGCCAAAAUUGCAAUAUCUUUCUUUUCAAAAAUCUCACUAUUUAAUAUAGUCCAUAAACACAUUUUUGGCGUUGUAAACUGACACCUAGUAUUUUCUAAUUAAAUACCAAAAUUACUCAAUUUGGGAUAAAUACACAAAAUUACAAUUCCCACUCAAUUUGUACAAAUCAACACUCAAUUAAAUAAACCAAGCAUACUAUUGCAAUCAGCACGAAAUUCCGAUCAUCAGUUAUCUCGGUAUAAUUUUCAGAAAAUAAUAAAUAAUUAAAAAAAUACCAAAACUAAUUAAAUAAAUGCAUUUAAAUGCCAUAAAUAGAAACUUAGGCCGAAACAGCCUAAUUAAAUACCGAAACGUGCCCGGAAAAAGUUUGAACCAAUCUAGAUAAAUAAUACAACUUAUCUAGUUGCUAAUUAAGCUUAUCUAACCACCUAACAUGUAAUAACAAGUAAUUAAAUCGCUAAUCCGUUCGAACUAACCACCUAAAUCAUACUUAGCCUAAACUAAUCAACCAUUAAGCAUAAUUAACUCUCUAAGCAGAGUUUAGCGAGUAAACUCACCGGUUUAGCGAUCCGGUGAGUUCACGACGAUGGCAAUGCAGGGAUGGGUGACAAACUCCGAAGGGGUGACACCCUACAAUUCCCGAAAGAGCUUGGAAAUGGGCCACAAAGACCUAGGGCCCUUGCUAGUUCGAUUCCUGCUUUAGGCCGAAGGAGAUGGAACCAACGACUGAAAUGGUGAGGGAAGGGACACGGCUGAACGGCGAGGCUGCUACGGGACUAGGCGAAGGCAUACGAUGGCUCAAGCAACCACGACGGCGACCACGACGGCGAGUAGGGUGCAGAUGUGAGCAGGGGACUCACAGACUUUGGCACGCGAGCGAGCAGCACUGGCGGGCGAGCGGCGGCUUGGCGGUGGUCGAACGGGCAUGCGACGGGCAGGGGGGCUUGGCCUGGCCUCUUUUGGUUUUUUGGGAGCUCCACAAGGUCUAACAAUGGAGAAAGCAAGUCUUGCUAAAGAAGAAAGGCCAGCUGCAAGAGUGGAGGGAUCCCUUGGCCCCAAAGUCUCCAUUCCUAUCUCAUUUGUCCCCUUGGCAAGGCCCCACUUGUUUCAGCUCAAUCCUCAGCUAAUUUUGUGCACACAAAUCCCCCUAUAACAAGUCCCAAGUGGUCCAAAAAGUGAGGGGGACCAUGGCCUACGAAUUUGCACCCAAUUUCCCAAAUUGAGCCAAGUUCCUUUCCAAUUGAACCCAAAUUGGAGUCAACAAUUCCCACCAAAAUGUCCACACUUCAAUUCACAUUUUUUUUACACCAAUGAAACCAACUUGCAUCCCAAAAACGUGAUAAAAAAUGGUCCCCUGAAUUUUCCGGAAAAAACGGCCCUAUUUUGAAUUUUCGCCUAAAAUUUCGGUUUGCAGAAAAAUCUUUAGAGGAUGAGUUGACAUUCCUAAAAUUGAAUCAAGACAUGUCAGAACUUUCAACUUCUAAAAUCGGAUUCAAAUUCGUGGUUAAUUUCAACCUGGCGCGAUUUUAGCGUGGCCUAACCUACCAGAUAACUUUUAGGAAUUUUUAGUACAAUUGACCGGUCAAUUAUUUUCAAGCCACAAUGUACAUCUUCGACACAUUGGCAACUCUUUCAAAUACGAGCACAGGAUACCAAAACGACAGAAAAAUCAGUCUAGUGCCGGUCGACAGAAAUUUUGUAACCAGGUGACUAAUCACAUACCUCUAUCGAAUCGACCUAUCUCCGGUCUCUUAUCUAUUUUGAUAGUGCUGUAAUGAACCUUGCAGACUAGGACGGUCGAGCAGUCAAUUCCUAGUCGAAUUCUCAAGUCUAUUGCGUUAAAAUCCUUUAACGGCUUCACCUGAUAAGCUAGUUAUCUCGUGAGUAGCCAACUCAAAGAAAAGAACUAUAGGCGCGUCAAUGAAAAGCCCAACUUAUUCAAUCGAAGACAGAACCUAAAAAUCAAGAUGUCACAAAGUCAAACAUGUUUUGAACUUUAAAAAGAAUCAAUCAAUGUCAAUGGCAAUAGCUGUUUUUGUUAUUUUCUCUUGUGUUGGUUUCGGCUAGUAAUGCUGGCAAGACAGUUAUCAGUUAUACUAUAUAAUUUUAUUUUUUUUGGUGCAAUGUUCUUAUAAGGCUGAUAUUGUUUUUAAAAGUAAUGUGUGCAUAUAUUGUUGCUAGUUGAAAUUGUGGAUGCUAAUGAAUUUUUGGGUUCUGGUUGGUUGUAUGUGCUGGUGCAAGGACAAAAUACACCGGCUCACCUUGGUGUAGUUGUGGGAGCUACAUCUUCUUGCAUGAGCAAUUUUGGGUGCUGGUGCAUCUUAUUACAUCAACACUUGUAUGGGCUGGUGCAAGAACAAGAUACAUCAGCAACCCAACUAGUGCAAGAACAAGAUACACUAGCAACCCAACUGGUGCAACAAGAUGCAAGAUGCAUGACGACUGGUGUAAGUCAAGUGAUGUUUGAAAUUAACAUGUUCUUUUUUAAAAAACUUGUUCAACACAAGUGAUCACUUUGUAAUCACGACUAGCACUUAAAUGAUCACUUUUAUAAAAACUUGGCACUCAAGUGAUCACUAUUUACAACUUAUGGCACUGAAAUAGUCAAUCAUGAAUUUGCCACCAUCCCUUAAUUUCGCCAUGGCUUGCAAUAAUAAGUUGCAGCAAACCAGCAAACUAUUACCAAAUAAAAAAAUGCAGCAAAUCAUUAUAUCUGAAGCAAAAACUAACCAAAACAAAUAUUGACAAUACACAACUAAGCAAGAAAACUUUUAAGUGCUCACAACUAAUGCAUUCCAACUCCAACCUUCCAUUUCAACCAUAGAUUACAACAAAACCUUCCGCUUCAUACAAAAAUUGCAGCAAACCAAAAACAUACUUAUAAAUAAUCCAAUAUAAAUGCAUAUUCCACGUCUUCGACUAUGCUAGACAUACAAACUUCUUCUCAUUACUCACUUCACAUUUGAAUAGACUAUACAAGAGAAUAACAACACAAUAAUGCUCGAUAAAAAAGUUUCUUUCAAUUUUCAACCUUGAAACCUCCCUCUUCAAAUGGUCCACCAGAAAUGUUAAACCCUUUAUUUGAGCUUGCAUUGAGUCGACAACCUCCAACUCAUCCAUUAAUGUAGGUGGAGGUUGAUGUUGGCCUUCAAGUAACUCCAAGAUCACCUAUGUCACUUGAUCAAAGAAUUUCUUAUUAACCCAUUUGAAAUAUUUGCAUUUUGAGUCUUCUCUAUAUCUGCCGCACCCAUGGAAUCUUCUCUUAGGAUUCAAUUGAGUUUAAGAUGUUCUUCUUGGACUCGGUGACCCACAAUAACAGUAAUACUCACCAUCUAAUUCGCUUUUUCUAUAGGAAUGUGAGCCGCUGCUGAAGCUUCCGCCUCCAUUUGCAAGAGCGAGCUAAUAAUUUUGAAAGAAAAUCAAAGUAUGCACUCAAAUUGGGGAUUUAGGGUUUUGAACUUCCGAUUCUCUCUCAAUUUGGGGAUUUAUGAUUCUUACUUGGGGGGAAACGACGCUAAAUGGCAUCAUUUUGUUGUUUGUUGGCUGAUUGUACUCUCUGGCAAUCCACGUCGGCUUAAAAAAUUAAUAAAAAAACUACUACGUCGGAUUUCCGGCCAACCAGAUCGGCGUUAGCACUGAAAUGAUCGUUUUUCAAAAGUUUUGGCACUUAAGUGAUCCAAAAUAAACUUUUGGCACCAAAGUGAGCGCCGUACACAAGUUUUGGCACUAAUAGUAUACUUACCCCAAAAACCAUAUGUUACUAAUGAUGUGAUCACUACAUAAUUAAUAUAGUCGAGACUAUGAAUAAUGUAUAUAGUAUUUAGCUUCUUAAAAGCUCGAUCAUCAUUUAUAAAGGUUGUCAUCAAGCUAUGAAGUUCAUCAUCUUAAUGCAAAACAUCAUCUAAAUGCAUAUACUCUUUAACAGACUUUUUACCAAACUUCUACCAUACUUUUGUUAAACACGAAAUUUUAGAAUGUUCUCAAAUAUAUAAAAUAUACGAUUGAGAACUUAAAAAUCAUAUUAAUUUUAUUAGAAAAGUUGAUAAGAAAUAUUUUGUUUUAUUAUAAGAUAUCGAAACCCAAGGGCCCGAAUUAAAAGUUGGUAGAUGCUUUAUGAUGGCAAGAGUCGAGGCCCUAGUUAAUAAGUUAGUGACUUGGGAUGCACAUCAUAUAUAAAAAUAAACAUAAGAAUAUUAUAAAGAGAAAUUUCCAAGGUUAUGAACCGAUGAAAUUCAUCAAAAUGUGAUUUUCUAAUAAGUAACGACCGGCAGUUACAGCCCAAUAUCAUGUUUUGGAAAUGUUCAGCCAUAGAAAGUGUCUGGCCUUGUCCUUUUCCUAUCAACUUUUAGUUUUCACAUUGACAUGAACGCUCAAAAAGAAAAAAUUGCCAUGUACAGAAGCCACAUCCCCAAUUCACCUGGUAUAAAAAAAUUGAUAAGUAUCGAAAAUAUGUCUCGAAUUUGAGUCCAUUGAAUGAAAUUGGACUGAUGAGAAUAUGUGACUUCGAUCACAAAUGGCACGUGUUCUGAGCAGCCGAAAGAAUAAUCCAGCUUUAGAAAUUCUUCUCAUGGCUGAACGUGCAGCAUUAAAUGAAGAACUUCUUUUCUUCAUUUCUUCAUUCCCUUUUUUAUUUUUUUGACGCGUCUUCAUUUCUUCAUUCGUUUAUUGAUCUUCUUGACUUUUUGCUCCAUCUACGUUGCUUUCUCUCCUUCCCUUCUUUUGUCUUUGUUAAAAAUUGAAGAAAGAGAAAGGAAGGGCCCAUGUGCAAGAACGUCAGUCUUCCUCCACUCAUUAAUGCAAGCACAUUUCCUUUGUCUUUUCUUUCAUCUGAAAUGGGCUUCCUCGUGUUGCAGUAAAUGAUAGAGAUUCUCUUUUGUAUUAUAAAAGAGAGAGAGACGUCCAACAGAGAAGGAGCGCGCCAAUUUCCUUUGAUGGCCGAAAGAGUGCCAAAGUCCAUAAAAUGAUUUCUUUCACUUCUGAAUCCCAAACAAUCUGAUUAGGAGUUAGUACACAAAGAUUUAAGGUCAUUUCUUCAAUUUACACUCUAUUUCUAAUCGCUCCAUCCCAGCAGGGUCAAGGAACCCGUCGCUGUCUCGGCUGUGCUAUCGGAGGCUCCAGAGAAGUCAAAAUAGGAAAGCACUCAUCUGGGGAAGUAUCUAAUGAAUUAUAAAUUCAAUACAUUCUGUUUAGCAGAAAAUGAAUAUUCCUUACUCUAAUGAAUUAUGAGUUCAUUUUCUCAAACUGCAGAAUCCUAGAUUAAUAUUUGGAGAUUAUUUGAAAGAUAAUAGCAGCUCAUUUUGUCACGAGUGCUCCAGUCUUUGGCUCAAAAUAGCUUGUCUUCUCGAUGUGUAGCGAUGAAAGAUUAAAGAAAAAUUUGUCAAGUUCACAUUGCCAACUUUCAUAAAAUAAUUUUUGGAACAUUUCCUUAUUAAAAUGAUGGACUCUCAAAUGAAUAAUGCAUUUGGAAAAUGGAACGAGCACUGGACAUGACUUCGUCACACGGGGAAUUGUCAUUGGUUCGUCUCAUGCAAGUGGUUAGGACCAGCUGGUGUCAACUCCAUAACUUGAACUUAGUCCAUAACAUUUGACCAAAAGGACGAAAAAAAAAAACUGAAAACGAAAAGACCCAUCUUGCUUCUCCUUAUAUGUCCCCAACCCAUCAAAUUCAAUCAUCAAGAAAAUUACAUGUGUGCGAACAGAGUUGAAGGAAGAACCAUGGUCAUCCGUGAGCUUCUCUUGAAAGUUGUGGUGCUUGGGGCUUUAUUCGGUCUACACCACAAUCACAUAGCAGAAGCUGAUGAUUUAGUGACGAAGCCUGGAUACCGAAGUUCCUGCGGACAACUUAUGAUUCCGUAUCCCUUUGGAUCGAGCGACAGUAGUUCCGACUGCCACAUCGAUCACCCAUCUUUUACUGUCUAUUGUGACGACUCUACCGACCCUCCUGUGCCUUACCUCCAUAAAAAAAGUUCUAACUUGAAAAUACGAGACAUUUCUGUGGAAGGCCACAAAAUGCGAUUAACUGUUUGGACCGGUCAAAAUUGCUAUAACUCGUCUGGGUAUGAUGAGUCUUAUAGCAAUUAUGUAUCGGUCAUCAUAUCUGAAUUCCCUUUAUCCAGCACCAAGAACAAGUUCACUGCCGUUGGUUGCGACACCUUAGCCGCCUUCCGAGACCGCCUUGGGAAGUUCUCUUUCGGGUGUAUGUCUUGGUGUAGCAGCGAUUCGGAUGUCAGUGAUGGGUCGAGUACUGGUAUUGGUUGCUGUGAGACAAGCAUCCCAAGGAACACCUUCAGCUACAUCAUCUCGUUCGAGAGCUUUUCCAAUCAUUCCAACAUCCUGGAUUUCAAUCCUUGCAGCUAUGCCUUCGUCGCAGAAACCGGAUCCUAUAACUUCUCGGUUGGUGACCUUAAGCAGCUUAAAUUUAAAGAUCCCCCUCUAGUUCUCAAUUGGGCGAUAGGGAAUCAAACGUGUGAGGAGGCCAAGAAGAACAGCACAAGCUACAUGUGCACCAAGAACACCAAUUGUACUGAUGCCGAAAAUGGAUUUGGGUACAAGUGCACUUGUUUGGAAGGUUACCGAGGCAAUCCUUACGUCGAGGAUGGUUGUCAUGGUAGGUUCAUAAUAUCGUCAUUCUCUAUCUUGUCCUUUGCAUUAAUAAGAUUUGAGAAGAUAGAUACAUUUGAUGUGUGUUUAAUUUAUGUAGAUAUUGACGAAUGUGCAGAUCCAACGUUAAACCAAUGUGAGGGAAAGUGCCAUAAUAUUGAGGGUAGUUAUACAUGUUCAUGCUCAAAGGGUCAUCGGGUGUGUUUGGUUCAGCAUUUUGAAACUUAUUGGGAAAAUGCAAAGUAGUUUAGCCUAAAGGAAUUUAGGUACAUGCAAAGGUCAUUUGGUAAACCAUACUUUGAGAAGCAAUUUUGAGAGAAGUGUUGUUUGGUAGAAAACACAUUUGAAAAAACCCUUUGGAUAAUUAAUAUUAGUUUUUUUUUAAUUUCAUUUGUUUAAAAUCGAAAAAAAUAAUGUAUGCAACUUUUUAAACAUAAAUUUUGACAAUAAUACUAAAACAAUCAAAUACAUAUAUAUAUUUUUAAAAAAAGACCAAACCCUUUAUCGGAAUUUUUUAAUUUUUAUUUGCUUAAAAUUGAAAAAAAAAUAAUGUAUGCAACUUUUUAUAUAUAAAUUUUGAAAAUAAUGCUAAAAAAAAUCAAAUACAUAUAGAUAAAUUUUUUUUUAAAAGACCAAAUCCUUCGUCAAAAUUUUUUAAUUUUUAUUUGUUUAAAUUUGAAAAAAUAAAGUAUGCAACUUUUAAAAUAUAAAUUUCAAAAUAAUGCUAAAAAAAUCAAAUACUUUAUAUAAUUUUUUUUAAAAGGCCAAACCCUUCAUUGGAAUUUUUUUUAUUUGUUUAAAAUUGAAAAAAAAAAUAAUGUAUGCAACUUUUUAAAUAUAAAUUUUUACAAUAAUGCUAAAAAAUCAAAUACAUAUAUAUAAUUAUAAAAAAAAGUCCAAAUCCUUCAUUGAAAUUUUCUAAAUUUUAUUUGUUUAAAAUUGAAAAAUAAUGUGUGUAACUUUUUUAAAUAUAAAUUUGAAAAUAAUGCUAAAAAAAACAAAUACAUAUAUAUAAUUUUUAUAAAUAAAAAAAAAACAAACCCUUCGUUGGAAUUUUUUAAUUUUUGUUUGUUUAAAAUUGAAUAAAAUAAUGUAUGCAACUUUUUAAAUAUAAUUUUUGACAAUAAUGCUAAAAAAAUUAACUAUAUGCUAAAAAAUCAAAUAUAUAAAUAUUUUUUUUAAAAAGACCAAAAUAUAUUUGAUUUUUUUCGCAUUAUUUUGGCAUUUAAAAUAAUAAUAAUGAGGGCAAAAUAAGAAAUUUGAAAAAUGAGCAAUGAUAGUUUUGGGGAAAAAAAAAGUAAGUUUUAGCAUUUGGCCAAAUGCUAAAAGCUCUACUAGCAUUGGGCUUUCAGCUUUCCCUAUGCUGACUUUCAUUUGAAAGCUACUUCAAAAUCGUUACCAAACAGUCUAGCAUUUCCCCAAGAGACUUUAAAGGCUGAAGCCCAUUAGAAUGUUGAACCAAACGCACCCGAUAUAGAAGCAAAAUGAAGCUUCAUGUUUUUGUGCUUGCACAAGUGAUGCAUGUUCUUGGUUUUUGAGUACAUGUGGAAGAGGAAGUCUACUAUGUGCUUUGAGAAAUGACUCCAAUAGGGUCACUAUCAUUGAUGCAUAGCACAAUUUGAUAUUUACAGUGUGAAUGGAAUUUCAAGGAUCUUUCUCUUUCAAAGUUGAAGGUGUCACGCCCUGAUCCUCAAGAGCGUACUCAUCCCUCGGUGGUCGAUUAAAUUGCAAUGUCCUAGGACCCGUCGCCGACCAUUUCAUUUUAAUGCGCAUGCGGAAGCGAAUAAAUAAAUCUCCAGACAGCACAAAGAUGGGAUAGAAAAGCAGGGCCACAAUUUCACAACCAAACCAAACAUUUAUACACAGCUAACUAGUUUAUUUACAGUACUAGUCUAUAGACAAAGAUCUACCACAAAGAGAAAGGCCACAAGUCCUCUAAGCGUUCGAACCCUUGGCCAAAGACUCCAGGGUCUCCUGGGGACUCAGGUCCACCAUUGCACCACCGGGAGGGUCAGUUGUACCCUCACCAAAAACCAUCUCCAACACCGAUAUAGGGAUCUUAGACUCCUGUAAGGGACCUUCUCUGGGUCCAUCUCCCCCGUGACGAUACCACGAUCUAAAUUGAUGGGGUACCCUCUGAGGUAGACCCGCAUCAACCCAGACAAUGGAUCUUACAAGUUCAUAAACCCAGGCUCCCUGGUCCCCAUGAAGAGGAAUCAGAGAGACUUGUUUGGUGACCUUAGGCUGGCCAAAACGCUCAGGAGGAUUCGCCAUCUAAGGAUAAAACUUGUUUGUUGAGCCCACGACGGGAUAAGACAACGUCUCAACAAGUUCACCCCUUAAACUCCGACUAGGAAGUAUACGCCUAAAGGCCGUCUAUGCACACACAAGAUAGAGGAUUUACCUCGCCUCAGAUCCUUCUUGCAAGUCAGUAUGAUUCAUAUAUUCAACUAAUCAAUUCAAUUCAAAUAAUCCAUCCAUCGAUCCACUCAAUCAAUCAAUUUAGUUCUAUACCAUCAAUAUGAUCCGUACUAUCUAUCAAUCAGUACCAUAUAUAGUUCAAUUCCAUCUAUCAAUUCAAUUGAUACAACCACUGCUCACACAAGCUGCAAUAGAUGGUCAUCGCUCUCAUAAGCUGAUAUAUAUGGUCAUAGCUCUUGCAAGCUGAUAUAUAUAUAGUAGCUCGCCCAAGCUAAUAUAUAGAUCGUGCUCCCACAAGCUAAUAAACGAUCAUAGCUUACACAAGCCGAUAAGGUAUACUACUCUCACAAGCUAACGUGCAAAUAUGGUCUCAAAAGCUGCUAAAAUGUAUAUUACUCUAACAAGCUAACGUAUCAAGCUCAUAAGCCGAUAUAGUAUACUACUCUCACAAGCUAACGUGCAAAGGGGCUCUCACAAGCUGAUGAUAAAUGCUCACACAAGCUGACGUGCAAUAAGGAUCUCACAAGCUGACAAAUCACCAAGUUAAAAAUAUCUGAUAAACAUAAUCGUGUGUGGGUACACGGUCGGCCUGAGUCAAAAUUGCAAUAUCUUUCUUUUCAAAAAUCCCACUAAUUAUAUAGCGCAUAAACACAUUUUUGGCUUUAUAAACCGACGCGCGAAAUUUUCUAAUUAAAAUACCAAAAUUACAAUUUCCACUCAAUUUGCACAAAUCAUUACUCAAUUACUUAAACCAAGCAUACCAUUGCAAUCAGCACGAAAUUCCGAUCACCGACUAUCCCACUAUAAUUUCCGGAAAAUACAAUUAAAUGCCAUAAAUAGAAACUGUGACAUCCUGAAAUUCGACCACAUUUCAAUAAAGUGAAAUGGGCAUUUCGUUGACGUGCCUAUGGUCAUUUUUCUCUGAGCUAAUCACUCACGAGUUAACUAACCUAUUGGGUGAAGCCGUUAGGGGAUGUAUCCGCGGUAAAAUCCCUAAAAUCUACUUAAUUGGUUGGAUUGGACUAAAAUCGCGUCUGAUCGAUUCUAACCACGAAAUUGAAUUCGAUUUCGAGAAUCGAAUAUUUGAGCGUGUCAUAAUUCAUUUUUAGGAUCCUGUCUCAUCAUCCGUCAAAUUAUUGACGAGUCCGAAAUUUCGGGAAAGAAAUUAUCGAAGGAAAAAUCGAAGAUCGGAAGAAAAUAAAAAGGGAAAGAAAAAGGAAAAAUAAUAAUAGUAAUAAGAAUAAUGCGAUUAUCUUAUUGUUUAUUAUUUUCUAUUUCUUUUCUCUCUCCCUUUCUCUCUCUUCUCUCCCCCACAUGAUCUUUCCCCCCCUUUCGGACUGUUCACCCCCUUCCCCUUUUUCCUUCUCUCUCUCUCUCUCUCUCUCUUUUCCCUCGUGCAAAUUCCCCUCCACCAACUACCCCUUAUCAAUUUCAACUUUGCCUCUCUCUCUCCUUUUUCAUUUUUGACUAGUCAAACACCAUUAUCUCUUCUUCUCACUCUUAUCUCUCCUUCUCUCUCUCUCCCUUGUUCGCGCGACGCCCAGCGAACCAACGAAGAAGAAGCAGAGACAGCAGCACCGAGAGGAGAAGACCAGAGCAGCUCGCCGUCGCUGCCCGUGCUCCGCCACCCGCACGUUGCCUGUGCCCUCUGCUGCUCACCGCUCGCCUUCACCUCUCCCUCACGCCCCUCAGCCGUCACCAUCCUCCUUCUCUUCCUCUCUGUUUCGUGCAAAGCCCCAGUGGAAGCAGAAACAGAAGCAGCGGCUCUCAUCGCCUGAAGCUAGAGCAGCAGCCGCCCGUUGUUUCACCGUUCACGAGUGCGCCGCCCAACUGAGUUGCCGUCUGUCCCUCCUCUCACACCAAUCCAGCGCCGUCCAGCUCCAGUCGCCUCUGUCCAUCCUUGUUCGGCCACCACAGGCAGCUACCUGACCACCUCCAGCCACCGUUCGGACACGCCAGAGCUUCCCUCGCCCUCCCCCGGCCUUACUUCACCGCCUCAACCACCGAACUAGCCCAGCCAGCCUAGAACGACCGUUGGUCAGUGGGUUUCUAGCCCCCUUCGGCCCGCUUUUGGAGCAUUUCCGGGCCCUGAACCCAGGACUUGCUUUGGGAAGAAUCUUUCCUUGUGUCGUCCCCGUUAGAUUGAUACGUUUUGUGCUAAAUUCUGGUGAGUAAUCUCACUAAUCCCUUCUUAGUUUGCUAAUUAUGCUUAGGGGUUGAUUAUAUUUAAUUAAAUGCAAUUAGGUGGUUAGAUUAGAAUAUAUUAGUUAUUACUAGACAAUUGUGAUGCAUAUUAAACAUUUUGAUUGUGCAAUUAGCAAGUAGACAUAGUCUACUAUUUAUUGAAAGUAUCUCGGGAUUUUUCCCAACCCUUAGCGGGCUUCAAUUAGGCAAUACAAGCCUAAAUUGGAUUUUCAAUAAUUAAUUAUUAAUUUUCGAAAUUAAUUAUUUAUUUAUUUAUUUUUCUGGAAAUUCAACCGGGAUGGCCGGUGACUAGAAUUUCGUGCUGAUUGUCGUGGCGCAAUCAGUUUAUUUAAUUGAGCUUCAAUUUGUAUGGAAUUGAUUUAAUUAUGAAUUUUUAGGAGUUAUUCAUAUUAAGUUCAUUGUUAAUUAUUUGAUUGAGAAAUCGUUAGGUACUGGUUGUCGGUAUCGAAAGUAAGUUGGUUAUCACCUAAAAGAAAAUACGUGGGCUCGGUGAAUUGGAAUAUCACCUGGAGAAUGUAUGUGAGUUCAGUGGUUGAAUAUGUCAUCUUGGCGAAGAAGUCGCCUUAAAGAAUGCACAUGGCUCAAAGACUCGGUAUGUCCUCCUGGAGAAUGCACGUGGCUCGGUGAUAGUGUAUGGCAUUGUAAAAAGGGCACGUGGGCUCGGUGAAUUGAUGCAUCACUUUGGUGAGUUAGCACCUAAGAGAAGGCACGUGGGCCCGGGCAUCGUAAAAAGGACACGUGGCUCGGUGAUCUAAUGCAUCACUUUGGCGAACUAGUGCUUUAGAGAAUGCACGUGGGUCCAGUAUUUGAGAAUGGCAUCUAAAAGGGCACGUGGCUUGGUGACUUGAUGUACCACCUUGGCGAAGAGGUCGCCUUAAAGAAUGCACGUGGGCCCAAGGGUUAAGGCACGUGGCUCAAAGACUUGGGAUGUCAUCCUGGAGAAUGCACAUGGCCUAACUUUUAGAUAUUCCACUGCGGGGAAUGAUUUGGGUGACAUGUAAUCGACUGGUUCAAUUUGUUUUGAGUGAGUGGGUGCCUAUUAUGAAUUAUACUGACUUGCAGGUGGGAUAUGAGGCCAAGGUAAGUCCUCUGACUUGUGCGUGUUUAGGCAGCCUAUAGUAUAAUGGUUUACUAAUUGGGCCUUAGUGGGGUAGAACUUGCUGAGACGUAGUCUCAUCCUGAUUGUAGGACAACAUUUCAAGCCCGUAGGUGAGCCCAAGGAGGAGGAAUCGGAGAAGGAGGGCACUGAAGUGAAACCUGAGGAGGAGAAAGAUUUUUGAAGAAGAAGAUGAUCCAGAAAAGGGAUCCUGAGUACGACCGGAUGAGGACUGAGGUCCCAUCCUCUUUUGGGAAUCCUGUUUUGAUGUGAAUAGUUUGUAAAGUACUCUGUUUAGUGCUAUGUAUAAAGGUUUGGUUGUAGAUUUCAAUAUGAAAAAUAUGACCUGCUUGUCUAUCCCAUUGUGUUAUUGUCCGGGGGUUUGAAACUGCUUCCGCAUGUGCUUAAUAAAUAAAAGGGUCAGCGAUACUUAGUCCUAGGAUAUCGCAUUAUAAAAUCAACCAAGUAGAAGGAUGUGUGCGUACCCGAGGAUCGGGGCGUGACAGAAACUUAGGCCGAAAAUGCCUAAUUACAUACUGAAACGGGCUCGGAAAAUUUUCAAACCUAUCUAGAUAUAUAAUAAAACUUAUCUAGUCUUUAAGCCGUUCUAACCACCUAACAUGCAAAAAUAAAUAAUUAAAUUGUUAAUCCGUUCUAACUAACCACCUAAACCAUACUUAGUCUAAACUAAUCAACCCUUAAAUAUCGUUAACUCCCUAAGCAGAGUUUAGUGAGUAAACUCACCGGUUUCGUGAUCUAGUGAGUCCAUGGCGACGACAACACGGAGACAGGCGAAAAACCUCCUAGCAGCGACACCCGACAAAGCUCAGAAGCGGCCCAAAAUGGCCCACGAAGGCCCACGGCUGGCUGGGCUACUCGGUUCUGUCCAAGGACCAAGCAAACUGGACUAGGCUAGAAAUGGCAAGCUGAAGCGAACCGGUGGCCAGGCAGGCGAGCAGGAGGACAGGCGAGGCCGAACGGCGGUGGAGGCUAGCUCGAACGGUAGCCAGUGCUUCGAUGGCAACUAAGGAAGGCUCGGGGGACGGCGAAAAGGCUCGGAAUGAGCGACUGGGCGCGGCAGGGGCGGAGCGACAUGCGCGGGCAAGCAGGCACAAACGGGUAGCAUGUGGUGGCUCCGACAGCUCGAGGGACUUGCGACGAGCUAGGGGAGGGAGUUGGUUGGCUUCUCUACAAUUUUUGGAGCUUCAAAGGCUUGAAAAUAGAGAAAGCAGGUUUGGUUGAAGAAGAAGGGGACAGCAGAAGCUUGGAGGGUCCCUCUUGGCUUCCAUUCUAUCCCUUUGUCUCCAAGGCAAGGCCCCACCAGAUGGGCUGGCUUCCUCAACCAAUUUUGUGCAUAAAAAUCCCCUUAGAACAAUCCUCAAGUGGUCCUAAAGAUGGUGGAGACCAUGGCCUACGAAUUUGGUGCCAUUUUCCCCAAUCCCACUUCAAUUACUCUCCAAUUGGACCUAAACCAGUCCCCAUAAAUCAAAAUAAGAUGUCCGCACUUCAAUUCACAUUUUCUCCACCAAUAGAACUAACUUGUAUCCCAAAAAUGUGAUCAAAAAUGGUCCUCUAAAUUUUUCGAUCAAAAACGGCCCUUUAUUGAAUUUUCGCCAAAAAUCUCGGUUUCCAGAAAAAUCUUUGGAGGAUGAGUCGACGGUCUCAAAAUGAAUCGUGAUAUGAUAGAACUUUCAAUUUGUGAAAUCGGGUUUAAAUUCGUGGUUAAUUUCAAUCUAGCGCGAUUUUAGCUUAACCUAGCCUACUGGGUAGCUUUUAGGAAUUUUUGGUGCAAUUGACCCAUGGUCGAUUUAUUUUGAGCCACAAUGUACAUCUUCAACACAUUGGCGAUUCUUGGUUGCCGUGAAAAUCUCGAGGUUUCAAAUACGGGCACAAGGUACCAAAACGACAGAAAAAUCGGUCUAGUACCGGUUGACAAGAAUUUUGCAAUAUGGUGGAAUCACCCACACUUUGAUUACAUAUCUUAGUCGAAUCGACAUAUCUCUGAUCUCUGAUCAAAUUUUAACUACGCCGUAAUGACCCUUGCAGACUAGCACGGUCGAGCAGUCGAUUUCUAGUCAAAUUCUCAAGUAUAUUGCGUUAAAAUCCCUUAACGGCUUCACUAGAUAGACUAGUUAUCUCGUGAAUGAUCAACUCAGAGAAUAGGACUAUAGGCACGUCGAUGAAAAGCCCGAUUCAUUCAAUUGAAAAUAGAACCUGAAAUUCAAGAUAUCACAGAAGGCAUGUUAGUCAUAAGAAGAAAAAGCUGAAAAAUUGGUCGAUGAUGGGUUGGAAAUUUUUAAGGCCAAACAACACCCAUUAAAAGUGUCAUAAAGACCUUGACUUCCCAUGAACCAUCGACCAUGUACUAAUCCAAAGUCAACACACGUAAAACCCCAAAAGAUCUUGACUUCUUGAUGGAUGUGCACAAGAUCCAUCCUUACACAGUUUAAAUCCUUUUCUUUUGGCCGGUAUGCUUGUUUAAAUUCAAAUAGAAUCAUAAAACUGUGAAAUUCAUAGAUUUGCAAGAGUAGAAUAAUUUGUUUGCUCAAAAAUUAGAGGCGUAACUUUUAAAAACCGAAUAUCUCAAAUUACAAUAACGGUUUUUUAACUUGAAAAUUCAUUGUGGCAUUAAUUUAAUAUUUUUUAAAUAAUCCAAUUGAUUUGCCAAGAAUCAAUGCCACAUAGGAAUUUCUUGACUUCUUGUUGGAUGUGCACAAGAUCCAUCCUUACAUGGUUUCAAUCCUUUUCUUUUGGCCGGUAUGCUUGUUUAAAUUCUAAUUGAAUCACAAAACUGCGACAUUAAGAGAUUUGCAAGAUUAGAAUAUUUUGUUCACUCGAAAAUUAGAGGUGAAACUUUUAAAAACCAAAUAUCUAAAAUUACAAUAAUGGUUUUUUAACUUGAAAAUCCAUUGUGGCAUUAAUUUAAUAUUAAAUAAUUCAAUUGAUUUGCCAGGAAUCAAUGCCACAUAGGAAUUUCUAGUAAAAGAAUCACCUAUGUAACUUAAGUGAGCUAAAAACUAUGACACUUAACUGAUUACUUAAAAAGUCAUAACAUUACUAUUGCUGAUUUUAUGUUGCAUAAAAUCACACCCGAUGAAGAUCCAUUUAUCAUUAGCAUUUUGGCACUUACUAACUCUUUCAGGAAUUUAUGGGCACAGAAGAAGAUCCUUUUUUCUUAGUCUUCUCUUUUUUUAUUCGAAAUAAUAGAAUAGUCCUUGAUAAAGCAUUGUGACUCUGCAAGGACAUAAAAAGUAGAGAUGAUAUUUGAUACAGAGUUUUUUCUUUGCAGGGGUGCUGAAACUUGGAUUGCUUCACAACCUAAUUCAAUUUUUAGUAAUUAGUUCCCCUUUUACAGCCCUACGAGUUGAUGGCAACUCCAUCAUCUCAAAAGAAAAAGGAAGGGAGGAAAGAAUAAAGGACAGUGAGUGUCAAGUCAAGAAAAAGAUGACACGUGAAUUGUGGAAAUCGCGUUUCCUUUAAUGCGUUGGUACAAUGUCUCGUUUUGCUUUUUAAAUGCCAUAGUCCAAAGAAUAUGGCAAUAACAAGUGACUAGAACAGCAACAUGAUGAGCAUAAUCUGCAACAUGUCCUUAGUUGUACUAAUCAUUAUAGCUUUCUCCUGCUACAAUUCAAUUGUCGCAGCACCAGCACCUUCUAAACAGUCAGAGGCAAGUGCGCUUCUCUACAGCAGGUGGUGGUCUCCCUCCAUCAUGGACAACACUACCUUACCUCAUUGCGCAUGGCCCGGGGUAUUGUGCGAUGCCUCUGGGAGCAUUGACGGGAUUCGCUUGCCAUAUGGGUACCAAAUAGGAGGUAAUUUUAGCAACAUGAACUUCUCUCUACUUCCGGGACUCACCUCUCUUGAUCUCUCUUCUAACGGACUAGCCGGAAAAAUCCCCCUUCAAAUAUGUACUCUGUCGAGGCUAACUUACCUUGACUUGUCCUUCAAUUCCCUCACUGGCGAGUUGCCUCCCUGUGUCCAAAACCUCACUAGGCUUCAAGUUCUUUGGAUCAGUUAUAAUCACAUCAGUGGCUCUAUCCCUCCUGAGGUGGGAAAUUUGGAGAGAUUGACCGACUUGAAUCUCGAGUUCAAUUUGCUUAAUGGUGCAGUCCCACUGACUAUUGGUUGCUUGCACAAUUUACAAUCCCUUAGAUUUAGCUCAAACAAUUUAAGUGGCUCUAUCCCUCUUGAGCUUGGGAACCUUGCAAAAACAAAUGUUGUUGAUUUAAGUUUCAACAACUUCACUGGUCCCAUUCCAUCCUCUAUAGGGAAUUUGACAAGCUUGACUUAUCUCUAUUUGCAUCGAAACAAACUUGGUGGAUCUAUUCCUCUCGUAAUAGGGAAUUUGACGAGCUUGACCGAUCUCUAUUUGCAAAAAAACCAACUCGGUGGAUCUAUUCCCCUUCAAAUGUGUACUCUGUCGAGGCUAACUCACCUUGACUUGUCCUUCAAUUCUCUCAUUGGCGAGUUACCUCCCUAUGUCCAAAACCUCACUAGGCUUCAAGUUCUUCGGAUCAGUUAUAAUCACAUCAGUGGCUCUAUCCCUCCUGAGUUGGGAAAUUUAGAGAGAUUGACCAACUUGAAUCUCAAGGUCAAUUUGCUUAAUGGUGCAAUCCCAUUGACUAUUGGUUGCUUGCACAAUUUACAAUCCCUUCGAUUUAGCUCAAACAAUUUAAGUGGCUCUAUCCCUCUUGAACUAGGGAACCUCGCAAAAAUAAAUGUUGUUGAUUUAAGUUUGAACACCUUCACUGGUCCCAUUCCGUCCUCUAUAGGGAAUUUGACAAGCUUGACUUCUCUCUAUUUGCAACGAAACAAACUUGGUGGAUCUAUUCCUUCGGAAAUAGGGAAUUUGACGAGCUUGAAUUAUCUCGAUUUGCAAGGAAACCAACUCGGUGGAUCUAUUCCUCCGGAAAUAGGGAAUUUGAUGAGCUUGAUUAGUCUCAAUUUGCGAGGAAACCAACUCGAUGGAUCUCUUCCUCCGAAAAUAGGGAAUUUGAAGAACUUGGCUUAUCUCGAUUUGCGAAGAAACCAACUCAGUGGAUCUAUUCCUCCAGAAAUAGGGAAUUUGACAAGCAUGACUUAUCUCUAUUUGCAAGAAAACAAACUCAGUGGAUGUAUUCCGUCACAAAUAGGCAAUUUGAAGAGCUUGGUCGCACUGAAAUUACAUGAAAAUAGAAUUGAUUGUGCCAUCCCAUCGAACAUAGGAGAUUUAAGGGAUCUCCGACAGCUAGAUUUGAGCUCGAACAACUUGGUCGGGGAAAUCCCCGUUCAACUUGGGAAACUAGGCUGGUUAAACUAUCUCGAUCUUCACAACAAUUCUCUUUCUGGCUCCAUUCCAGAUAAUCUCAAGGCUAUCUUUCCUAAUACUUCUUUUCUCGGCAACAAAGAUUUGAACCAGUUUCAUGAAACCCAAGCCCCCAGAAGAAGGUCUAGCGUAAUUCAUUAUAUGACGAUAUUCAUUCCACUAGCUGCGAUUUCCUGUAUAGUGGUCGGAUCUUGCUUUCUAUUUCGCUGUGCAACAAAAACAGAGCAACUAGAGACUACAAAAAAAAAUGGAAAUUUCUUGUCAAUAUGGAGUUAUGAUGGGAGGCUUGCAUAUGAAGACAUAAUCGAUGCAACAGAGGACUUCGAUCUCAAAUAUUGCAUCGGGACUGGUGGUUAUGGUAGCGUUUAUAGAGCACGAUUGCCCAAUGGGAAAGUUGUGGCAUUGAAGAAACUUCACCGUCUUGAAGCAGAGGACCCAUCCUUCGACAAGAGCUUUCGAAAUGAAGUGAAACACUUGACAGAAAUAAGGCAUAGAAGCAUAAUCAAGCUCCAUGGUUUCUGCUUACACAGGCGAUGCAUGUUCUUAGUUUACGAAUACAUGGGAAAAUGGGAGUCUAUUCUGUGCUUUGAGAGAUGAUAUUGAAGCCGUGGAAUUGGAUUGGUCCAAAAGAGUCAAUCUCGUCCAGGAUACAGCACAUGCUUUGUCUUACAUGCACCAUGAUUGUGUUCGGCCAAUUGUUCAUCGAGACAUGUCUAGCAAUAACAUCUUACUCAACAGUAAAAUGCAAGCUUUUGUAUCAGAUUUUGGCACCGCAAGACUUCUGGGUCAUGAUUCCUCAUCUAACUUCACUGCAAAUAUCGCUGGCACCUAUGGAUACAUUGCACCAGGUGAGCAAUACUUUAUGCUUCAUAUAUAUAUAUUACCCUGAAAGUUACUACAGGAGGUAGAAGUCAAAUAAACGACAUUGUAGAAGUUUCACUAUCCAUGCACAUCGGUGACUUGUAGACUGUUAUUGUACUUGCCAACAGUAGCUAAGGAUUGGUUGUGCCACGAUUGGUCAAAUGUCCCCUCGGAACCACCUUGUACGCCGUGGCUCUGACUUCUGUAUUCAUUUUUUUUUUUUUUUGGUAAAGCUGUAUUCAUUUUAUUCAUUUCUAUAUAUUUGAAUAUUUUUGGAAAAUGAAUAUUUAUUUUGUAUGCCACUAUUGUUAGUAUUACUGGGUUACUUAUUUUAGAAUAAAAAUGUCUCAAACUAUAUUUUUAUGUUGCAUCUAAGUAAAAGCAUGUCGGAAUAGUAAGAUUUUUGGAUUUCGUAUUACAUCCAUAUUGGUAUUACUAAGUCAUUCAUUUCUAUUAAACGUUUUGUUGUGGAAAUAAAAUUAACUGUUUUGAAAGGAAAAUUGGAGGGGCAAAUGGGGCGGUGUGGGGUGCCGCACAUGGUUAUGCGGGGCACGAUGGAGAGGGAAAAGUUGCCUCUCAAGGGGCAGCGACGGGGCGGGCAGUAAGGGUGUAGUCAUCCCGUCACGGGGCGGGCAGUUAAGGGUGUAGUCAUCCCGUCCAAAGCCUCAACUGCUAAAAUUUUGUAUGCCUUUUUGUAUUUUUUUGCAGAGCUUGCAUAUACUUUGGUCGUUACUGAGAAAUGCGACGUAUAUAGCUUUGGAGUGGUAGCAAUGGAAACAAUGAUGGGUGAGCAUCCAGGAGAUAUUAUAUCUAUCUUGUUGACAUCCUCCGGAGAAGAUAUCAUGCUACAUGAAAUUCUAGACCGGCGGUUGCCUUUUCCAAGAGAGAACUCUAUUGCAAGAAGUAUUGUUUUGAUAGUUUCUCUAGCGCUUGCUUGCUUGAGUGCUAAUCCAAAGUCUCGACCAACUAUGAAGCAAGUCUCAGAAGCUUUUCUAGCUCGAAAGUCACCAUUGGCGAAGCCCUUCCAUGAGAUCUCAUUGGCUCAGCUCCGAUAUGUUAAUAGAUCACGGUUGGAAGGUGAAUCAACAGAAGCUUCAUCAGGACAGAGCGAGGAGUAAGGGUCAUUAAGUGCUUGUCUAGUAAAGAGAUAAUUGAUAAUGAAGCUGCAAUUUGGUGAAAGUGAUUGAGCAUAUAAAAUUGUAUGGCUUCUGCAAAUUAGUAAUUCUUGUUAAACUCUUUUCCAUUCUAUGCUGUAAGAGUGAGAUGCAGUUUAUUUAUGACUCAACAAAAGACCACGGUUACUUUUGAGACGGACCAUGUUUAUUGGUCCAACAACCAAUAGCCGACCGAAGACCUGGUGCUCUUAAUGUAACUUCCUUAAAACAUGUCAAUUUCCUAAGAGGCAAUCUUGAAAUGUUUCUUCUCGUAUGGGUGCUUCCUUCAGUCGAUUGCCUUCAUACAUGUUGUUGAUGAUGAUCGCGGCGCCUGUUUUAGUAUGGAGUUUCCAAUACUAGCGUUACAAACUAAGCUACGAACUAGGCUCACGAGAAUGUGGUUUUAGUCUACACUGGAGGCAAGCUUAUUGCGGGCAUGAUGGGUUGUAAAAGAGAUGAUUUCACUUGUCAGAUGAGCCGUUUUUGUUGAAAUUAGGAGAUUCUUGUGAAUGGUGGUUUACUGUAGGAUCUGGAAAUGCUAAUGAAUCAUAUGAAAUCUAUUUGAGGUUCUAAGCGAAAUUAAGCAUGAAGAAAGCUUUUUGUUUGACGAGACGAGCAUGCCCAUGGAUGAAAUCAUACGGCAUUAAUUUUCGAGAGCUCUGCAUUAAGGGUUGCGACACUAACAACUCAUAAUUUCUUUGCAACUGCCAAUCCAUCUACAAUCAAUAGUUAGAUAUGUGCAAGAGAUAGAUUUGCCAAACUCUUUUAUGAUGGUCACUCGAUUUGUGAUGCUUUUAUCCAGUUGAACUGCUGGAGACACGCUUUUAUGAUGGUCACUCGAUUUGGGAUGCUUUUAUGCAGCUGAACUGCUGGAGACACGCUUUUAGUUGGGAUGCUCAACCUGUGCCUGUUCUUGUUGCUUUUCCUUACAAUUGGGAAACUCUAUCUAAUUCAAUAAGCAAUUAAGGUUGCAUAAGCGUGCACUUUUGUAGGUUGACGAAUUUCCUGCUCUAAGAGUCAUGAAGGAAGAUGAUCUAAGUGCUCGUCUACAGAAUAAAUAUAAAUGGAAAAAUUAUCAAAAAAAUCCUAAAUCUAUUGCAAUUUUUCCAAAUCGGUCCUAAACCUUUUUUCCCCAUUUAAUCAUAAACAUUUUGCAAUUAUGUCAAUGCAGUCCAUUUGGUCAAUUUUGACCUACUCAUGCUAACGUGACAAUUUUUUAAUAAUAUUUUUAAAUUUUUAUAAUUUUUUAAUUAGGAAGGAAAGGAAAAAAAUUAAAAAUUAAUAAAAAGUCAGAAAAAAUAAAAAAAAUAAAAAAUAAUUUAAAAAUUGCCAUAUCAGCGUUGGUCGGCGUCCAUGUCAGCGCUGGUCAACCAAAAUUGGUUGAAUAGACUGAAUUGGCAUAAUUACAAAAUGUUUAAAAUUGAAUAGGAAAACAAAAAGUUUUAGACUGUUUUGAAAAAAUUGCAAUAAGUUUACAAUUUUUUUGGUAAUUUUUCCUAAUAUAAACUACGAUGCCAUGAAGGUGACCACUAAGAAUUUUCCUAAGAAACGGUGCUAGACAAGGGCAUAAUCUUAAGAAAGUGACAGAAAAAUUUAAAAGUUCACGUUUAGGCCCAUAUCGCAAGUUUCAGUUGAGCCGAAUUGAAGCGCAACUUUCACUAUGGAUGUUUAUAGCAUUGUGGUUGGACAUACAUUAGAUGUUACUCUGACUCUUACGACUUGUAUUGAUUUUCGGCCUUGUAAACUCUAUAUUGGCACCGCUGACGGCCUCAUAGACACCUUCAUAUUUUGUUGGAUAACUGUGAUCUUUGCCUCAACCGUAUUUAUUUUUCACUUUGACUAGUUACUCGACGUUGUCACUUUCUUGGAAGGACUAUGGUACGUAUGGCAAUAAUAUCUUGCUUGCCAUUGUCUAUUAUGAUGCACCCCUUCUAGGCUUUGUAAGUUGUAUUUUGAAAGUAAAUCAUUGUACAGGAUGACAACCGAAUGCCGUUUGUUAUCUUGUGUUUUCGGUUCCUUCACCAUAUGAUUAUGAUUUUGCUAACAAGGUCUCUACAGAUAAAGAGAUAUGAUAGAAAAAGAGACGACCUCCGCCUUCAACAAAUUAACUGGCUUGCCUAGGAAGCGAUUCCACCGAGCACGAGCUCACAGCAAUCCACUAAUGCGAUUCGCACUUUCCUGUUCCACUCUUCUCUAGUCAAUUUGAUUAUUCUCUUCAUUACCCUCCGUUGUUCCCUGCUCCAUCUGAUGAUGAUAAGUCCCAAAAGGAUUCAGUUUGCUGACAUUGGCUGCGGCUUCGGAGGGCAACUAGUUGCUCUUUCAAACCUAUUUCCCGACAGACUCAUGAUCGAGGGAUGGAAAUUAGGGACAAGGUGACCAAAUAUGUGAAUGAGCGCAUUUCUGCAUUUAGGACGAUCAAUGCCGAUCAAUACCAAAAUAUCUCAGUAGUACGGACCAACUCUAUGAAGUACAUUCCUAACUAUUUUGAGAAAGGCCGACUGACGAAGAUGUUCUUCCCAUUUCAGGAUCCUCAUUUUAAAGAGAAAAAUCACCAUCGCAGGGUGAUUAGCCCUCACUUGUUAGACGAGUAUGCGUAUACUCUGGCUGUUUGGGGCAUAACUUACACCAUCACAGAUGUUGAAGAACUUGGCGAAUGGAUGAAGGGCUAUUUGGAAAACCACCCCAUGUUCAAGGCACUAACGGAGGAAGAACUCGUGAACGAUCCGGUGGUGAAGCUAUUGACCACGGCGACUGAGGAAGGCCAGAAGGUUGCCAGGAAUGGUGGGCAGACAUUUAACUUGCAUUGGUUGCAAAGCUUUGAUAAGGUAUUUAUUGCAUUUGAGUUCUCAUGCUGCAAUUUCUUGGGUGCUUGUAUUUUUCAUUUCAGAUCUCAUUGAAAUCUAGGUUUCUUUGCCCUUAGGCUUUGUUCUUAACUCUUAAGUUGUUUUUCCUUGUUUAAACAGUCCUCCGGUUCAUCUGCAAAAUAGCAUGUCAAAGAUUGUAUCACAUCUGGGGCUAUUCUGUGAAUGCUGGACUAGAGUUAUACAUUAGAAAAUGGAAUGACUGGAACAGUUAAAAUCAGCUUAUCUCCUGCUAGACUACCAGUAACAUCUGUGAGAUCUUGAAUUUAGUCCGAUUAAUUAAAUGCUUGAUUAAUUAAAAGCUUGAUUUCGUUCAAAACUUACUUUAUAUAUUUGGACUAGUAUUCCUCGAUAAUCUUGGGGAAAGCAGAAUGAUCUGGCUGCUCCUUCAAGCUUUAACAUCACCAUGUGAUACUGAGACAGCUGUAACCACUUGAGAUUGACAUAUAGUUUGAUGUUAUGCACAGAGUAAUCUGUCUCAUCUUUCUUGAAUUGCCCGUUGAAUGAGGAAGUUUGGUAAUGUUCCUCCAAUUUUGCAGCAUAAUGUGCAAGUUAUAGUAUUCGUUCACUUCAUAUGGCAUACUUUAUCUUUCAUGCCCAACCAAUUAGUUGCAUUGGAAAGAAAUUUUUUGAGCUUCUUGUUAUAUUUUGGCACCUGAAACUGGCAGACUUCUUUCUGUCGGGCUUUUAUACGAAUAGAAAGUCAAUUUGCACUGUCUUCAAACUAGUGUGCCAACCCGGAGUUAUAUUGCUUCUGUCCACCAUACCAGCAAUACAAAUGGGACUCUUUGUUCACACUGCAAGGGAAGGGAAGCUGAAUCGUAUUGUAAAACGGUAUCUCAAGGUAAGCGUCUCUGCUGAUGCCAUAUUUUCUUCCCAGACAUUAGUCGGAUAUAUAGCACGCUGGUAAAUUUGGUUACUUGCAUAAAAUGGUUGCAGUCUCCGAGCCCAAUGAGAUUUCUGGAAAGUUUUGGGCAGAGUGCCGAGAAUGCCAGGGUUCGCUUCAUUAGGAUGUACUUUGCACAAGGUUCUACUUUGUUUCCUCGGGUACUUUUUAAGAUAGCUCGUUUGUUAUUCACAUAAUUGAUAUCAUAACCUUUGCAGUCGGGAUUGUCCCAUAUUUUACCGGAGAAAGAAAGCAUAGAAACACGUGGCUGAAGCUCACCGGCAAUUAUAUAGAUGGAACUUCUAAAAUAUCGACAGGCUUUGUGGUCUUCUUGUUGAGCUUAUUACAUGGCUGUAAAUACAUUGGAUUUUUUUUUUUAGGAAGUUUUUUUAUUCUGAUUUGAUUUUGUUUGAAUCCCACAAAUCAUGGGAUUGUAGCUUUUCUCCUAUUUAGGCUUUUUUCUGUUUUGUUUGCUAGGAUUUCUCUGUGUAUUAGCCUAUAAAUAUAACACUGUAAAGCUGUAAAAUAUGUGUAUGAUAAUAAGAAAUUCUCUCCAUCUAAAAUUCUACAUGGUAUCAAGGCUGAAAGUCCUCAUUUCAAAUCUUACCAGAUUCCUUUUGCCUUCCUAAUUAAAUUUUCACGUUUAGUACUAAACAAAAAGAUGAGAUUAAGUGUGAAAGGGAAAGUGUUAUAAUAUUAAUUUUAAGCUUUUAAAACAGUUGGUAGUGAUUUCCAUAAAAUCUCAAACUCCCUUCCUUUGCCGACAAAUUGCGGUUAGCUAGUUAAAUGAACUCAGAGAUCUCCAAGUUGAUUUGGGAGGACAAGCCGGAUCCUCAUAUAACCGAGAUGAGGGAAAAUUCAAAGUUGCUCCUGGUCUCUGGACAGAAGGAAGGAGAAAGAAAUCUCUCACUCAGAGAGAUGGUAGAUGGAAAGUUGCCAUUGAGGCCUUAGUUACUGAUGCCUCCAACAAAAAUAUAGAAAAGCAAUUUGGCUGCAUUCAUUACGGGUUAUUGACAAGGAAAUAUAUGCCUCAUCUAGUUCAAAAGGUUAAAGAAAUGGCCCGUUAGGGGUUUUUGACAGAGUAAGAGUUCUGCUUACCUGUAGCCUCCUCGACUUCAUUUAUGAGUACAACAUACUUCAUACCUACUCUGAUUCCCAGUUGUAGGCCAUGAAAUUGCCACGUGUAUGGUGUUAUUCUUAUCCUCCCAGCUUUUUUGUAAUAUAUGUUUGCAUGUAUCACUAUGGGGUGCAAAGUUAGUAUGCCUCCAUUCACGUACAUAACAGGAAAAGGAUUAGCGACUGGAGCUUUGUAUUGAGACAAGGAGAGACUGGAAAUGUCAGCGUGAGCUUAUCAUAGGCACAUUUGUAAAGCGAACACAGCUCUGGAUGCCAAUGUUAAGUCAGCUACGGAGAUUUUUGAAACAAUUCUGAUCAUAUCUUUUGUGGUCGACGAGAGGGGAUACACUUCUGUUGCUGGUAUAGCUUUUUUUGCCCAAACUAAUUUAUCUUAAUAUGGAUGGUGAAUUUGACGAUAAAGGUGAUACCAAUCUUAAAGAUAGUUAGUAAAUGACCGAAAGAUUCUAAGAAAAUUCAUGGGAAAAAUGUCCUUGCUUAUCAAAUUCUGUUCUUUUUCCUCCGUUGACUUUUAUCCCCUUCGGAUCCAGCAUUUUAGUUUUUGCAAUUUUUGUUAGGGUAGAGAGAUGACUCUAAGUCUCGUCACCUAACGGUUUGUCAGAACUAAAGCACUUUGAAAUUAAAUCCGGAAGGAUCUAUGCUUAAAGGGGGAAAAGGCAUUGCGAUUCUCGAGGGAUUGUCGACCCUCCCCACUUUGUAAAUGGCUUUGCAUUCAAGCUCUCCUCUUCAGAUUUGUAUGGUUAUGAAGAAAACUAUUGGAAAUGACAAAAUAGGAUAGGAUCAAAUACGAAAUCUAUCCAUCGUUUGAGAAAAUACGGAAAGUUAGAGCAAAUAUACACAUCUAAUCUAUAAAUAAAUAAAAGGUUCAAAUCCACAGAGAAGUACAAACACAUCACAAUUUGCUUAGGAGACGCAAUCAAUCAGCAAACAAUUCACAUUCACAACUAGGUUAUCCAUUUUGUAACUUAAAAUCAUCUGCUCGUCUUCCCUUCUGCUGCUAGUACUCUCUUCGACGGGUAACUGCGAGCAAUGGCACAAGUCAAUGAUUUGAGAAUCCAAUGCCAAGGGCGAGACUUUCAGUAUUGCUCCUGCGAGUGUCGAAGCCCAUGUCACUUAAGUAUACAAUCUCAAACGGGUUGUGAUGGGCUGCCGGCACAAAGGACAAGUCCGGAGUGACGCACCACAGUCCUUGCAUGUCUGGAAAGAAAUAAAGAGAUGACAUACGUAAGCUUACAAUAUCCAUAGCAUUACAGAUAAUGUCGAUCUCUAUCUCUCUAUCAUGUGAAGGAAUAAUUACUUCCACAUUUAAUUGUAGUUCGUACAUCUUUUCAAGUCUACUUAGCCUUCGAUGAGAACAACAUCUCCUGCCCCAUAGAUGCUACUACUGCGGUAUUCUUUUCCGUUUAGGAUGAGAAUAGUCCCACCAUUUGUCCAAGAUAAUAUUGCAGCAUACUCGUGAUUAGUUAAGCACAUGAGAUUUCUGGGGCAUGAUAAACAGAAAAAUUGUAUAAUGAGCUCUUUGAUUUGCUGAGCCAUAGCCAACUUUAACAAAACCAGUGGAAUGACAGCCGGAAGUCUCUUUGGAAAAUAUGUCGAACUAACUAACUUUGCAGUCAUACUGGGUACAACCAAUUUUAUGCUUUUAGCUCCAGUAUCUGAAUCAAGUAAAAUUCUACUCUAUUAGAUUCUAGCCUGAAAAGUGAAAGCAAGUUCAGGUGGGAAUGGUUAUAACAGGUGCAAACGUGUGUACUCCACAAAUUGGAGGCCAUAUAAAGGAUGAUGCUAAUUGCUGAAUAGAGAAAGACUCACCAGAUGACCACAUCCAAAGGCCAUGUUCUUUGGAUUUGUAAGGCAAAUGGGGCAAACCUUGAAGAACACAGGCAGCUUAGUUCGGAUUUAGAUUUAAUGAAGAACCUGAAGUUUCACAAAAAAAAAAAGGAUGAUUAAAUGAUACUUGUUCUCCCGAAGCUGUUUCCUGAGUUUGUGGAGAACUAUCUGGGAUUGACUUAUCCGAGCUGGUAUGACCAGUGACUUCAGUUGGGGGUGGAAGUGGCCUUAUACGAGGACCAGUCACUGCCUCCCUGCAGUAUAAGCAGAAUUUAUCAUUAUAGCAGGCCUCAAUGCAAUGUAGAAACAAACAGCUGCAGUUCCCAAUCUUACUUGACGUGCGAAAUGCUUUGAGUGGCUCUAUACUGAAAGGGAAUUUCCAUGAGAGCAGCAAGAGCAAAGGUAGUCUCUUUCUUUGAAGUAUCUGUGUUCUCUGACAUGAUUUUUGUGAAGUUGACAAACUGCGUAGUGGAACAAUGAAUAAACAAGAAGGUUAAAAGCAAAAAGAGAGAAAAAAAAAAUGUGGUGGAAUUUAUUGAUUCUAAAAGAACAUUUUAAACUUAAAAUGUGUACUCGGGGCGCUAAUUACUACUGUCAGAGAGGAAUAAAUCAAACCAUAUUAUAAAAAAGUUCAAAGAAAGGGAACUUCACAACAAAAAGUGGCUGGAGAUCCAGAAUUAAUCCAUACCAAACCAAAAGCCAUAAUCCAGCGUAAACAUUAUUCAACAGCACAGUAAUCGGCAGUAACUACACCACACAUGUCUGACUAGAAUUUGUACUCAAUAAACACCCCUCGAUACAAACUACUGGAAUAUACAUUUAACAUACUUGAUUUACUUUUUCUGAAACUUCUUAUUUUGAAUUAUGCAGUUCUCUCGCUAGUCUUAUUAUGUUAACCCCGACAUUAUUGAUGCAACUAUACCUAUAAAAAGAACUUGGAUAAUUGCAAAAGGAAUCAUCAAUUGUGCUCUCCGUAUCGAACACCCUCCUCACAUUUCAAGACUUACAUUUUGCAUCUCCCCAACCUGAAAAAAACUGACUUGCCUCAUGCAUGCACAUCGCGCGAUCCACACCCAAAAAUUAAAACAAAGGUCGUGGAUGGGGUAAUUUGGGAAUGAAAAUGGCCUAACUUGGAACUUAGCAGAUUAAGUAGCAAAGGAAGAUGCAAUUUAAAACCAAUGGAAAGAAGUCAGGAUGGUAAUUGUAGGUUUUAAAAUGUGAGGAAGGUACUUGACAGGAGUAAAGUUCAGGAUGGUAUCAGUACUUUUCCCCAAAGAGAUCUUUCAGUACCUGAAAGUUAUCAAAUGCACGAUGAGGGAUAUUAUCAUCAAAUUGCUUCAUUGCAUCCCAUGGUCCAUCUCCCACACCAACUAAUAUGAUGGAGAGAGGAUAUUGGCUGCUCUACCAAAAAGAAACAAACAGGAUGUCAAGGAAUGUGAUAAUUGCAAAGUCGGAAUAUGUGACCUUUCUUCACCAAGCAGGACAGUAACAAAAACAUGCAAUUCCAAAAUUACCUAGCUGCUACUAUGGAGUUUAUAGUUGCCUGUUCUUGUGGGCUGAAUCUCCCAGGAGGUAAAUCAGGACUUCUAGUAACCUAUGAACCAUGGUGAUGGAACAAUAAGCAUGAGGAAAGAACUUGGUGAUAAAGCAACAAUAAGGAUGUGAUACGCAAAGUAUUGAGAACCUGUCCAUCUGCUAUAAUGACGAGGACAUGAUAUUGCCUGUUGCUCCUAGCCACAAUGUCGAUAGCGGCAUCAAUUAUCGGCGCAAAUGAUGUGGGCCCUAUAAACAACAGUAAUAGAAAGCGUUAAAAACUACCGCAUGGAAGUUUCUAUUAUAUGGACCUUCGACUGCCCGAGACAGCCUUAAAGGAUCCAUCAUAAACUCCUACGGACAAAUUUCCUGUAGGAGACCAACAAAAGAAACAUGAGACAAAAUGAGGGCAAUAAACCAUCCAAAAUGGGGAAAAGAAAAACAUAAAUGAUAAGUUCAUUCAUGGGAAAAUAUCAGUUAACAAAAUGGAAGACUAUCAUGGCUAAGUCAUGGCUCUGGAAGGAACUGGGAGUAUGUUGAGUGAAACAGCUAUUUUAUGACCUAAGUUUAAAACCUAUUCAAAAUAAUAACUUGGUUUACAAGUUGGGAAAGUUUGGCAUGGACGUUUCAAUCUUUAUUUCUUAACCAUGUAGGACCACCGAAACCUCUUGCUCUCCUCUUGGAUUCUUUAUAACGCUAUGAUUUGGGUAACAUUGAUGUCCAUCAAUCCUGCCAUUUAAAGUCUAAUGAAAAUGAAAAACAAAAAUACUACUGAUUUAGACAAGAUGUUUUCUUAUUCUUCACAAUGAUUGAGAACACUGUACUUUGCUCGAACUUGCAGAUUUGUUUAUUUCAGUUUUAAAAGAAGACGAAGACUGCAAAAUAUUUUGGCCUAAAGUAGAAACCAUCACAUAAGAACGAUCGGUAAAGAAGGAGAAAAACCUGACAACUUUAAGUGUGGGACGAUCUCUCUGUAACGUGCAAGCACUUCCUCAAAACCACGACAAGAACGAUGAUCAGAAUAAAAGCUGAAGACUGAUCGAUCAUGUGUUGAUGCUGCAAAAAGCAAUGUGAUGAGAAGAAAGCUUCAAAGGCGAUGAUAAGAAUUCCUACCAAAGCUACAAAUUACCAACAGCACUGACCAUCGCCAAAUCCAAAACAAGGUAUGAGUUCAUCUUCGUCAAAAGGGGACAAUGUUUUGCCGAUUAUAGAAAUUGCUUGCUCAUAUGGAUUAGGUGUGUUACCAGUGGCAUGAAGACUUUUUCUCCCGAAGGAAUAUUUACCUACGAUACAAAAUUCACAUUAUUUUUCCAAUAUAUAGUUUCAUAAAACCUUAAUGCUUUGUUUGUCCAUUGGAAAUAGAAUCACCUGACCACUCAUUGCUCUUUGUGAAAUCAAUACCAAGGAUUAAAUUUGAUGAUUCAAGGCCAGCGUCCCUCAGUGCAGUUGUGACCUAAAAUAUGAGCAUCACAAAUCCCAUUACUGUUUCAUUUUACAUCUUUAAAGUCAAAACAGCCAAAGUAUAAUCACCACAGUUCACAUUCCCAUCUAAUUUCACAGCUUUUCAAUCAAAACUGCCAAUCAACAAACAGCGGAUAGGAUAGACAAGAUUCAGAGAUAAAAAAGAAUAUUAUUAAGAAUCAAAUUAAGACUUAGCUCAAAUUCUGUGGAAAAAUUUUCAACCCAAAAAUUUAAGUAUUUAGACGGAGGGAGACUGCAUGCAUAUAAGAACAAACUUGUAAACAAGUGAUGUAAAUUUUUUAGACAACUCACGUCAGUUACCUCAACUCAAGAACAUAAACCACAUUAAACUUAAAUUUAACCAAAGUGGUACCAGGAAACUACAUUGGCAAGCCCAAUCACAACCCAGCCAAAUCUCCUUGGCACAUAACAGGCAAUGAUGAAGGGAGACAGCAUGUUCAUGAUCCUCCUAAACCUUAAUAGUCAAUGGAAACAAACAAAACAAUAAACACCUGAUCCAAGGAGUUGAAAUUAUCUCCAAAGUGCGUCGAUCGAUGCUCAUGUCCAUAUUUUGACUCCAUUUAGCUUUCUGCAAAAGAAGGUGGUUGAUGCAAAUAAUCAUAAUGAGGGUCAUAUAAGUUGAUUCAUUAUUGCCCAUUUCCAGAAUGACAGAUUUUCCUAUGAAAAGGUAUCUAUAUCUAUGUUUUGCUCAGACUAUCUUAUGAGGUAGAUGGUGGCUUUCUCACAGGAACAAACAAGGACCAAUGAACUACUUUAGAAGUCAACAAUAGUAAAACAUAAUUCUUACAUAAUCUGCUACAUUUCAAGCACACAAAUUACAGCAUGGUCAUUGAAAUUCUUUAUCCAAUAUCUCGGACCUGGAAGUACUUUUUCCCAUAGAAAGAACGCAAGACGCCAUGUUUCUCAAUAACGAUAAAGAAUUAGAAACUAAAAGUUAUUUAUAACCAACAGUUUGAGGGAGACUGCUGAUUCACUUCAAGAUGGCCCGCUUCCUUCAAUCAUCUAUUCCCUCAAAUAGAUCAUAAAUCGUUCAAAAUCUCCCGAUAAAACAUUGCCAUUAUAUAUAACUUGAAACUGAAAAACACAGGUCAGCAAAAAUCCAACCCCCUACAAAAUUUACAGAAUCCAAAUAUGUUAUCGAAGCAAACCAACAAGUCAAUUAGCCAAGCACAAUCACAACAGUUCGACCCACAUGAUUUCCAAGGUUCACAUUAUGGGUCCGGAACCAAGUUCAAGUUCAAGUUCAAGAUCGACCCUUUGGAAAAAGUGAAGAACUUUCCCACAUGUAGUGGCUCAGUUCACUCUAUCUUCAAAAGGGUCUCGAAGAAAGAUCCCGCAGACGCACUGUAAUCAGGUAUUCACCACAGUAAAAUCGAAAAAUUCAAGAAACCGCGUGGCGGAAAGCGGUGACAACGCCAUCAUCAAGAAUUGACAUGGGGAAAGAGAGAGAAAGAUGUACCCGUUCAUAAGUUGGAGGUAAGCCCAAAGAUUUGCAAGCUAUUCAAGAGCCUCCUUCUCUCGAUCGAAGGUCUCCGGAAGACGCAGAGAGAGUGGCCCUCUUGUCGCUUGACCGAUUUCUUCUGAGUCUUCCUGUUUCUUUCUUUCUUUCUUUCUUUUCGGUUUACUGCUUUCUGAAAAUUACUUCUGGCUUUAGCUGGCUCUGCCCCCACGUUCUCCACGUGUCUACUUGCAAUUAUAGGGACCAUCUGUAAUAAAACCUAGUUACUCUAAUUAGGUGCCAAGAUUUACAAAUUCAUCCUUGAUGAGAUUAUAAAAUUUAGGGAAAAAGCCAUGAAAAACCCUGAACUUUACUCAAAGUGACACAUUUACCCCAAACUUUUGUUUGUGACGUAAAAAUCCAAAACUUUGCCAACCAUGACACAUUUACUCCAAACUUUUUUUUGUGAAACAAAAAUCCUGAACUUUCAUUACGUGAUACAUUUACCCAAAAAUUAGAUGGCAUUUUGGUCUUUUCAUUUUUAAAUUUUUUUUUCUUCUCUCUUCCCUCCGCCGGCUCCGCCAUGGCCGGCGGAGGGAAGAAGAAGAAGAAAAAAAAAGGAAAAAACAGAAUAAAAAGACAAAAAUGCCCUUGAUGGGGUAAAUGUGUCACAAUUUAGAAAGUUUGGGAUUUUUCACGUCAUAAAAAAAAAAGUUUUGGGUAAAUGUGUCACUUUAGGCAAAGUUCAGGGUUUUCAUAGCUUUUUCCCUAAAAUUUACUUACUGUGACUCAAUUAUUGACUUAAAGUAUCCAAUCAAAGGCCACUUCGAUAGAAUCCAGAAAUAGAUGCUGAAAAUUUAAGUAUUGAAAUUUAAACACUGAUAAUCUAGAAUCUUAAUAAUCAAAUAAAAGGUUAUUUAGGGUAUGUCUGUUUUUUUUAAAGAUAUUCCUCCGAAAAUAAUCAUUUGUAUUUUGUGAAAUAAUACUUGUUGUUGAUUAAAAUAUUUGUUAUUCAUAUAUUCUUAUAAACAACGGAAGUCAUCAUUCUAAAAAAAUAUAUUUUUUAAGUUAUUUAUAGAAUAGAGCAUUAAUAACAACUGAAUAUUGAAUAUUCAUUGACAGGGGCUCAAUAAUUGACAAGAUCUUGAUUCCUAUCUGGAUCAAGCUUCUUCUCUAUUGUGUCUGAUUAAGGUAUCUACACAGAAAGGGGCCCAAUUUGUCCUUUCGAUUAUUCCCUUUCCUCUUUGUCUUUUCCAUUUUUGUGUUUUGCUUUUUCAGCUAACUAGAUGCACUUCCUCAGCUGGUAGCCUUCUACAUAAAGAACUAUUUAAUAACCAAUUAAGUGUUCAAAAUAAAUGAAAAUUUGAUGAUUGAGCAUCUUAUAGACUUUAAAGAUUCAAUUAAGGCCCGCUUGAUAAGAUUGAAAUAAUUUAAGGACUUAUUAUAAAUGUUGAUAAUCUUAAGGGUUGAAGAUGGAAAAAUAAAAAUCAAAUAUUGAAUUUGGAUUAAUAUUAUUAUCAAAAAUAGCAUUGUCGGAUCGCCAAGGUCGACCUUUGUCCUUGCUCGACAAGUGGUUCUUGCAGUCGAGCUCCCUUGUGGAAGGGUUGUCACUCAACAAAUAAUGGAUAACAGGCUCAUCUUCCCUAGGCGUUCACUUUGACGGCAAAGUUUGCCAUCUUGAUGUAUGCUCUUCACCACCUGUAGGUAAGUGAAUUAUUAUUAGGUUUUAAACAUGUAACAAUGUCAUCGCAACAUUUUUAAUUCCCAUUUGGCUGCCUUUCUUAUUGAAUGAAUUAUGUAUUCACUUCCUCAUUUGCAAAUCAUGUGACUUUCUGACUUAACUAGAUCAAAGCUAGUUACAAUCAUCAUAAGUGGUUAAUUUAUUGAGUACUAAACAAGAUUAAUCCCCCAUAUUUAAUUAGGCCCUCCGGCAAAAUUUCAUUUAGUAUGGUCCCCGUAUGAUAAAACCUAGCAAGUUUGUCAUUUGUAAGGCCAUGUCAUAGUAGAAAAGCCCUAUGAUUUAUUAAACUUUGGUUAUACGAAGUUUAGAGACCAUAUUAUAUUUUUCUUGGGCUACCUAGAUAUUAGCCACUUAAAAAAGAAUCAUCUUUUACAAUGUUCAUUAAAUGCAACAUCUCUUGCGGUCUAGCAAUGGAGAACACCUUGCGAGUGUGCAUGCUGAUAUACAAUCAAGGACCAGACUUGGUUUCUAUCACAAAAAAUUAUUCAUAUUUCGGGUCCUAAAAAGCACAAGUGACAAGUUUGAUUCUCGCUUCACGGACCUUUCAAGGCCAUGACACAAUUGACCAGUUUGUUUGCCAACCAUCCGCUGCAAACAUGAAAUCUGAUUUAGAACAUCACCCGUUUCCCAUGAAGAAGUGAGUAUCCAUUUCCAAACUACUGGAGUUUGGUUGCAAUUUAAAGUGAAACGCAAAUGGGGUCAUUGCAGUUUACACAAGAACAAAACAGUUGAUAAAUGAUACCGCAAGGUACCGUUUGUGGCUUCACAAUCAAUGCUCAAAUGCGCUCUAGCCACUUGAAAGAUUCAUGAUACUGACUCUUUCUUCUUUAUGCGAGCAGGAGCUCACGUGCUGGGGGACCAAAGGCCCCCUUGACCCUCUAGGAUAACAUCUACAUUCUAAUCCCGGUGUCAUUCAUGCCAAUGAACUCAUCUGAGAUUGUAAGAUUGUAAGCUGAUGCAUUGAAAAAUUGUGUCGUAAUGUGGGUAAGGGUCGUGAUAAAAAUGAAGAAUCCUGGACUCGGUAAGUUUUGCUGUCGGUAUAUAGAUAAUAAAUAGAUGAAGCCACGAGGUUGGAGCAAGAAAGUAUGAUGAAUGAUGUGAGGGGCUGGUGAAGGAUCUAUCUCAAAAACCAUACAUGUAUACUAGAAAAACGUAACGUAUUGUUUGAAUGGUAUAUAUCAGCAUCGUAUAAUAUAACACAAAAAAGGUGACGAAAGGUGAGAUUUAAGUAUCAUAUCUACCAGAACUUGAUUCUGAUUUAGUUUUGAUUGAAUCUCACAAAUCAUGGGAUUGUAGUUGUUAACCCACAAAUCAUAGGAUUGUAGCUUUCCUCCUAUUUAGGCUUUGUUUCCUUUUUGUUUGCUAGGAUUUCUCUAUGCAUUUGCCUACAAAUAUGACACUGUAAAGCUAAAGAAUAUAUGAAUGAUAAUAAGAAUUUCUCUCCAUCUAAAUUUCCACAUGGUAUCAAGGCUGGAGGUUCUGAGUUCAAAUCUUACUUAAUUCAAUUUGCCUCCCCAAUUAAAUUUUCACGUUUAGUAUUAAGCAAAAAGGCCAAGCUAAGCAUGAGGAGAGGAGUGUUAGAAUAUUAAGUUUAAGCUUUUAAAACAGUUGGCCGUAGUCCCAAAAAAUCUCACACUCCCUUCCAUUGCCAACAAAUUGCGGUUAGCUACUUAAAUGUACUCAGAGAUCUCCAUGUUGAUUUGGGUGGACAAGCCAAAUCCUCAAAGAACCAAGAUGAGGGAAAAUUCAAAGUUGUUCCUGGUCUCUAGACAGAAGUAAGGAGAAAGAAAUUUCUUACUCAGAGAGAUGGUAGAUGGAAAGUUGCCACUGAGGUCUUAGUUACUGAUGCCUCCAACAAAAAUAUAGAACAAGGAUUUGGUUGCAUUCAUUACGGGUUAUUGACAAGAAAAGAUAUCACUCAUCUUGUUCAAAGGGUUAACGAAAUGGCCUGUUAGGGGUUUCUGACAGAGUUCUGCUUACCUGUAGCCUCCUCGACUUCAUUUAUGAGUACAACAUACCACUUGCCUACUCUGAUUCCCAGUUGUAGGCCAUGAAAUUGCCACGUGUAUGGUGUUAUUCUUAUCCUCCCAGCUUUUCUAUAAUAUAUGUUUGCAUGUAUCACUAUGGGGUGUAAAGUUAGUAUGCCUCCAUUCACGUACGUAACAUGAAAAGGAUUAGCAACUGGAGUUUUGUAUUGAGACAAGGAGAGACUGGAAAUGUCAAUGUGAGCUUGUCAUGGGCACAUUUGUAGAGUGAACACUGCUCUAGAUGCCAGUUAAGUCAGCUGCGGAGAUUUUUGAAACAAUUCUGAACAUAUCUAUUGUGGUCGACGAGAGGGGAUACACUUCUAUUGCUAGUAUAACUUCUUUUGCGCAAUCUAAUUUUAUCAGUGUAUGUUGCUGGUAUAGCUUCUUUUGCGCAAUCUAAUUUAUCAGUGUCUGUUGCUGGUAUAGCUUCUUUUGUGCAAUCUAAUUUUAUCGGAUGGUGAAUUUGACAAUAAAGGUGAUACCAAUCUUAAAGAUGGUUAGUAAAUGUCCAAAAGAUUCUAAGAAAAUUCAUGGGAAAAAUGUCCUUGCUUAUCAAAUUCUGUUCUUUUUCCUCCGUUGACUUUUAUCCCCUUCGGAUCCAGCAUUUUAGUUUAUCAAUUUUUGUUAGGGUAGAGAGAUGACUCUUAAGUCUCGUCACCUAACGGUUUUUUAGAACUAAAGCACUGUCUGAAAUUAAAUCCGGAAGGAUCUAUGCUUAAAGGGGGAAAAGGCAUUGUGAUUUUCGAGGGAUUGUAGACCCUCCCCACUUUGUAAAUGGCUUUGCAUUCAAGCUCUUCUCCUCAGAUUGGUAUGGCUAUGAAGAAAACCAUAGGAAAUGACAAUAUAGGAUAGGAUCAAAUACGAAAUCUAUCCAUCAUUUGAGAAAAUACAGAAAGUUAGGGCAAAUAUACACAUCUAAUCUAUAAAAAAAAAAAGUUCAAAUCCACGGAGAAGUACAAACACAUCACAAUUUGCUUAGGAGACGCAAUCAAUCAGCAAACAAUUCACAUUCACGACUAAGUUAUCCAUUUUGUAACUUAAAAUCAUCUGCUCAUCUUCCCUUCUGCUGCUAAUACUCUCUUCGAUGGUUACCGCGAGCAAUGGCACAAGUCGAUGAUUUGACAAUCCAAUGCCAAUGCCGGGACUUUCACUAUUGCUCUUGCGAGCAUCGAAGCCCAUGUCACUUAAGUAUACAGUCUCAAACGGGUUGUGAUGGGCUGUCGGCACAAAGCUCUCCACUUUGUAAAUGGCUUUGCAUGUCUGGAAAGAAAUAAGGAGAUGACAUACGUAAGCUUACAUUAUCCAUAGCAAUACAGAUAUUGUCUCUCUCUAUCUCUCUAUCAUGUGAAGGAAUAAUUACUUCCACAUUUAAUUGUAGUUCGUACAUCUUUUCAAGUCUAGUUAGCCUUCGAUGAGAACAUCUCCUGCCCCAUAGAUGCUACUACUGUGGUAUUCUUUCCCGUUUAGGAUGAGGAUAGUCCCACCAUUUGUCAAAGAUAAUUUUGCGGGCAUACUCGUGAUUAGUUAAGUACGUGAGAUUUCUGGGGCAUGAUAAACAGCAAUAUUGUAUAAUAAGCUCAUUGAUUUGCUGAGCCACAGCCAACUUCGACAAAACCAGUGGAUUGAGAGCCGGAAGUUUCUUUGGAAAAUAUAUAGAAGUAACUAACUUUGCAGUAAUACUGGGUACAACCAAUUUUAUGCUUUUAGCUUUCAUUAUCAAGUAAAAUUCUACUCUAUUAGAUUCUAGCCUGAAAGUGAAAGCAAGUUCAGGUGGGAAAUGGUUAUAACAGGUGGAAACGUUAUACUCCACGAAUUGGAGGCCAUAUAAAGAAUGAUGCUAAUUGCUGAAUAGAGAAUGACUCACCAGAUGGGCCACAUCCAAAGGCCAUGUUCUUUGGAUUUGUAAGGCAAAUGGGGCAAACCUUGAAGAACACAAGCAGCUAAGUGCGGAUUUACAUUUAAUGAAGAACGUGAAGUUUCACAAAAUAAAAAAUAAAUAAAAAAUAAAUAAAAAGGUGAUUAAAUGACACUUAUUUUCCCGAAGCUGUUUCCUGAGUUUGUGGAGAACUAUCUGGGAUUGACUUAUCCAAGCUGGUAUGACCAGUGACUCCAGGUGGGGGUGGAAGUGGCCUUAUACGAGGACCAGUCACUGCCUCCCUGCAGUAUAAGCAGAAUUUACAUUAUAGCAGGCCUCAAUGCAAUGUAGAAACAAACAGCUACAGUUCCCAAUCUUACUUGACGUGCGAAAUGCUUUGAGUGGCUCUAUACUGAAGGGGAAUUUCCAUGAGAGCAGCAAGAGCAAAGGCAGUCUCUUUCUUUGAAGUAUCUGUGUUCUCAGACAUGAUUUUUGUGAAGUUGACAAACUGCGUAGUGGAACAAUGAAUAAACAAGAAGGUUAAAAGCAAAAAGAAAAAGAAAAAAAAUGUGGUGGAAUUUAUUGAUUCUAAAAUAACAUUUUAAACUUAAAAUGUGUACUCGGGGCACUAUUUACUACUGUCAGAGAGGAAUAAAUCAGACCAUAUUAUAAAAAAGUUCAAAGAAAGGGGACUUCACAAUAAAAAGUGGCUGGAGAUCCAGAAUUACUCCAUACCAAACCAAAAGCCCUAAUCCAGUCUAAACAUUAUUCAACAGCACAGUAAUCGGCAGUAACUACGCCAUACAUGUCUGAAUAGAAUUUGUACUCAAUAAACACCCCUCAAUACAAACUACUGGAAUAUACAUUUAACAUACUUUAUUUAUUUUUUCUGAAACUUCUUAUUUUGAAUUAUGCAGUUCUCUCGCUAGUCUUAUUAUGUGAACCCCGGCAUUAUUGAUGCAACUAUACUUAUAAAAAGAACUUGGAUAAUUGCAAAAGGAAUCAUCAAUUGUGCUCUCCGUAUCAAACACCCUCCUCACAUUUCAAGACUUACAUUUUGCAUCUCCCCAACCUGAAAAAAAAACUGACUUGCCCUCAUGCAUGCACAUUGCACGAUCCACACCCAAAAAUUAAAACAAAGGUCGUGGAUGGGGUAAUUUGGGAAUGAAAAUGGCCUAAUUUGGAACUUAGCAGAUUAUGUAGCAGAGGAAGAUGCAAUUUAAAACCAAUGGAAAGAAGUCAGGCUGGUAAUCAUAGGUUUUAAAACGUGAGGACGGUACUUGACAGGAGCAAAGUUCAGGAUGGUAUCAGUACUUUUCCCCAAAGAGAUCUUUCAGUACCUGAAAGUUAUCAAAUGCACGAUGAGGGAUAUUAUCAUCAAAUUGCUUCAUUGCAUCCCAUGGUCCAUCUCCCACACCAACAAAUAUGAUGGAGAGAGGAUAUUGGCUGCUCUACCAAAAAGAAACAAACGAAAAGUCAAGGAACGUGGUAAUUGCAAAGUUGGAAUAUGUGGCCUUUCUUCACCAAGCAGGACAGCAACAAAAACAUGCAAUUCCAAAAUUACCUAGCUGCUACUAUGGAGUUUAUAGUUGCCUGUUCUUGUGGGCUGAAUCUCCCAGGAGGUAAUUCAGGACUUCUAGUAACCUAUGAACCAUGGUGAUGGAACAAUAAGCAUGUGGAAAGAACUUGGUGAUAAAGCAAUAAUAAGGAUGUGAUACGCAAAGUAGUGAGAACCUGUCCAUCUGCUAUAAUGACAAGGACAUGAUAUAGCCCGUUGCUCCUAGCCACAAUGUCGAUAGCGGCCUCAAUUAUCGGCGCAAAUGAUGUGGGCCCUAUAAACAACGGUAACAGAAAGCGUUAAAAACUACUGCAUGGAAGUUUCUAUUAUAUGGACCUUCGACUGCAUGAGACAGCCUUAAAGGAUCCAUCAUAAACUCCUGAGGACAAAUUUCCUGUAGGAGACCAACAAAAGAAACAUGAGACAAUAUGAGGACAAUAAACCGUCCAAAAUGGGGAAAAGAAAAACAUAAAGGAUAAGUUCAUUCAUGGGAAAAUAUCGGUUAACAAAAUGGAAGACUAUCAUGGCAAAGUCAUGGCUCUGGAAGGAACUGGCAGUAAGUUGAGUGAAACGGCUAUUUUAUGACCUAAGUUUAAAAUCUAUUCAAAAUAAUAACUUGGUUUACAAGUUGGGAAAGUUUGGCAUGGACGUUUCAAUCUUUAUUUUUUAACCAUGUAGGACCACCUAAACCUCUUGCUCUCCUCUUGGAUUAUUUAUAAUGCUAUGAUUUGGGUCACAUUGACAACAAUACAUGCUAUGAUUUGAUGUCCAUCAAUCCUGCCAUUUAAAGUCUAAUGAAAAUGAAAAGAAAAAUACUAUUGAUUUAGACAAGAUGUUUUCUUAUUCUUCACAAUGAUUGACAACGCUGUACUUUGCCCAAACUUGCAGAUUUGUUUAUUUCAGUUUUAAAAGAAGAUGAAUAGACUGCAAAAUAUUUUGGCCUAAAGUAGGAACCAUCACAUAAGAACGAUCAGUAAAGCAGGAGAAAAACCUGACAACUUUAAGUGUGGGACGAUCUCUCUGUAACGUGCAAGUGCUUCCUCAAAACCAUGACAAUAACGAUGAUCAGAAUAAAAGCUGAAGACAGAUUGAUCAUGUGUUGAUGCUGCAAAAAGCAAUGUGAUGAGAUGAAAGCUUCAAAGGCGAUGAUAAGAAUUCCUACCAAAGCUACAAAUUACCGACAGCACUGACCAUCGCCAAAUCCAAAACAAGGUAUGAGUUCAUCUUCGUCAAGAGGGGACAAUGUUCUGCCGAUUAUAGAAAUUGCUUGCUCAUAUGGAUUAGGUGUGUCACCAAUGGCAUGAAGACUUUUUCUCCCGAAGGAAUAUCUACCUACAAUACGAAAUUCACAUUAAUUUUCCAAUAUAUAGUUUCAUAAAACCUGAAUGCUUUCUUUGUCCAUUGGAAAUAGAAUCACCUGACCACUCGUUGCUCUUUGUGAAAUCAAUACCGAGGAUUAAAUUUGAUGAUUCAAGGCCAGCUUCCCUCAGUGCAGUUGCGACCUAAAAUAUGAGCAUCAAAAAUCCCAUUACUGUUUCAUUUUACAUCUUUACAAUCAAAACCGCCAAAGUAUGACCACCACAGUUUACAUUCCCAUCUAAUUUCACGGCUUUACAAUCAAAACUGCCAAUCAUUAAACAGCGGGUAGAAUAGACAAGAACCAGAGAUAAAAAAGAAUAUUACUAAGGAUCAAAUAAAGACUUAGAUCAAAUUCUGUGGAAGAAUUUUCAACCCAAAAAUUUAAGUACUUAGACAGAGGGAGACUGCAAGCAUAUAAGAACAAACUUGUAAACAAGUGAUGCAAAUUACUUCGACAACUCAUGUUAGUUACCUCAACUCAAGUACAUAAACCGCAUUAAACUUAAAUUUAACCAAAGUGGUACCAGGAAACUACAUUGGCAGACCCAAUCACAAACAGCCAAAUCUCCUUAGCACAUAAAAGGCAAUGAUGAAGGGAGACAGCGUGUUCAUGCUCCUCCUAAACCUUAAUAGUUAAUGGAAACAAACAAAGCAAUAAACACCUGAUCCAAGGAGCUGAAAUUAUCUCCAAAGUGCGUCGAUCGAUGCUCAUGUCCAUAUUUUGAGUCCAUUUAUCUUUCUGCAAAAGAAGGUGGAUGAUGCAAAUAAUCAUCAUGAGGAUCAUAUAAGUUGAUUCAUUAUUGCCCAUUUCCAGAAUGACAGAUUUUCCUAUGAAAAGGUAUCUAUAUUUAUGUUUUACUCAGACCAUCUUAUGAUGUAGAUGGUGGCUUUCUCGCAGGAAUAAACAAAGACCAAUGAACUACUUUAAAAGUCAACAAUAGUAAAUCAUAAUUCUUGCAUAAUCUGCUACAUGUUGAGCAAGCAAAUUACAGCAUGGUCAUUGAAAUUCUUAAUCCGAUAUCUUGGAUCCGUAAGCAUUUCUUUCCCAUAGAAAGAACGCAAGAUGCCAUCUUUCUCAAUAACGAUAAAUAAUUAGCAAACAAAAGUCAUUUGUAACCAACGGUUUAGGGGAGACUGCAGAUUCACUUCAAGAUGGCUCGCUUCCUUCAAUCAUCUAUUCCCUCAAAAUGAUCAUAAAUCGUUCAAAAUCUCCCUCUAAAAUAUCACAUUCCAUGCAACUUGAAACUGAAAAACCCGGGUCAGCAAAAUCCAACCCCCUACAACAUUUACAGAAUCCAAAUCUGUUGUACCCAAUAAGUCCUUAGUCGAAGCAAACCAACCAGUCAACUAGCCGAGCACAAUCACAACAGUUCACCCACAUGAUUUCCAAGGUUCACAUUAUGGGUCCAGAACCAAGUUCAGGUUCAAGAUCGACCCUUAGGAAAAAGUGAAGAACUUUCCCACAUGUAGUGGCUCAGUUCAAUCUAUCUUCAAAAGGGUCUUGAAGAAAGAUCCCGCAGACGCACUGUAAUCAAGAAUUCACCUCAGUAAAAUCGAAAAAUCAAGAAACCGCGUGACGGAAAGCGGUGACAACGCCAUCAUCAAGAAUUGAUAUGGGUAAAGAGAGAGAAAGAUGUACCUUUUUAUAAGUUGGAGAUAAGCCCAAAGAUUUGCAAGCUAUUCGAGAGCCUCCUUCUCUCGAUCGAAGGUCUCCGGAAGACGCAGAAAAAGUGGCCCUCUUGUCGCUUGACCGAUUUCUGCUGAGUCUUCCUCUUUCUUUAUUCCUUUCUUUCUUUUCGGUUUACCGCUUUCUGAAAAUUACUUCUGGCUACAGCUGGCUCUGCCCCCACGUUCUCCACGUGUCUACCUGCAAUUAUAGGGACCAUCUUUAAUAAAACCUAGUCACCUUAAUUAAGUGCCAAGAUUUACAAAUUCAUCCUUGAUGAGAUUAUAAAAUUUACUUACAGGGACUCAAUUAUUGACUUAAAGUAUCCAAUCAAAGGCCACUUCGAUAGAAUCCUAGAAACAGAAACUGAAAAUUUAAGUACCGAUUUAAACACUAAUAAUCUAGAAUCUUAAGAAUCAAAUAAAAGGUUAUUAAAAGUAUGUCUGUUUUUUGAAAGAUAUUCUUCCGAAAUAAUCAUUCGUAUUAUGUGAAAUAAUACUUGUUGUUGAUGAAAAUAUUUUUUAUUCAUAGAUUCUUAUAAAAACAGAAGUCAUCAUUCUAAAAAAAAUAUUUUUUUAAGUUAUUCUAUUAAUACAGCAUUAAUAACAACUGAAUAUUGAAUAUUAAUUGACAGGGGCUCAAUAAUCGACAAGAUCUUGAUUCAUAUCUGGAUCGAGCUUCUUCUCUAUUGUGUCUGAUUAAGGUAUCUGCACAGAAAGGGGCCCAAUUUGUAUUUUCGAUUAUUCUCUUCCUCUUUGUCUUUUCCAUUUUUGUGUUUUGCUUUUUAAGCUAACUAGAUGCACUUCCCUCAGCUGGUAGCCUUCCACAUAAAGAGCUAUUUAAUAACCAAUCAAGUGUUCAAAAUAAAUGAAAAUUUGAUGAUUGAGCAUCUUAUAGACUUGAAAGAUUCAAUUAAGGCCCGCUUGAUAAGAUUGAAAUAAUUUAAGGACUUAUUAUAAAUGUUGAUAAUCUUAAGGGUUGAGGAUGGAAAAAUAAAAAUCAAAUUUUGAAUUUGGAUUAAUAUUAUUAUCAAACAUAGCAUCGUCGGAUCACCAAGGUCAACCUUCAUCCUUGCUCGACGAGCGGUUCUUGCAGUCGAGCUCCCUUGUGGAAGGGUUGUUACUUAACCAAUAAUGGAUAACACGCUCAUCUUCCCUAAGCGUUCACAUUGACGGUAAAGUUUGUCAUCUUGAUGUCAGCUCUUCACCACCCAGAGAUAAGUGAAUUAUUAACAGGUUUUAAACAUGUAACAAUGCAAUUGCAACAUUUUUAAUUCCCAUUUUGCUGCCUUUCUUAUUGAAUGAAUUAUGUAUUCACUUCCUCAUUUGCAAAUCAUGUGACUUUCUGACUUAACUAGGUCAAAGCUAGUUACAAUCAUCAUAAGUGGUUAAUUUAUUGAGUACUAAACAAGAUUAAUCCCCCAUAUUUAAUUAGGCCCUCAGUCAAAAUUUCAUUUAGUGUGGUCACCGUAUGAUAAAACCCAGCAAGUUUGUCAUUUGUAAGGUCAUGUCACGGUAAAAAAGCCCAAUGAUUUAUUAAAUUUUGGUUAUAGGAAGUUUAGAGACCAUAUUAUAUUUUUCUUGGGCUACCUAGAUAUUAGCCACUUAAAAAAGAAUCAUCUUUUACAACGUUCACUAAAUGCAACAUCUCUUGCAGUCUGGCAAUGGAGAACACCCUGCGAGUGUAAAGCAUGCUGAUAUACAAUCAAGGACCAGACUUUGUUUCCAUCACAAAAAAUGAUUCAUAUUUCGGGUCCUAAAAAGCACAAGUGACGAGUUUGAUUAUCCCUUCGCGGACCUUUCAAGGCCACAACACAAUUGAGCAGUUUUCUUGCCAACCAUCCGCUGCAAACAUGAAAUCUGAUUUAGAACAUCACCCGUUCCCCAUGAAGAAGUGAGUAUCCAUUUCCAAACUACUGGAGUUUGAUUGCAAUUUAAAGUGAAACGCAAAUGGGGUCAUUGCAAUUUGUGCAAGAACAAAACAGUUGAUAAAUGAUACUCCAAGGUACCGUUUGUGGCUUCACAAUCAAUGCUCAAAUGCGCUCUAGCUACUUGAAAGAUUCAUGAUACUGACUCUUUCUUCUUUAUGCGAGCAGGAGCUCACGUGUUGGGGGACCAAAGGCCCCCCUGACCCUCUAUGAUAACGUCUACAUUCUAAUCCCGGUGUCAUUCAUGCCAAUGAACUCAUCUGAGAUUGUAAGCUGAUGCAUUGAAAAAAAGGUGUUGUAAUGUGGGUAAGGGUCGUGACAAAAAUGAAGAAUCCUGGACUCGGUAAGUUUUGCCGUCAGUAUAUAGAUGAUAAAUAGAUGAAGGCGCGAGAUUGGAGCAAGAAAGUAUGAUGAAUGAUGUGAGGGACUGGUGAAGGAUCUAUCUCAAAAACCAUACAUGUAUACCAGAAAAACGUAACCUAUUGUUUGAAUGGUAUAUAUCAGCAUCGUAUAAUAUAACACAAAAAAGGUGACAAAAGGUGAGAUUUAAGUAUCAUAUCUACCACUGCCCCAGCGAAUCAACUUGGUCUUGGUGCUGUAAUUGCUUUUGAAUGGAACUGGGAGAGUAAGGCAAGGAGAUCAAUGGCUGAUGAUCAGUGCCCCCGAAAGGGCGAGGCUGAGACAGAAUGCUUGCUGAAGAACAAAAACCGUUACUACUGUCGUUAUCGUUAUUGGUGAACCCCAUGUUGGUGCUGUGAUCAUGAAUCUGAUGAUCGAAUGGUUGCUGAUGCAUCCCAUGUUGCUGUUGUGGUUGCUGUUGAUCCGAUGAAGAGCAUGAUCUCUGUUGCUGUUUGGGGACAUUCAGCUUCUCACCUUCAAUCUCUCUGUACUUGUUGAGGUAUGUCUUGAGGGGGACGACAUAAUCCUCAAACCCUAGAGUGGUGACCGCCCAGAUGAUGUCGUCCCCAUUGAUGGUCUUCCUCUUCUCCCUCUGGCACUUGUCUGAUGCCUCCCCAGUGACGAAGCUGAUGAACUCCGACACACAUUCCUGGACCGUCUCUUUCGCGUCCUUGGAGAUCUUGCCAUUCCCAGGAAGCACCUUCUUCAUGAUCCUCCCAACGUUAGCAAUUGGCAAGAACCUGUCCUGUUCUUUGUUGCUGUGGUGGUGGUGAUGGUGGUCGGUCUUUGAGCAAGGGCUCUCCGGGCUGGAGCUUCUUCUUCUGGGCACCACAUUUGGCACAUUUCCAUGAUGGCUCUCAAUCUCUUCUUCCAUCUCUCUCUCCCCCACCUCUCUCUCUCUCUGAGUAUGUGUCUGAAAAAGACAGGUCCUUGAUUUUUUAUUUUUUUUGGGGGGUGAUUUUUAUUUAUUUAAACGAGGGUGAGUUAAAAUAAAAAUGGCAUGGGAAGCUUGAAAAUAGGCAAACAAAGAGGGUGAGCCCCCGGGGACUCGCUCCCCUCAGGGACAAGGGAAUUAACUGUCCUGACUCCAUCUUUUAACUAUAUUUUGCUUGCCCAUUGUCUUGCUCAACUGGGUUUUCUUUUUAAUACCCUUUUUUCUACAUGGACAGCUGAAAAAGAACCUUCCGUUUUUCUUUUUUUUUUAAGGGUAUUCUAAUGUGAUUCUUGACCAAUUUGAUCUGGUCUAGGAAUUCCCCGUUGAUCAUGAUUUACUUGAGGGUAGAGAUAUGACAACCACCAGGUUUGUUCUAGUGACGUUGAUAGCUUUACCAGCUUGAGCCUGGUUUUAUUAAUUUUAACAUUGAACACUGAUUUUGAAGGGACAAGAGAAAUUACUCAUCACUUCACUAUGGCGAUGACUCAAAAUCUGUAAAUGAAAGAGAGAGAAUUUAAGUUUUGAAAAACUUAUGAAUUGGUGCGAAUUUACAUGUCAAUACUUGCAUAUUUCGCAAGGCUCAUUUUACUCAAAUUCAGUUAAUGUUGACAUGUUGACAUCUCAGGUUCUGUUCCCAGGUUUGUUCUUGGUGGCGACUCUAGCUUGGUAAUGAUCAUUUUUGCAUGACGUAUAUCACCCGAAUCUGAAUUUGAGAAGAUCUUAGGAACCAAGACGCUAUUAGCGGGCGAGGGAUUCUGGCUUUACAACAUUCUAGGUGCCACACCUGAGCUGCAAGAUUCGAGUAAAUUGCUAAAAGCAAAAGUCCCCUGGACAGAUCCUUGGAGAAUCUCCAUUUUUGUUCUCUCAGAUCAAAGAAGUCCAGUCAUCGAACUCUGAUUAGCAGUCAGCUCACUUAUCAAGCCAAGGAUCACAGAAUGCGUUCCACCAUCACUGUCCUGACGACUGAUGAGUUAGGCCCUUUCUUUCAUGUGAGGUCAACUUGGCAGUAUUUUCGCCCAUGAUCGUUGACAUCACAUUUUGUCAGUGCCACUAAUGACUAAACAGCACUAACUCCAAAGAACAGCACACGGGAGACAACUUUCAUUGAGUUAAAGAUUUUAUUAAGCCUAAGCAGAGAUCACAUCUCGAUCAGACGAAAAUUCAUUAAAAAUCUUGACUAAUACAUAGUAAUCUGUUCCCCACUCUUCAUCCAAUCAAUUAGAAAAGAAAGAAUAGACCACGUGGGAACUCAGAAUCAAUGAGCUUCUCACUUGCAUGAAAGCAUUGAUGAUUUCUUUGACAAAUAACGAAUAAUGUUACAAUUAAUUACCGGCAUCAGACUUUCACCUAAUGAAAACACAAAAAAGAACCAAAAAGGGCAUGCAAAGGAUAGGACACUGAUGGGGCCUAACCGACAAGCUAUACGGCCUAAGGUAGAAGUACAGUUUCCGUGACUUGCAAAAUCGCGAUGGAGAUAAAGAAUAACCUAAAUCUUAAUUGGCAUCACCGACAACACAACCUCAAGAAUUGAGAAGCAGGGUGAAAGGUGUAAAUGGAGUUUACUCUAAGCAAUGGCGUAGCUGACUGUCUCCGAUUUGCUGGGGCGCCACAUGGACUUCUGGACACAAAGCAAACCCUCGUUGUCCUUGGAGUACGUCAGCCGGACUUCCCAUUGCAUCGCCCGCACCAUGCUCUCCACCUCAUUGAUUGUCUCGACAUCAUCCCUGAUGAUCAACUUGCCCCCAGGUCUCAAGAUACGAUCCACCUCUGCUACUAGAGCUACUAAGUUGCACCUGUUGAGACCAGUAAUAUGGCCCAGUGAGAUUAGAUUAUCACACCAAAAAAGCUCGCAGAAGUCAAUAGUGUAUCUUCCUUCUAGGAUAGACUUAGCUAUAUAAAUUCAAGUAGACAAAAAGAUUGCAUGUAUGACAUCAUCAGGUACCUCUUUUUGAUCUUGGAGAAGAGAUGGUCCGAAUGGAGAAGAUCAUAAGAUCUGGGGUAGGUGCUAAAAGAUUCACACCAGUCAUGAUAAAUGCCAAAUAGACCUCGUUCAUAGAUUAUGGGUAAGGUAUCCGGGGCAUCGACGGAUACCACAUUCAUGACCCACACAUUCAAAUCUUUUAAAGCAGCAGCAAACCUGCAAAGACAACCGUUUAGAACAAUAAAGAAGAGAACACAGCAAAAAUAAGUAAGAGCAAGUCGUAAAGCAGGACGAUAUCGCUUGUCUUACAAAAGAUUGCUUACCCUCCAUAAAUUGCUCGCAUGUCCAUGACACUCCUAACAGUUGACCAGUCAAUCCCAAUUCCACUUAAAUAUGACUUGGUCACAACCCGUUUCCAGUGCUUAUUGUCUAAAGCGAAAUCCUCGGGGGCAGAUUUACCAUAGACUCCAACCUGGGAACUCAACAGCCAAUAAGGUGUUUUGACCAACCUCGCUGGCCAUUCCUCUGGCCAUUGAGACCCACGUUCCGCAGAGUCUAUAGGUAUUUUAUGCAUGCAUGUUUGCAGAGGCACAUACCUAUUCAGAAAGGAGGACAUGAUUGUCAGAAGCAUUCUUACAACACCAGGGAACCAUGAAUAAUUAUAGGUUUAGAUGAAAGAUAAAACCUCAAAAGAAGCAAUAACAAGUAAAGGGUUUUAAAAUAGAAAGCAAUAACAAGUAAAGGGUUAAAAAAAAUAGGCGAGAAGUUCCAAAUUAAUUGGGUUUGGGUUGGUUAGAAAAAAAGGCCAGAGACUGCAGAUGCUUCAAAAAACUUAAAUCACCUAUUUAUGCUCUAAAAUAAACAAUCAUUCACCAAUAAAAAGUGUCAUUUAUUGCUCUGAGCAUAUAAAGUAUAUUGGUUAUCUCGAAAAAGGGGUUACUUACCAGGCAGCAUUUGAAUCAUCAGAGUCUGCACACAUUGGGGGAUCAUUUUGGGAUCUUUUCUCAUAGCAUUCAUUAGACAUAGGCUUCCUGUAGGUUGCUACACCAACCCCAUUCAAAGUAUCCUUAUUUAUAGAUAUCAGCUCCCAGCACAUUGACUUUAGUAGUGCAGACAUGGCUGCAAACAAUUAUGGCAACAAGAAAGCUAUUAGAAUCCAUCAAUAAGCUUCCUUUUCACAAAGAAAUCCAGCUAAGCUAAGAUAUUCUACCUUUCCAAAUGGCAACAUCAUCUGGAAUCUUCUGAUAAACUGGAGUAGCUGACCACACAAAGAAACCACCAGGUCGCAAGAGGCGGUUCAGCUCCAAGAGGAGUUUACCACCUGCAAAAGAAUUAGACUAGCCCUGAGUAUCUAUGCAGACUAGCUAAGGGUAAACAGAAUGUAACUGUAACUGCAUGUACUUUUCUGAACAAAAAAUUCAUUAACUGCAUUGUAUAGGAGGUAUCAUGAUUCUAAGUAACAUAACUGUAGAACAAAAUAGAUAUAGUGUACCUUCUAUAUGCCACGGGACUCUACAGCGUGCACAAUGUACAAUAUCAAAGACUCGGCUAGGGAAGGGAAGUCUCGUGGUGCCCAUGACAGCAGAUAUAGCAGGGAUUCCCCUCUCAAGUGCGAAUUGAACCUGUGCUUCAUGUUCAUCUUUCGGGGCAAGUGACAUUGCAAGAACAUCUCUAUCAAAGAGAUAGCCUCCAAAACUAGCAACACCACAUCCCACAUCCAAUAUCACACGAGAGCGUUUUCCCCAGGCAACAUCAGGAACAGACUGCAUGAUACCGGAAAAAAAAAACCAUCAGAAAAAGGAAAGAAGGUGCAAGAAGAGCAAUAAAAUCAUGUAUAACAGACUCACAGUCAAAAUGGUGAGGUCAUAAGAGAGAUGCAAGGAUAUGAAGAAAGCUCACACAUGGACGAGAUAAAGAGCAUAAGCAAAAGCAGUUUGAAGCAUGGUAUCGAUUUUAAGAAGGAAAGCAGGAGAAGCAACUCACCUCCUGGAUGAAAUCGAUGUAAUGCAGAGCACCAUGUUUAAAUUGGGUUCCGCCACCAGGGAAGGUAAGGUAUUCACCACUAACUUUCACCCAGUUCUGGUGGCCCUUAACUUCAGCGAGCUUGGUGUGUGGAACAUUAUAGUACCAUAUCUGCAACAAGACAAUCAAAGGUUAGCAACAACACAGGGCAAGAAUAAGCAGAUACAAACUUGAAGCAUCAUAUGAAGCAUGCCUUUUCUCUACUUGUAGGCCACUCAAUUGGCUUUCUGUAUCCUUUAGGAAGAGCAACGAGGCAAGUAGGUGGAUUCUCGGGGCAGUGCCUCUCUCGGUGUUCGUAAUGCUUGGUAGAGCUAAGCCUCUUAAUAGCUUGCAAAUUAUCAAGGCAGGGAAUAUAAUCAGAACCAGCAGUAACAUUACACAUUUUCCAGCUGUAGCUAGUUUGCUGCUUGGAUGAACCUUGAGAUUCCUUCUCAUUCUUCGAUUCAGCAGCUUGUGUAGAAAAUGCCCCAUUCUGAGUUGUAGUUUCAUUCAAAAGUUCUGAUUGAGCACCAGAAGGGAACACUUCAGAAGGACUCUGAUCCUUUGUCUGACUCUCAUCCUUCUUGUCAUUCGAGCUAUCCCCAGAUCCAUCAUUAUCAUCUUGGUUCACCUUCUCCUCAAUCUCACCAUCCACUUUCUCUUCACUCUUAUUAUCAGCUGAAUUUUCUUCGGAAUCCGUUUUCUUCUCCCUCUCAUCUGUAUCAGAUUUCUGUUCACCAGAAUCAUUAUCUCCACCAUCAGUUUUUGAUCUAUCUGUUUCUUGAUCUGAUUCAUUAUCUUCGGACUUGGUCUCCUCCACUGAACUUUCCUUUUCGCCAGUUUUCUGUUCCACGUUCUCAUCUUGCUUCUGUUCUUGGUUCUCUUGCGAAUUCGAGUCACUUUCACUCUGAGAAGGCGUAUCAUUGGUGUCUCCUUUGGUGGCAUCCUCGGGUAAGUCACCUGGAUUAUCCUCAAAUUGGCUGGUGUUGCUAUCUUUUUUCUCUUGUUCCUUUACUUCAUCCACAUUCUCAUAUGCUUGUUCCUUCACCUCAUUAUUGUUCUCAACCACUUGCUCCUUCACCUCACUCUUGGUCUCCUGGGAUACGUCUACAUUUUGCACGGGAACAACUGACGACGAUGUCAUCAUCCAUACUCCAACCAAGCAGAGGGCAACAAAAACUGCUAUUGUCACCGUAGAGCAGUAACUUGACGAGGACCUUCUAUUAUCGACUCUAGUAUAUUUUCCUAAAGCCAUGUUUUACAGUGUUACAAAAUCCUAUAAGUUUACACCUGGAAGGAGUAAAAGAUAUAAUCAGCAAUAAAACAAGAUGUUAGCUAACGAUCAAGGAUCAAAACCUAUUCAAUCACACUAGCUUAAAUAAAUCCAUUGCUUUCAUUGAAGAUAAGAAAAGAUUCAACAGAUCCACUGAUUCCCUUAAUAACAAUGAUCAAAAAGCUCAAAAGGUUGCAACAAACACCAGACAAUCUAGAAGACGAAUCGAGAACAGCCCAAUUCUUUCCAGAUGCUUCAGCUAGAUUCACAAUGAUCCAGACUUUUAGUAUUAACCAAAUCAUAUCAAAAGGAGGUUCAAAACUAACGAAGACAAUGGAACCGAUCAAGUCAUCCUAAACACCGACAGAUAAAGAAGGCCAAAAGCAAGAAUUACAUCCCUUCAAUGCCAUACAAAACGCAGCUUGUUUGUGCUCAAAAACUCAAAUCGAACCGAGAAAAUAAAAAAAAAACAAUCGAGCCGCCCAGAUCUACGCAAAUCACAAUCCAAUCGCAAGAAAACAAAUCAAAAACCCCGAAAAAAAGCGAGCUUAUCGCGAAAUGCCGAUCAAGAUACAACCUUUUCAGAGACCCACGAUUUCUAACCUCAAAAAAGAUCGAGACAAACGUAAACCCAAGAGACCCGUGUAGAUCCGUAGAAAGACUCGCGUACCCACAUGCACCAAAGUGCAAGAUCAAGAAAAUACGAAUCUCAAGUAACCAAGAUAUCACACGAGAGCUAAAGAGAUCAGUACUUACAAUCUGGGAAAGAAAAACCCAAAAAAAACCCGAGAUUAUCAGAUCUGAGUCUGAACAGAGAAGGUGAAGGGAGAGCGCUAUCUGGCCAUCACUGUCUCUUGGUGGGUCACACUGGAGGGGAGAAGAUCGAGCGAUUUCGGGUUAUUACUUAUAGAAAGCAAGAAGGGAUUUUUUUUUUCCUCCCUUUUCUUUUCCCUUUUUUGUAUCCCUUUUCUGUGUACGUGGUUUUGCUGAGCUGCCGUCGGCUGGAGUGAAAUCCAGCAAUAAAUUUUCAAGAAUUCACGAGCGACGCCGAAGGGGGAAAGAAAAGGGGAAGAAACCGCGUUGUGGGAAUUGAGGGGGAGUGGGAUUUUGGGUUAUUUUACACAAAGCUCCUAGAUUUGGUGCUCUGAUGGUGGGGCACAGAGAGAGAGAAGAGAGAGAGAGAGAGGGCAAUGGGUGAAAAUCGGUGGAUAAGAAAGGGAGAAGACGACAGGAAGAAGGGAGAACACACCCCCUUCCUGAAAUUCCUCCAGCCAGGCGAGGGCAAGUUAGGGAGGGGAAUGGAUACUUGGGAAUUUUUUACUAUUUUGGCAAUUGCCAUUAGUUUCUUCUUUCUUUCUUUUCCUCUUUUUUUCCCUUUUUUGGGGAUAUUUUAGUUGGGGAAAUAUUCGAGAUCGUGUGUGAUUAUAUGUGAAAAUCUUCGUUUUAAAGUUUUUGGGUGUUUCGUGUAAUGAAAGCGAAAUCAUAAAAGCCAUAAAAGAUUUUAAAAUAAAUUACAUAUAACAAAGCAAAUUCUAAAUUGAUAUAUCUAUAACAAAUCUAUCAUCCAUUAAAUUUUAGUAUUAAAUUAUUAAGUUUGAUGACAUGUAACACUAAUUUAAGGUUUUACCAUCUGUUAGUUACAAAUGUAUCAAUUUAUAGUUUUUUCGUAAUAUUAAUCUAAUUACGAAAGGUAAAUUUAUCAUAAAUGAAUCAAUUUGAGGUUACUGGUUAAAAAUUUAUUUUGGAGUAAAUUUAUCAUGAGUGUAUUGAUUUGCAAUUUUCAAUGGUGAAAAAAUUAGUUUGAAGCAAAUUGUCAUAGAUGUAUCGAUUUAAAAUUUUUCGUUAUAUCAAUCAUAUUACAAAAACCUAUUAAGCAUCAUGUUCCUAUUAUUAUUGUUGGUCAUGUGAAAAUAAAGUAUUUCACCUUAAUCUCUUGAUGGGAGUGCAAGGAUGUAGAACAAAAAAAUCUUUUCGAAUGAUUGUUCUUCUCAUAGUUAUUCCCACUUUUUUGUUGUGUUUAUUUUUUUCAAAUUGUAUAUAUGGGAAAUUUCAUGAACGGAGGUUAAUACACAUGAAAUAAAUCGAGACAGAACUUACUGUGAUGUCAUAUCCGAAUAUCCAAUUUAAAAGCUUAAAUAUACACGUUAAAUGAGAUACUUGUGCUUAUAAACCCUAGAAAUAAGAGAUGUACAUAUAUGUAAUCUAGAUUCGAGUCUUCAUAGAGCGAGAAAAAGAAGAGUUUGGAAAGAAAGCUUGUAUAUUACUUCUUUUGCUAAUUUCACCUAACAUUCUUUUCUUUUAAAUAAUAUAAAUUAUGGGUAUUAAUAUAUCAUCUUCAUGAAAAUUAACCCUAUAAUUCUUUUUAGCACUUGGGUUAUUACGACUUUCAAGAAAAUCCAACAUGUGCAACUACUUAUAUCACAUCAUGUGCACCGGCAUGAUCAUAUAUGAUCUAAAAAAUUUAGAUAUUUAUAUCGAUGUAACGGCAAUUAAUUUUAGUGAUUCAAUUGGGCCCCCAUUGCUCUACUUUCCACCGAAAAAGAGAGCAUGAUUUUAGCAUGUGCAAUUAAGUGCAUUUAAGGUUAUUUUAUCAGGUCGGAAUUAAAAGGGCUAAGCUAAUAGCUAGUUGGAUCUGAAUCAUGGUCCAUAGGGCAUGAUUCAUUAAACGAGGGGUCCGAUGGAAGCUUCAUCCUCAAGCAAAGGUGCAAUUAAUUGUCACAUUUAUCAAUCCCGAGCAGCAUUUCAUCAUUAAAUUCGAAUCUCAAAGUUUACACCUUCUAGGGAACAUAAUCGCGGGAGUCUAGAUAGUUAGGUGCUCUUAUUUUUUUUAAUUAAAAAAAGGAAUAUUCAUUACCUUAAAAUGCUAUUGUUGAUUUAGAUUGACAGAGAUUUUCUUACCUUGAUAUUAUGGAUAAUUACAUAAAUGAUUUGUGCAUUUUGGCUCAACGUGCAAUAUAGUCUCUGAAUUCAAUAUGGUUUCCAAAAUUUUGGUAUAUUUUCAAUUUAGUCUAUAAAUUAUAUUAAUUGUUCAAUAUUAUCAUUCAAUUAGUUCAAGUUUAGGAAUAACAUUAAAUAUUUUCUUAUACUUCAAAUAUUAAAUUGAAUAUAUAUCAAAAGUUUGGAACUAAUUAAACAUUUUAAAAUUUCAUAAACAAUAUUACAUAUUGAGCAAAAAUUCAGCGAUCACAUUAAAUAAAUUAGAAAUUUUAUCAACCAUUUUGCAGAUUAAGCAAGAGUUUAUGGAUCAUUUGUAUUAUUUUCUCUUGAUGUUAAUUUUUUAUUUAAUUAUUUAAUGAAGUAAAAGUAUUAAUGUAGCGUCAUGCUUCCUAUUUUGGUAAGAGUUAGACAGCUCAUGCCACCCACACUGCGAUUUUCAUAAGUUUAGCCAUAACUCGCUUUCCGAAUUUACGGAUUUUAUCUAGAGCGCAAUUUUAACAUUGUAGCCGCCGAUCAAGGGCCAUAUAAGGGACAUGAGUUACCAACCUUUCAAUUAGGUUAGGUGAAUUUUUUUUGGUGAGUAGAUAUGAUAAGGAAUAGUUAAAAAGGAGCAUCGUAUACAAGUUAUCUAACUUUUGAUUAGGUUGGGUCAAUCUUCUUAAGCAAAUAUUUUGAACAAUGGUUUAAAAACAAGUGUCAAGUUCGAUAUCAAAUGGGUUGGACACUUUGAUGCCAUUCGUAAGUAAUGCAUGCCCUAGAAUGGUUACAAUUUUAGGUUAUCAUAUGACUACUUCUUUCGAGGGGUUCGAUUUACACAAGAUCAUUCGAAUACCCUAAGUAAUUAUCAUUUUGUGCGGUCGUCGUUGAUGGUGUCGGAGAGGGGCCGCUUCCAGGUAGAUAAGAAUUCGAGAAUGCAAGAUUCAAAACCUGGCAAAAAGGCAUCAUGACAAAAGGGGCGAGAAUAAAUAAUUGCAAAUUCACCCCUCGAUGCUCCCGCCGCGUGCGGUCAAUUAGAUAAAGUCUUUCUAGCGAAUUAGGCCAAAUGGCAACGAGGUUUUGGUAUUUCAACCGAAAAUUUAGGAGCUACCGCAAUGGAGGAAAGCGAUGUGAGCUUUUCGGGUUGAAAAACAGAGGCGAAGGAGAAGGACCGAAGACCAAAAUAGAGUCGGAAACGAGAGGAAGGUAAUGUCUUCGUUUGAAAGGCACUUAGGAGCCGGUUUUUGCGGUCGAUCCGACAAGGCAUUGGAUCUCUAUACCUAAAUCGUCUGAAAUUUGUGCUCAGGCUCUACUUUUUGGGUAAAUAUAUAUAUUAGUCAAUUUAUAUAACAUUACAUACAUAAAAGAAUAGUACAACUAGAAAAGUUGCACGCGCGCUGCGGGGGUCCAAGGAAUUGACAUUCGAAACAUUAAGUGAAAUCGCUUUUUUGUGGAAUAUUUGGAUCGAUGAAUAGUUGAAAGAAAUUAGGGAUAAAAAUAUAUAACAAUACGGCAAAUUGUACAAAAAUAUAUGGAAAGAUAAAAAUAUUUCACGCUUUGAAAGCUUUUUUGGACCCAAAUUUCUAAAAUAUUGGAAUGUGAGGGAUAAGAUGAAGUCGUGUAUUUACGCAUUUGUCUAUGUACACUAUGUUUAUAAUAUAACUAAUUAAGAAUAUUUGAGAAAGAAAAAGCAAUUGAGAUCUUGUAGAAAUACUAUUAUGUAAAACACAUAACACCUUCUACCUUUUUUGGGAUCUCAAUCUUUACUUUCUUCUAAAAAUGACAUAAAUAAGUUGGCUGUGUAAAUAGUAAAUUCAAGGUAACCAUGUUGGUAGAUAAUUCCAUGUAAUCUCUUUUGCAAAUCUCGUACUUUUACUAAUAAAAUCUUCCCAUUAUUUAAAUAAUUCAAAUAUGUAAUAAUAACACCAUAUCGCUCGAUCUUUUAAAAUGUCAACUUUGUGUAUAUACGCAAGCAUAUACGCAAGAAUUGUCAUCUUGCUAAUAAUAGUGUAGAUUUGCCCAUAUAAGAUGAUGUGACUAUAGUCGUGAUUCUACUCCUUUAAUCUGAUAAAAUUAAGUUAUAUUAUUUGACUAGUCGUUGUUAGACUUAGCUACAUUUAUAUUUUAAGGAAACUUGGAUUUGCAUUUCGGAAGGAGAAUCUAGAAAGGGUGGACCUAAAGUUAAGAUCUAUACCUAUGUCGAAUAAAAUAAGAUCGUGCAUUUUCAACCGGCAGCUGGCAGCUACGGUUCAAACACAGUUUUGUUUGAUAUUCUAGAAAAAAUGCGCGACGUCCUUUUCCUUUGAUUUUUGCAUGAUGGACCCACCAUUCUCAAUGAAAAAAAAAUCACCAAAUUAGUCCACAUAAACGAUGGCCUUUCUCAUUUUCAAGCUUUGAAGGUUUUAAUUUGAAUUGAAAUAUACUUUCCAAUGUUUAAAAAAGCCUUAAUUGUUUUUUUUUUUGGGAAAUUAGAGGACACGAACGUGGAUAUCUGAUGGUCUGGAGGCUCAUGGAAACGUGCUCCCGUGGACCGGUUAUGUACGUGCAUUUAACUUGAUCACGUAGCAUUUAUCUAGAACAGUUUGUAAUCGUGAUUGGUGAGAUUCAAAUAGAUGUACUCAAUCUCUAAUUCCUCGACCCUACUCAUCGAUCCCAAGGAGUUGACUAUUGAAGAGAAUGAAUAUCAAAAUCAUAUUGUUUUAUCAGUAUGUAAUAUUAUGCAAUCGACGAAUUCAUAAAUCAUGUGAAAAUUUGUGUAGUUAUAUUUUGUCAUUUGGUGUUGUCGGGGGCAACAAUGUGAUGUAGAUAAUGGCUACCAUAGUGACAUACUUUAUUCAAGUUUGACAAAUAAGUGAUAGAAAAAGACAUUAAUAAACAUAAUAUUUGUUGGGUAACGGCCUAAUCUCGUCCUAUAUAAAUUUAGUUUAAUACUCUGUUUAUUUUGUAAAAAAUGAAUGAUAUGAUUUUUUUUUUAAAAUGAUCACUUAUAUCACUCAUAAAUGAAUAAUGAAAUUUUUUUCAUGAAAGUGUUUAAACUUACAUUGUUAUCAAUAAUAAAAACAUUUGUCAUUAACUAAUAAUUUUAAGUGAUAUAAGCAACCAUUUUAAGAAAAACGUUUUUCAAAUUAUUCAAUUUGCUCGAAACGAACGAAACCUAAGUUUCUGUUUAGAACGAUUUUAUAUUGAAAAUUUAUAAUUCUCAAGCCUUUCUGCAUUUAUGAUCCGACCUUUAUUUCGACACCUUAUAAUUAUAAUAUCUCAGUAAUUCUCUAAAACCUCAGACGACAUUCGAACGUGAAAUAUCGCAAAAUAAAAUGUAGGGACGACAAUCUUUGUGUCGGUGCAGAUCGGAGGCGUCGGUGAGCGCGUGCCCCAUGUGCCAGCAUCGUUGCACGAGCCCUGCUGCCACCGAAGUCCAACUAAAGCAACCAAAUUCUUAUUAAACAUAUAUUUUUUAUUUUUCUCUUUUGGCAAAUAAUUUAUUUAAAAAAUAAUAAAAUCUGGGGUGCUGUUAAGUUUGUGGAGAGAGCGUCCCCACGUUUAGGAGACACCAAUGAAGACGUGAUGCGCAUCAAGUUACAUCGAGAGAGAUCUUUGGAUUUUUGUGUAACAUGCACAGCCGAGGCAUGCAUGAACUUGUUCAUUUAUUCUUGUUUCGAGAUCUUUAAUGGCAUGCAUGAACCCGUUCUUUUAUUCUUGUUUGGAGAUCUUUAAUAUUAAGGGCAAUUUUUAGGAGGGUUAAUAAUACGAAAAAUCAUAAAUUGAUAUAUUUGAGAUGAAUUUUUGCUUGUUAGUUUUUAUUAAAUUGGAUUAAUAUUACGAAAAACCACAAAUUGGUACAUUCGUGACAAACGAAAAGUAAAAUCCUAAAUUGUUUCACUCAUUGAUCACUAUGCAUUAUUCAACUCAGUAAUUUGAUAUUGAAAUUUAAGAGAAACUAAAUAUGUGUACAGUUGGAUUUUUUGAUGGCCAAAAAAUUAAUUCGGAAUAAAUUUAUCAUAAAUGUACUGAUUUAAGAUUUUCAUAAUAUUAACUAUUUUUAAAAUAUACUUAAUGACAAAACAUUUCAUUUUGAAUGCAUGAAUUACACAUAAGACGAGAAAGAUAAUGCAUUAAAAAUGAUGAAUUUGCUCUAUCGAUGUGUUUAAUGCGUCCUUCCGAAGUUCCUAACAUAAUUACUCUCCGCUUAAGCGCUCGGAACACGUUACGCUUCGAAAAGUGUAAGAGGGUGAUGAAAAGCGUAAGAGGAUUUCAUUCGAUUUUUUUGCAAAUUCAGUGAAAUGCAUGGCUUGUGAGUACCGGGCCUUAGUUUCCAAGCCCAAUUGAGACAACUAAAUAUUUGAGUUCAAUGCCCCCCAGUUGGGCAGAUAAGCCCGUUAAGCAAUUAAAAAGGAAAUUGAGGAACACAAAUUGUAUUUUAUAUUUUAAGAAAACCGUUCUCGUGUAUAACAAAUUAUUUGAUUAAUGAUUGUUCACAAUUUCAUUAUCAGGAGUAGUGAUGUAGCGCGGUGAAUUCCAAACAGUUCCCAUUGUGCUAUAUGGAUUCCAAAUCUCAAUUUUCUUCCUAAUCUAAAAUCGGUGAGUUGUCAUUAAUAUUGAAUAACCAGAACAUUGACUUAAAAAGUAAUCUACCUCCUCAUUAAGGAUCAAACAUGCUAUUUUUCAUAUAAUAAGCACGCGAACAAACUGAUAAAGCAUGGUGUGACAAUACUAUAUAGCAAUCCCAAUGAAUCGAUUGAAUUCAAGAUUUUGGCUUGUGCUUAGGCCUUGAUCCAGACCAAUUUGCACUCAGCCGGUGAGCCUUGAACAUGAGACCCCUUUUCCUUCUCCUCAUUAUUUCUUACUUGCAGUUCUUCGACGAGUAAGCAAGUAGAGCUCGAAACCAAGUUUUAAAUCUUGGAGAAUUUGAUGGAUAGCCAAUGGCAACAAAUCUAGCAAGUAUCAAGCCUAUACUUUGCAAGGCUUAGAGUUGUGCUAGGGCUUUUUUCUUUUAUAUCCAAAUUGCUCUGUAGAGACACUUCGAUGAGGGAAAAAAUGUCAUAAAAGUCAUAAAUCUAUUGCAUUCAUGCAAAUUUAAUCCUAAACAUUUUAAUUGUGCAAAUUUAGUUAUAAACCUUUUGAACAAUUGCUAAUAUAUUCCUAAAUUUUUGGACAUGUAUCAGUUCAAUCAUUCUAGCUAAUUUUAGUUGGAUUUCGUUGACGUGGAUGUUUGCUAGUUUAUGUGGCACCAUUAACGCUGACAUAAACAAUUUUUAAUAAAAUUUCAAUAAUUUUUCGAUUUUUUUUUCUCUCAUUCCUUUCUUCUUCCUUUAGACAAUGGUUGCUUGCGUGUUGCCCUCGUCGAUCAUCGCCCGAGCAAAGGCGACCCUUAGCAAGGUUACCUUGCCCUAGUGAGGACUAGCCUCACCACAUUUGCCUUGGGCAAGGUUGGCCCUCACCUAGGUUAGGGCGGCCUUGCCUAGGCCAGAUUGGGCAAGGCCAAUCCUCACUGGAGCUUGGCCUUGCCCUAGCUAGGCAAGGCCAAUCAUGGGCCAGCCCGCUUGAGCCAUGGCUGGUGGUUAGCCAUCUCUUGUCAGCCGACCAUCACCUAAAGGAAGAAGAAAUGAAGGAGAGAAAAAAAAUCAGAAAAUAUAUUAAAAAAUUAUUAAAAAAUUAUAAAGAAUUAUUCACGUUAGCAUCAGUGAUGUCACGUAUGUUGGCAGGUGUUCACGUUAGUAAAAUCGAACUAAAAAUAGUCAAAAUGAUUAAAUUGACAUCAAGUCAAAAUAUUUAUAACUAAAUUGACACUAUUUUAAAAAGUCUAGAACUAAAUUGGCACAAAUAUAAUAAGUUUAGGACUUUUCUAACAUUUUUCCCUUUGAUGGUGAUCAUGCCCAUCAUCUUGGUUGCAACUCGUCGUACGGCUAGUUUCAUCAAUUUUGUGUUUUGGCUUGUGGAGAUGCACCCGUAGUUUCAUCAAUUUCGUGUUUUGGCUUGUGGAGAUGCCCGCGAAGCUAGACAGUCGGCAGUCUGAACUGGAGGAGACAGAGUCGGACACAAUUAUCAAAUCCAGUUUAUGCAUGACAAGGACGGAUUAUAAGUUUUAUAAGAAUAGGUCUUAUGAAAAAUGCUUACAGGACACUUGUUGAUCGUACUUAAUAAAGAAAGACUUUCAUUCUCAUGUCCCGUAGAAAUAUAUAUCACAAUCAUAUCGUGUCAUUAUCAGCCUUAUGACACAUUCGAACAACAGUAGCUGACUAAUCUUGCCAGAAUUUUUGCAAUUCGAUUAGGAUAUGAUUGUUGAUGGGUAGAAGAUACAACAUGCAUGGACAUGUAAAUUGUGCUUAGGAGUAGCUAAACAUGUCUUAAUACAUUCGAAGGUGCCGUGUCCCAAAGAAUGACAUUCGAAUGCGUUCUAAUUACACUCGUCUAAAGUGCACCGACAAAGGAUGAAAAGAGCUAAUCCACGUACAAUGCAUUUAUUAUUCGUUAAUUGAAAUAAACUGCUAAUGCAACAUUAGGAUCUUGCAAGCAUCCAAAUUGAAAAAUGAUUGGAUCUCUUGCAUUGCACGCAACGCGUGAGAUCUCAAUAUUAGGUAGCGAGGCUACAGCUCAGCAGAGAUUUUCUUCAUGAUAAUUUCCCUGAUUAAUCUCUGUAUAUUUUUUGUAUGCUUUCUAUAAUUUAUUACUAUAAUUGGAGCCCUAGCACUGCUCCUCUUCCCUAUAUUUAUUCCCAUUAAUUCUCUUAUAAAGAUAUGUACAAAAUAUCUUUAAAUAUAAUAUACAUGAGCAGUUAUGACUCUUUGCAACCGAAAUACUUGUUUUCUUAAGAUAUUAAUUUCUUCGAGGUUUUUCAAGAAGAAGCUCUCCACAGUAAAAUCAAACUGCGCAUUGCACAUGAUGAACCAUAUCUUAGGCGAUCUAGCAUAGACCGAUUGGAAAAGUACAAAUUAGCAUAAGUCAAAGUGCAAAUGGAAUGAUGUUUAAACUGGGGUGCAUGUGGGUCCAAGUUUACCUAGGUCAACUGACCCUAAGUUGUCCGGAUGGGAUGGAUACCAAUUUUAGGGGGAAUUGGUUCGCUCCUAAAUUAUGACAAUUCAGAAUUAGCCUUGGUCGAUUUGAUUGUCGGUUCCAAUAUGAUAUACGCAACUUUAAAUUGAGAGUUAGAUCAAUUGAAUCCAAAACUCAAUUAAUAUUGCGACCAAUUUAAGACACGUGUGUAAUCUUCUUAUUGGAUGUGCCAAAUUUAAAUCUUUUUGGACCCCAUUUACUUCCCACAGUAUUAUCUUUCUGGCUUUGUUAUUUUCAACUCAAUUUAGUUGUGUUAGUCUCAUAGUUAACUUAAAAUUUGAAAUUAAAUUGCUCCUUUUUCUAUAAAAAGAUCGUGAUUCUUUAAGUAGAAUUGGGGAUCCAACUUGAAGCGCAGGCUCCAAAUCCCAUUGGUUUGAGAACCGACCAUUUUGAUAGGUUGGGUCAGUGGGUCUGAAAUUUUUAUUUUCAGUUGAUCCAUUCAAAUUGUGCUCUCACCAAAAAAUAAUCGAAAUCUUAAGUCCAUCUAAAUUUGACCAUUUAAAAAAAAAUUCCCCUUGAAACCGAUCCAUCCAAACAUGCCCGUAGAGUUGGCAAAAUGGGUCAUAAACUUAUAUUAUGCCUGCACCUGGAAAAAAACAUCGAAAUCUUAAUCAUAUUUCUCCUUUGAACCGUAAAAAAAUAAAAAUAAAAUAAGAGGCAUGAAAGCCCCUAAUCAAUUCAUGUCCUAAAGCAACGCAUGACAUGACGUCGCUAACUGAUACUAUAAUUAAAUUUCACUCCCAAGUCAACGUUUGACCCCGUAUUGACGGCAGAAUUGACGAAACUGACCCUCGAUUUUCCCCGAAAUGGCGACUCCGCCCCCCGCGCUGUCGUGGAUGCCAGAUCUCCCGGUGGAUUCAUGGAGUUGAUGAAAAUAGCUUCGUUCGCACUCUCUCUCUUCUGCGCGCAUGAAAUUUUAUGCUCUGGACCUCAUUACCGCAAAGAAAAAGUUGCCCGGCAGAUCCAUCGGUGGCACGGCGCUUGAGCGAGAGCGAGAAGCGAGAAGAAACGCGGGUUUUGGUUGGUAAAGGUGCUUUUUUUAUUUUCUUGGUUUCUGGGUUUUUAGCAUCUCCGGAAAAAGCUUUUGAAUUGCAUUGCGUGAGAUCUAUUCGGCGUUUUGGGUUGAUCAGUUGAUCCUUACAUUCCAUCGAUUGAGGGCAAUGUUUUCGUGUUUUUUCGGGUUCGAAAGAAUCUCUUUGGGGUGGCGUUGCAUGGUGUAAGUGGGAUUGUUAUGAUUGCAUUGCUUUCGUCAUGACUUGCUUGCGAUGCUCUUCAGCGAUUGUUUGUUUUGGGUUGGUGCUCUAAGGUUGUGGGUUGAUGGUUUUGAGUUGGGAUUUGCGGAUCUUGGGGCAAUUCUCAAACUUUUACAAACAGGGUAAGGUGUUUCUAAAAUUGUUUUCGGCGUUUGAUUGAGGCGUGUUUCUUUUCUAAGAGUUGGUAAUAGGCAAAUGUCAGGAUGGGUUGUUUGGCUAGAAUGAAUAUAUGACAGAGCUGGUAAAUUUCCUCCCUCCCCAGCGUCAAAAUGUGGAUUAUAUGUAGUUAUGGUGUUUUUGUCUGCAUUGUGUUUCUUGAUAAACGCUGCCAAAUUUUGCUUUGGCUUGGCCAAAUAUCAGCUAGUUCAUUCAACCACAUGGUCAUUUUGGUGAAUUAUUUGUUCUCAUCUGGUUGAUGAGACUCUGCAUUGGGAACAUGUGUGUAUAUGCCUACCUAGCAAUGAAUCUGUGCAUAUAUGCCUGUACUGUGUUUAUAGCACAUGCAAUUGCUACAUGAAUUCAUGUGUUAACGCUCUUCUUUCCUUUGCUUAUAUCUACAGAUUGUAUUUCUGGAAGGAGAGAAAUGACUAAUUGUGAAAUGUGCCGAGUUUUUGCUGACCAACUUCUUGGCUUCUCUGGUUAGAAUGCUGAUGCCAAGGUUAUCCAAAGGAUUGAGAUGUGCCUUUGUUAGUGCAUGAGCAGGAAUGAAAGGCGGAAACUCGUUCAGAUCAAGAGGAAGAAAGUUUUCUUCCGGUCUUCUUGCACUUCUUUUUGCGACAGUAUUACUAUGGAUUUGGGAAAAGAAUCCUUUCAUAAACACCCUCCGGUCUGCUCAAGAUCAAUUUUUGUUGUCUUCAUCAGGUCAGUUGAAUCUUUUCAUUUGAAAGUAGUUGCUGAUUCUAAUGUCAAUACAUCACGAAUACAUCAGACUAGAAUAGCAACACGACCUGGCUCAUUUCCCGAAUAGUGAGUUCUGUAUAAAAUCAGGAUCUGAUAAAUUGAAUGGAAUUGAUCCGCUGGGUUCGAUAUAUCGAUUUCAGGAUUUGCUUUGGGCAUAGGGUUUUCCAUUUAUCGGUUCGCUUUCGAUGCAUAGCUCUAAAAUUGAAAGUAUGAUGCAGAUCUGAUACACAGUUUUGUUCUGCUUUUUAACUAUUAUAUUUUACAGUCAUAACCUGACUAAGUAUGGCUCUUCUUACUCGAUAUCAUUUUAUCAAUGACAAUCCAAGGUUAUCACUGGAUUCGAGCCGUGAGCUGCUUGAUUUGAUUUGAAGUAUAUUGGGAUAUCAUUUUGGUGAUAGCAGGCUUUGAACUUAAUAAAUUUUAUUUUUUUAAUUAUUUUGCUCUAGAGUUUCUGCUGAAGCUUAACAGAUGAGUAGCAAUCAAGUAGUUUCCUAUCUCUGUUUGGGUGGGAUUUGAUUUGAUCAAUUAUACAAGGUUGAAUUACAGUCGAAACUUUUGGCCAGAAAAAAAAUAAAUUUGUCAGACCUGAAGCAGACGAUCUCAGGCUUCUUAAAAUCUUUCCAAUCUUGUAUAGCGUAUCUGUGGUAAUAUUUAAUAAAGCACGGCAAAAAUUCUUCUGUCAGUUAGAUUUCAAUAUAGGCAUGCAUCUUUGCCCCCCCUGGUUACAGUAAUUUGGGAGGCAUUGCAAGAGGAAAGAUUAUCGAUCAUAGCUGAAUUAAGAUCCCUCCUCUUGCCAAAUGAUGAGAAGAGAUGUGAAUGGACAUUUAUUCGUGCAAAUAUCUUUUGAGAGGAAACUGAAACAAUUUGAAGAGUUUGCUCCCAGAAUAAUAGAUAUCUAUGAGUCUCCUCAAGUUUCAAUUAGGUGGUUUCUGAGUUACUCCGUCAAAACUCCUCAUUGCUGUUAAAAUCUCCCAGCGUAGUAAUAUAGAUGGGCGUUGCACUGCACUUACACUUUUCAACUUAAUUUUAAAUGAGACAUUUCUGGUGAUGUUCUACAUAGGCAUUAGCAUGUGAAUUUUCUCAAUAGGCUGGAUGUGACUCUGUUGUGAAUCUUGAUUUGUUUGUCCUAUCUUUCAGUCUUUUGAACGUUGGUAAUUCGGGUUUGUUAUCUUUUUAUUUCUGCCAACUUGCUUACAAUGCUUUUCUUUCUUUUUCCUCCCUUUCUCUUGGUGGUGGUGUUGGGACUGUUCAGAAUUCAUCUUUGAUAUGCCAAAUGACUCAAUGGUAUCUGCCCACCAUAAAGAGCGUACUGAUGAGAAAGAUGCAAAUGUUACACCAAAAAUAUCGAGAAAAGCUGAACAAGGUAGCGACAAUUCGGUAAUGGAGAAGUCUACUUCUGCACUCUCUCCUAAAGGAAAGGGUGCUCGACAUAGCAAGUCCUCUUCUAAAGGUAGUUUUCUUUCCUGAUGAUAUAAUUUUGGAUUGAAUUUGUGAUGAUUGUGAUGUCUUAAAGAAAAAGUAUGUGGGAUCUACAGAUUCUUUUCGCCAUAAACUUUUGUCAACAUGUCUCUUUUAUGUUCACGGGUCAUGCCUAAAGAUCAUCAAAAGAAACAUUCACACAACUGCAUUUUAGCUUUUAAAUGAAUUAGUAUUUGCUUGUACCAUAUCUGGAAACUGUGAAUUGAGCGCGACCAUGUGUCAAUAUAAUAGAUCUCAGAGUCAGUACUUUUUGUAGUUUUUCAAAUUCAACUGCAAUUGACCACAUUCGAUCUUCCCCUCUUUCAAGAAACUUCUGUAACUUCCAGUUAAAUAGAUAAAACGUGAGUAAGAAAAAAAGCCAUCUUGAUGGUGUAUUUUGUUAUUAUUGACUUAUCUAGAUCUUCUGUAGAGUUGUCAACACCACACAAACUUUCUUUUUUGCAGUUGUGAGUACUGAAGUAUUGUGCUUUAUGUAAUACAAACAGAGGAAAAAUUGCCUAAUUGUGCUUUGAUAUGCGCAAUUGAUUUUAACAUGUCUACUCAGUUGAAAUUUAGCACAUAUAAGAUAUGGCUUGUUGAAUAAUCAAAAUGAGAGUCCUUGACAAACACUUCUUCGGAUUUUGGCCUAUAAUUGUUAUUUUUUUCUCCAAGCCAAUUUAAUUAUGAUGAGCAUGGGGAGAUCUACAUGAGAAACGUCGAUCUAUUUUAAUUUCUGGAGGAAUUCGGUUUGACUUUUUAUUUCUGUCAUUACUUAUUGGCAUAUUCUCCAGUUCAAUCUCCAAGCUUAGCAUGUAUGAUAUGUAGGUUUGAGAAAAUUGUACUAGAUUCCUGCGUUUUGUUAUGUAAUACAAACAAAGGAAGUGCUUUUCUUCAUGGAUGCAGUCUGCAAUUAUGCUAAGGGGAGAUGGGUUGCAGACAAGGGCAGACCAUUGUAUUCGGGGUUCUACAUGAGAAACGUCGAUCUAUUUUAAUUUCUGGAGGAAUUCGGUUUGACUUUUUAUUUCUGUCAUUACUAAUUGGCAUAUUCUCCAAGCUUAGCAUGUAUGAUAUGUAGGUUUGAGAAAAUUGUACUAGAUUCCCGCGUUUUGUUAUGUAAUACGAACAAAGGAAGAAUUGCCUAAUUGUGCUUUGGUAUGCACAAGUGAUUUUAACAUGUCUAUUCGGCUGAAAUUUAGCACAUAUAAGACAUAGCUUGUUGAAUAAUCAAAAUGAGAGUCCUUGAUGAACACUUCUUCAGAUUUUGGGCUAUGUUAAUCUUUUUUUUCUCCAAGCCAAUUUAAUUAUGAUGAGCAUUGGGAGAUCUACAUGAGAAACAUUGAACUAUUUUACUUUCUGCAGGAAUUUGGUUGGACUUUUUAUUUCUGUCAUUACUAAUUGGCAUAUUCUCCAGUUCAAUCUCCAAGCUUAGCAUGUAUGAUUUGUAGGUUUGAGAAAAUUGUACUAGAUUCCUGCGUUUUUUUUUUCUUUUUCACUUAAAGUGCUUUUCUUCAUGGAUGCAGUCUGCAAUUAUGCUAAGGGGAGAUGGGUUGCAGACAAGGGCAGACCAUUGUAUUCGGGGUUUGGAUGCAAGCGGUGGUUGUCAGAGAUGUGGGCCUGUAGGCUGACGCAAAGAACUGAUUUUUCAUACGAGGGAUAUCGGUGGCAGCCGGAAAAUUGUGAAAUGCCUGAAUUUGAGAGAUCUUCAUUCUUGAGAAGGUUUUCUUUUCUUGUAUACCUUCCUCUUAGCUUUCAAUGUUACAUAUUAAAUAUUCUUCUUGUGCAAAAUCACUUCCUCUUAGCACUAUCGACAUUCAUGGAACAAAGAUAUGUUGUGUCCUAUACAGUUAAAAAUAUUUUGCUUACUGGAAUUGAGAUGUUCAAUAUUCGUGAUUUCUGUUCUUAGAUAUCAUCAUAUGCUUUUCCUACAUGUAGAAGUCUCUUUCAUUUGACUAAAAGGUGCCUGCUUCCUUCUUUCUGCUAUCCCUUCCUUCUGAUUAAAAACAAAAAGAAAAAGGAAAAUAGUAUCUCACAGUUUGGUAGGAAGUUUGGCAUUGCUCAGGUUCUGCUUAUUUUUGCCAAUGAUGUCUAAGAAAAAUCUUUAUGUUCAGAAUGCAGGACAAAACUAUUGCAUUUAUAGGAGAUUCACUUGGGAGGCAGCAGUUCCAAUCUUUAAUGUGUAUGGUGACUGGUGGAGAAGAGAGCCCUGACGUUGAAGAUGUCGGAGUCAAUUAUGGGCUUGUUAUUCCUCCUGGAGCCAUUCGUCCUGAUGGUUGGGCGUUUCGGUUGCAAAGUACGAAUACGACUAUAUUAUACUACUGGUCUGCCAGCCUCUGCGAUCUCGAGCUCUUAAACAUCACUGAUCCAUCAGCGGGUGUCGCCAUGCAUUUGGACCGUCCUCCAGCGUUCAUGAGAAAUUUUUUGGAUACCUUUGAUGUUCUAGUUCUGAACACAGGACAUCAUUGGAACAGAGGCAAACUUAAUGCAAACAAGUGGGUCAUGUAUGUCAAUGGAAGGCCAAAUGAAGACCGAAAACUGGCAGCAAUUGGAAAUGCCAA
Molecule: long non-coding RNA, 100598 nt
Filed under: Eucalyptus grandis
Lineage: Eukaryota; Viridiplantae; Streptophyta; Magnoliopsida; Myrtales; Myrtaceae
Description: long non-coding RNA (EGRA_LNC005422)
Source: RNAcentral